This 150502-nucleotide long non-coding RNA is filed under the name Gossypium raimondii (Peruvian cotton). Its description in RNAcentral is "long non-coding RNA (GRAI_LNC008162)". The record is from RNAcentral. Lineage: Eukaryota; Viridiplantae; Streptophyta; Magnoliopsida; Malvales; Malvaceae.
UUUUUUUUUUCUAUAAUCUUAUGUCAACUGAAAGAAUGAUUUUCAGAUGCUGUAGAAUUUUCUCCUUUACUUGUUUCAUUAUGAAAAAAAAGAAAUCCAUUUUAUCGAAGUUGAUUUGCUAUGAAACUAUUGAUUUUUUUUUAGUUUGCAAAUGGUAAAGUGAUGUGCAGAUCGGCUCCAUAUCAGAGUCAACAGCAGGUGCCAGUCUAUGGCCGAUCUGACUGCCGCUUGGAGCCAAUAUUUAGUUAAAGGGGUGAAGACCCAUGAAACUCACAGUUAUUUCAUGACACAAUAACCCCUUUACAAUUGUUUAUUGUCUUUUAAAUUCAUGGUCUAGCAUUUGAUGGUGUUGUUGAAGGGGGGCAUAGAGUCAGACACGGGUGUUUGUUUGUUUACAAUAGCAAUCCACCUUUUGCAUUGUGCCUAAACCAAAGCUACUUACACGAUUGGAGGGAGCCUUUGCCUUCUCCAUGCUUUCCUUCAAAUUUAAAGCAGCUAAAUUUUUAUUUUAGAUUUUAAUGAUUUUAACCAUGUAUUACUUCUGUUGUGAAAAAUAAUUUGAACCUAAUGCUGUCAUGCAUGGUGGAUUGGUUGAUGGGCUUUGCAAGGAAGUAUUUGAAAUAUCAUCGUUUACAAUAUUGUUAUCUACAGCUUUAGAAAUCGUUCCUUCCUUGUUUAAUGUACAGAUGCACACAUAUAACAAGGAAUGGAUGAUUUCUAAAGCUUUGGAUAGCUUUAUCAUGAUGAGGAAGCAAUGCACCGAGUUCAAUAUUGUCAUGUAUGGUGGAAAUAUUGCAAUUUAUAGUACUGUUAUCUACAGCUUUAGAAAUCAUCCCUUUUUUAGAUGUGUAAAUAUAUAAAUAAAUUGAAGCACAUUGCUAGAAAGGGAUGAUUUCUAAAGCUCUAGAUAACGUUAUUACAACGAGAAGCAAGGUCACCUAUAGUGGAUUGGUUAAUCCAUAUUGCAAGGAUGUUAUUGGCAAUAUUGUUAUCUACGGCUUCAGAAACCAUCCCUUCCUUGCUUAAUUUAUGGAAUCUGUAAUAUACAGAUUGACGCCCCUUGCAAGGAAGGAAUGGUUUCUGAAGCUUUAGGUAACUUUAUCACGACUUGAUGCACGUUGCAAGGCAGGUAUGGUCGUGGAUGAGAAAUCAUCGUCCCCUUUUGAUUUGGUUUAGCAACUUUUGUGUUCGUUGAUUGAAGAUUGCAGACUCAUUGUCUCCUUAGCAUAUUCAUGAAAUUUUGGCUUACAUUAUUUUGAUUUGUUUUUACCAAUUGUGUACAUUUAAUGUUGGAUUCUGUAAGUUUCAAUGUUGAAUUUCGUUAAAAACUUAAGUUUAUUUUCAAUAUUCAAUAUUCAAUAUAGUAUCUAGAUCAAAUGAUUGUUUUCCCCAGUAAGUUCUGAAGUUUGUUUUCAAUAUUGAGAUUAAAAUAAUAUCAAAAAUUAAACUUGUCUAUUUAAUUGAGAUAAAACAAAACUCAAGUAUUAAUUUGAAAUAUCUAAGUGAAACUCUUAAACCUGGACAUUUAAAAUUCGAAGGAAUCCAAUCCCAAGUUUGUAAUUACCGCAUUCGAAACAUAGAUCGAAGAAAAUCCAAAUUUUAUUCUGGGGAGGCAAAGUGGAGAAGCAACCACUCUCCCUAGAAUUGGGAGUUGAUUAGGAAGCUUAAAUCACUUGGAGAGCUAGGUACGAUAAACAACCAAGCCCACAUCAUCAAAAUUAUGUGGAGACUUGAGAGAAUUUUAUAUGACUUGAGAUUAGGUAUCAACGUUUUAUUAAAUUAAGUGAAAAAAAUUCAAAUUAAUUAAGUUGACAAGUCUUUCGAAUCGAGUGAAAUUAUUUGAGUUAAAUUAAAAUAUUGUUACACUAUAAUAAUUUUAUUUUAGAGCACAUAAAUUGAAAACAUAUAUAUUUGAAAAAAAAAUUAAAAUAAAAUAAUAAAAAAUAUAUUCUUAACUUUAUUUAUAUAUUCUCUAAUUUUUUUAAAAAAUUUAGAAUUGUUUAAAAAUAUAUAAGUUUUAGAUUUUUUAUAAAUAUUUUGAAUUUUAAAAUUUAUUUUGAGUUUUUAUUGUAAUUUUUGUUGAAAGAGACUAAUUUGCUCGUUUUCUAAAUUGUAAGACACCAAAGAGUUUUUACACUAAUUUGUUAUUUAAAUUGUAAAAUUUAACUCGACUUAAACUCAAAAUUUAAAUUACUGAUUCGAGCUAACUUGAAUAACUCGAUUCAAUUAACUUGAAGUUCAAUUUUUUUUAAAUUUUUUCGAAUCAAAUUGAGUUUUGUUCACCCCUACUUGGAGGGAUACAUCAUGGAUCCAAAUUAGACCUAUACAUGAGCUUAGUCACCUGGCCUCGCCCAAAAGCCUGUUUGAAAAAUGAAAGAAUUUUGGCAAAAUUAUAAACUCAAAAAAUAAAUUUAGAUAAAAAAAAUGAGACUCUUAUUCAAAAUGGGCUGAAUGUCAGAUAAAAUUUUUUUGUCUUGGCCCGACCCGAGCCAUAUGCUUAAUAGGUCACCGUUUCUUUUCUUUUUUCUUUUCUUUUCCCGAUUAACACCUCUAAAUCCCUUCUCCAGUCCAACACCCACCGACCACCACCGUCAUAGUUAACAGCUCCCGUCACCACCGGUCCACCACACACCCACCGAUCCAUCAUCGUUCACCAAUCACCAUUGUUGCUUCUUGACUGACAACCCGAAGGUAACACCACCAUUUUUGAAUUUUCUUUCUUUCAACUCUUUGUUUUUAAAGCUCUGCCUUUGAAAAAAAAUGGGUUUUUUGAAGCAAUGAGAUUGGUUGUUUUUUUUUCGAUAAAAUGCAUUUAAAAAUGUAGGUUUUCACACUAGUUCAAUUUUGAAAAUAAAAGUGGAAUUGUUAAGCUAGUGAAAUGUUACUCAACAUCGGAUGACUGAUACUGCCUCUGAGUCUUUUGCAUAUUUAGAAUAUUUUGCUGGCACUUUAACAUAGUAUUUUUAAUCUAACAAAUAAAGUUUUUGAAUGGAUGACAUUCAUGAGCUAUGAUGAACUAUAAAGACAAUUCUGUACCAUUUAACCCUAACCACAUGUUAUAUUCCAUUCACUUCAACUCCAAAUAUAUCGCACCCUUGCUGUUGUUUUAGGUUUUCUAACUUGGUGGAACUUUUUCACUAGUUUUAGGUUACUUCCCUUCUACAGUUACCCUGAAAUGAAUUGAUGUAAAAAAUAGGUGUCAUUUCAGUUUGUGGUAGCAUUUACUUUUACUAAUGCUGUUUCAUAUCUUUUGGAAAUUGACAUGCCACCUGUGAUCUUUAUUAACUAAAAAUAAGUAACUAGGACAACAGUGAGGAUAAUAAAAGCUCAAGAAUUGGCUUGCUGCACUUGAUGGACAUUCACUAGUUACUUGGAAGCCCAUGCCAUGCAUGAAGUUCGCUUCUAGUUGGAAAGUCCAUCAAGUGCAGCAAGCCGAGCAAUGAAAGUGCUUGGGAAUGCAAAAAGUACACCAUAAUAACCUAUGCCAAACCACCACCUCCUGUUAGGUCUUAUAAUUUUCCUAACCUCAACACAACUGCUUCGAAAUAGUUUAGUUCUGGAUCUGCUUUCUUCUUGCAAUGUUUUCAUCUGCUCGUUCUUUAUUUUUCAAAUGUGAAGAUGUCAAUGUAAGUGCAUGGUCUGAUGGUUCAUGUGGCAUAAUGGGAUUGUUUCAUUUAUAGGUUUUUAUUUUAAAACCCCCAAUUUGUGAUGACUAGAGUUUUGAGCUUUUAUUACUUUUAGCAAAAUAAACCCCCCAAUUUGUUUUUAUAUAAAAAUAUAAUUUUUUUAAAAUUAGUUUAGGUCCAGCCAGUCUUGGGCUUAAACUUGGACAAAAAAUUAAACUCAUUUUUUGAAUUAGGCCUGAGACUUACAAUUGAGCUUAAAAUUCUGUCAUAUCCUGACUUAUAAAUAGAUCUAAUCCAAAUCCUUGAAUUUUGAUUUCACUCUAUUCCUUUUUCAUCUAUUAAUACCCUAUUCAUGUUUAAUCACUAUUCUCACCAAAUUCUCCUUGUUAAAUUAAAUAUAUUCGUAACCAAGCAAGUCACUACAAGUGCAAAUUUUAGUGUGCCGCCAACGUGGGGUGCUCUAAGAAGAACAAGUCGAGGGGAUACAAUGGGUUAACCGGUUGACUAAGGGUGGGUUUGGAUGGACGGUGAGUUUACUUGCGAUUAGUGUAAAAACAGCGAUAGUGGUGAGAUUAGAUACUGUAGUGAUACUGUAACGUGAGACAAAAAGUAAGUUAAACGCACUGCACCGCACCCAAUCGCCCAUCCAAACUCACCUAAGUUUUGGUUGUGUAAUUGAUCAAGAUUGGCAGACCCUUAAGGAGAGACGAAUAGGAAAUGACAUCUCCGGAAUAGAUGGGAAAGCUUCUCCUCUCAACUGCCAACUCAACCUUAGUGUACUGCAUAGUACGCCAAUUACAACUACUGAAGGAAGGUAUGCCCUUGUUUGAAAAUUACACAGAAUCUAGAAAGUUUACAAUAGGCAGUGCGUAUGAGUUUUGGAUUAUAACAACGUUGGACGAGUGCAGAACCAGGAAUGGUAUUAUCAUGUAUGGCUUGACAAUAACCUCAACGACAAGAACUGGUACCCAAAACCCACAAUACCCUGCCAUCUCAUCUUUGCCAAAACUUUUGACAGUCCUUGUAGGCUAGACAAAUUUCUUGAACGUGCAACUACUGAGUAGCCUAUCCUGUUAAGUUCUUGAGAUGGAGGAAACCCAACCUUGGUGUAAAAUAAAUUCGGCAACGAGGAAUCCUGGCAGGGGAGGAGCUGAAGUUAUUAGGGAUCACAAUGGAAAUUGGGUAAAAGGAUCAUAUCGACACAUACCACAGGCAACAAGCGUGGAAGCAAAACUCUGGACUUGGUAUUAUUAAUAUAUAUACAAGUAGAAGUAGAUGCAACUGCUGUAAUAAGUCACAUUUCAAACGCCAUUACUUCAAUGUGCAAGAAUGAGGUGAUGUAAUUAUUGUUUGUAGUGAAGCACCCUUACAACUAGCUUCCUUCUUGACAAAUACCCGCAAUCUGUAGCUCAAAUAGAACAAAUAGUUUUGAUUUGAAAAUUUUCGUGUGAGUAGUAAUCAAAAUAAACAAAAAAAAUCAGCUCAUGGAAGAGAAUGAAUCAAAAUUUGCAUUUCAUGUAAAAACUUCAUGCCUUGCGUUAUACAACAAUCAUAUUUAGCCUAAAACCCUCAAAUUUCUGAAAUUUGAAAAUUAAAGUAACAAAGACUAAAUUAAAACCAAAAUCCCAUUUAUCAAAAACAACAAUCACAAUCAAAUGGGCAUAGUGGCGUACUUCCAGCAUCAGAUUUACUAAUACCCAAUUCUUCUUCAGUGUAAAUUGCAAAACCAUCUGCUGUUCUUUUCCGAGGCCGAGAAGAAGAUUCAUUGAAUCCUCCUUCCCUGUUGGUUUCUUUACUCUUUUUACUCUUCUUUUUCGACGAUUUGGGUUUUGAAAUUUCAUCGCCGUUCGGUUUCUCGGACCCUUUCGGGUCGGGUUUCUUCCUCUUUUUACCUGCAAAUAUCUCGUCGAUUUCGUUACCAGCCACUUUAGAAGCUGAAUUAUUCUGUUCUGGAACAGAUUCUUCUUUUUUAUUUUUUGCUUUUCUAGAAGGCGUCGUUGAAGAACCCUUCUUCGCCAUUAGGUUGAAUCUGCAACUUCAAAACAAAAAAUUAUAGCAUACGAAGAACUGAAAUCAACAAAAACGAAACUUGAAGAAAUAUUAAAUAUAUUUAUUAAAAGAAAAAAUAAUACGAAUGUUGUGUCAGAGAACACAUUAUCAGCACUGGAAAUCAGACAGGGAUAACUGUAAUAAUAUUAAAUUUUCUCAUCAUUCACAACAUCGUUUCAAAAAAAGUUGUUUCAAGGAAUCUUCGACGAAUAAACGGAUUAAAUCCCGAAAAAAGAAAAACCCAGAGAAGGAAAUAUCGUCCUAUGGAUAUAAAAAGUAAUUAUCACUGGUGCCUCCUACCUCGCAGUGAGAUCCAAGAAGAGAUUACGAUAUGGUUUUCUCCUGAACGGAAACAAAGAAGCAGAAACAAAACGAAGCGGAGGAGUGUGAGACUGAGUUUAUUUGAAACCCUAAAUUGGGUAAAAGAUGAUUAUAUAUAUGCCCUUUGUUUCGGGUUAAGGGUUUAAGGCUGGGCUUUCUCAAAUGUUUAGGCUUUUGCUUAUAAAAUGGACCUUUUUUCUUUCGGCCUUCUUGUGAAUGUAAUAUAGAUUGUAUGAUUAAAUUAAUAUUUAGGUACUCUUAAUUAUUUUUUCUAAUAUUUACGUCUAAGUUUGCUAUCAGUUUCUAUAUUAUUUGCAUAUUUAGCAUUUUAUAUUUUAUUAUUUUAAAAAUAAUAAUAAUCUUUUUACUCUUAAUUGAAGUCCAAUAAUUUCGACAAAAAAAUUUAAUUAAGUUGGAUUAAGUAAUAUCCUUUUAGAAAAUUGUUCGUGAUAAUUUUAAAUAGUAAUAUAUGAUAAGUAGAAAUGCUCAUGAGUCAGGUCGGGUCAGGUUGCGUUUGGGUCGGAUCCAUGUAAGGUAUUUAGAUUAAUUUUUUAAGCCCGAGUCUGGCUCAAGCUCUUAAUUUAAGAAAAGUAAACUCGGGCUUGACCCGACUUCCCAUGUUUAAUUUUUUUAGAUUAAUUUUAUUUAAAUAUAAUAUAUAAUAUAAUAAAAAAUGUUAAAAUAAAACUUUCUAACUUUCAUAUUUAAAAACACUACUAUAAAUAUAAUAAUUAUCUUAUUAAAUUGAAAAACACAAAUAAAUCUAAUAAAUAUUUUAUUGUAUUAAAUAUAAUUUUAAAAUUUUAUAUUUUUGAGUUGAACAAACCCCUCCAUCUAAAAUAAAUAAAUAAAAAAAUCUUUGAGGGCAUUAUCAAUUAAAUUUCAAAUAAAUAUACUACGUUCUAGGAUUAAAAGUAAAAAUAUUAAAUUUGAAAUGCGUGACUAAGCGAUCCACUUAUAAAUUUAAAAUAUUCUCAAUUAAAAAAGUUUUUCUUUUUCCAUGAAAAUAGAAUCAUAAUGAAUUAUUUAUAUUAUGUAUUAAUAUUGUAGAGAAACCACAUUUAAAGUGAUAAAAUUAUUGCUGGUUGUCAUCAUAAACCAACGUUUAAGUCCUACGUUACUCAUCCCCUUUCAUCACUACAUCUCAACACUUCAAAAAUUUUCAUAAAUCUAUGGAAACAUUCAAAUAUAAACCCAGAAAUCAGUGUUGGAUUUCACCAUGUUAUGAUAUAAUAAUGUUCCCAGGUCUCUCAUUACUAAUUAAAUCUCACUCAUACGCCGGGAAUGGGAAACUGGGUGGUAAGUGCUUCGACUCUACUACAAAGAUUGGACACCUUAUCCGUCAACGGAAAAUCAGGAGACGAGACAAACUUCAAGAACUCUUGGACCUUUGAUCCAGAAGCUAAUCCCUUAGCCUCAAUAGUGAUUUGCACGCCCUCAUGGAUGAAUUCAGCAAUAGCCGUGAAUUCCUUUUCUGUAAAUCCUCUGGUAGUCAUUGCAGGCGAUCCAAUGCGAAUGCCACCCGGCACAAGUGCACUCUUAUCCCCUGCAAAUUUUGAGAUGUAUCAAGGAUUGGUAUAAAUACAUAUAAAAAGGGAAAAAAAAUUAAUUAUAAAUGAACGGUAAAAAAGGGGAAUAAGGAAGAACUUACCAGGCACCGAAUUUUUGUUCAAGGUGAUAGAGGCCAUGUCAAGUAUUUUCUCCACCCGAGCCCCAUCAAUACCCUGUUGCAGGAGUUCAUUGAUAUAAAGGAGGCAAAAGGAGUUUAGGGUGUCUACAAGAGAAUAAGAAAAACAUGAGAUCCUACGCCUCUAGACUUGUCAAUUGGGCAGAUCAGGUUGGUUUUGAUCAGGUUUAUUUGGGUUUUUGAAUUUUUAGGUUCGUCAGUUUAAGGUUCAAGUUAUUUAGGUUGGGGCUAUUUAGGGCUUUUUGGGCCAAGUUAUUUUCGGUUCAGGUCAAAUUCGAGUUCAGAUCAAUUUGUAUUUGGGUUGAGUGGAUUCAGAUUGUUGACUUUUUAUAGCCAAAUUGUGUAAGGUUGGUCAAGUUGAGUCAGGUUUUCGGUUUUGAGUCAAUUUUGACAAGUCUAAAUGCCACUCAAGUUUUGCAUGUCUCACAGAGAUGGUAACUUACCAAUGGCCUUAGAUCCACAAGCACAAGGUGAUUAUCACUACCACCAGAAACUAGUGUAUAGCCAAGUUCAACCAAUCGCCUUGCAAGAGCUCUACAAUUAGACACUACCUGCAGCAUGAAGUACCCAUAUUUUGACUUAAUCACCACAUAACUUUGCCUCUUUAUUUUUUAUUACUCAUCUUUGAAGGAAAGUACCUGAUUCUGGUAAGCCUUGAACUCGGGUGAUUGUGCAUGUUGCAAGCAAACUGCUAGUCCUCCAAUUGUGUGGUUAUGAGGUCCACCCUGCAUAUACAAACAUUAUGCUUCUCAUGACUAGUUUCAUAACUUGAAAGCCGGCAGAAGGAUGGAAUGGGGAAUUCAGAUUAGUAAUAGGAGCAAAGGAGACCAAUCAAACCAACCUGUAAACCUGGAAAAACAGCAUUAUUGAUAGCAGAUUCCAGAUCAACUCCAAGAACAGGGUCCUUCUUGAAGAAGAUCAUGCCACCUCUUGGGCCUCUCAAAGACUGGAAAUGAGUAAAGAAAAUCAAGUAGGUUAUUCAAACGGACAUAUUAACACAAACAAAGUAAUAGUACUAUUUAGAACAUACAAGUAUCGGUGAGAUUAUUGGCAAAGCAGCUUAUUUAAAUUCUAAUGCACAUGAAAACUAAAUCAUGAUCAAAACAACGUGAAGACAUUCUUCGCUACACAAGGGCAAGUGAAAUAGGGAAAGAAUCAAGCGAGAUUUACCAUGCUACAAGGUAGUAGAUUUUCUCAAGUACCCUUAAAUAUUAAUGUUUCAACAAGCAAAACUAGCACUAUGUGAAGUGAAUUUAACAUGCAUAUAGUUCAAGACAGCAUUUGAAAAUAUUCAUCCCAAACCUUGUGUGUGGUUGUUGUCACGAUAUCACAAUAUUCAAAGGGGUCAGCAACUACAGAAGCAGCAACAAGGCCACUUAUAUGAGCCAUAUCCAUCAUGAGAAAUGCACCAACAGCAUCUGCGAUCUUCCAACAGAUAUCAAUUCCAAUAAGUUAAAUGCUUAAAAUAAGUCACUAAAUGAUAGUAAAGUAUGGCAGACUAUAUAGCACAACCAACAAGCACAUCAGUGCUUACCUUCCUCAUGCGAGGAUAAUCAAAAUCUCGAGGAUAUGCACUGGCACCACAGAUUAUGAGUUUUGGUCGAAAGAGGGUAGCUGUUUUCUCAAGCAUGUCAUAAUCAACUAGGCCUGUUCCAAAUUUAAGACAAAUCAAAUCAACCACCAAGUAAGCAUACCAACCACUAAACCAAUUAAGUCUUAACAAUAACGAUGAGUUACCUGUGGAUUCAUCAAGCCGAUAAGGCAUUGACUCGAAAUAGAUUGAUGUACCAGAUACACGUCUUUUAGGAGUCAUAAAUCCAUGUGACAAAUGUCCGCCAUGUGGUAAGUCCAAACCCUAUACCAGUUACAUUAAGAAUCAUUUAUAUGUGCACUAUCCAACAGAGAGAAGCAGCAGAGUCGGGCAGAAGUAUCUUACCAUUAUUCGAUCAUGCGGAUUAAGAAUUGCUGUAUAAACCUCAAAAUUAGCAGGAGAACCAGACAAUGGUUGAACAUUAACGCCCCACUUAUUUUCAUCCAAAUGAAAUGCUGCCAAAGCCCUCUUUUGGCAAAGUAUUUCAAGUUCAUCAAUGUACUCAUUGCCCCCAUAGUACCUGCAAUAAAAAUUAAGAUCAUUAGCUGCAAAUAAUAAAUCCAAAAACACGAAGAUCACAUCUCUAUGCAUUUAGCUUAACUCGAUAUACCUUUUACCAGGUAGUCCUUCGGAAUACUUGUUUGUGAGACAUGACCCAACUGCCUCCAUUACUGCUCGGGAUGUAAAGUUCUCCGAGGCAAUAAGCUCAAGGCUUUUGAACUGCCUCUCUUUCUCCUUGUUAAUAAUAGCACGAACCUCGGGAUCGGCUUCACUGAGGCCAUGGUCCACAAAUCUGGUUUCGGCCACAGGGAAUGAGUCCGAAGAGGGAGGCUUCCCAGUAACCAAGCUACUUUCAAGUUGAGCUCUACAGGGUUUGACAGAGUUGAGCUUAAGACCAUACCCUUUUAAAGGAAAAAUUGGUCUAUUCCCUUUGACCCAUAUGGGCUGUUGCAAAGAACCCAUCAUUGCAGCUCCAUUACAAGCCUGCAUUUUGACUUCGCACUAGUAUUUCUCACAAAUAACCUGCAAAUUUACAACAGAAUAACACAUAGAAUUAAAAUAAGAAAUUCAAUUCAUCAUCAAUUAAUUUAUAUGUUAGAGCAGAAAAUGAACAGCUAUUAAGACUUAAAUAAUCCCAUGAGAAACAGGCAAAAAGAAAAAAAGGUAAUUUCCUUUUAGAACUUGACCAUUACCAAUUCUUCUGUUAACCCAAAACACGAAAACUAAAGAACAGCAAUCUAUCUUAAGUUAAAAUACAGAUAAUAAACAAAUAUCUCAAUAACUGGAUAUGAAAAUUAGAGAGAGCAACGAAUUAAACAAAAUUUUAAGAAAGAAGGGCAUACUUGUUGGAAGGGUUCUCUUUUUUUUCUCUCGCGUUUUCUUUUUGGGUGCAAUGGAUUGAAGUGGCUCAAACUCUAAAACCCUAAAACUCGACAGCGGUGUGCUUUAGUAUAGUGGCAAAGAAGAAAAUUGAAGAGGAUUAAUUGCAGUAUAAGUCCUACAUUAUGAUACAAAUUUAAAUUAAUCCAUAAACCUUAAAAGGUUGAAUUUGAUUUCUCAAAGUACUAAUAUUGUACAAUCAUAUCUUUCCCUCAUCCUAACAUCGAUUUCAACAUUAAAUUUUAACGUGAAGUAUAUUUAAAGUUGAUAAAUAAAAAUUUUAAUAUGUAUAUACUUAUUACAUGAAUAGUUUAGAUUUGAUGAUUAUUAUCACUAAACUUUACAAAGAUUUUUUUUAAUGUGUCAAAUUUAAACUGUCAAUGUGAUAAAUACAAACGUGUUUAUAAUUUGACUAAAGUAUUUUUAAUAUACUUCGUGUCAAAUUCAAGACGAUAUUUAAUGUUUAAUUUUUAAAAAAAUAAUUAAUUUAAUAUUAACACUUUAAUAUUUCAAUUAAAAUAUUUUAAAUUUCAAAUACUAAUCUAGUGAAUUACCCUAAUUAAUAAAUAAAUGAAAAAGACGAACGGCGCCGAAAAUGGAAUGAUAGCGGAGAUUUGGGUUGUUGUCUUAUAAGGGUUAUAAAACCUUCCAUGCGGGUUGUUCCAUUGUAUCUACUCGUAUGUACCAGCUCUGAUGUUGCCACUUUUCCUACUAAGUCCUGAUUAAGUGAUAUUGGAUAUAGAGAGAAGGGGGGGGGGGGAAUCAACUACAUGAAAAUGCCACAUUCUUCAAUUAUGCUAAGAAAAAAAAGUGCAUACCAAAUUUGUAAGGUUUACCAAAAAUGCUAAUGGUUAGAAAUUUGGGUAAACUACAUAGAAAGUUACCAAAUUGUUAAUAAAUUUAUGUUGUAGUCACUUAAAUUUAAAAAGUUAUAAAAUGAUAAUUAAAUUAUUUAAAAGUUCUCAUAUGAAUUAUUAGAUUGUUAAAAUUGUUGUUGUAUGACUUUCUCCGUUUAUACCGUCUGCACCAAUUAAAAUCUCUUUUUCUUCUUCUCUUUUGCAAUUCAAUUUUUUUUAAAUGAAUAAUUUUGAACAUAAUGAAUUUAGGAACUAAAAAUCAAAUAGUUUUCUUCUCUAAUCUUCCAAACUAACCAUCAAAUCAACUUGAAUUUAAAGUAUGUUUUCUAUAUCAAUCAUCAAAUUGUGGCUUGGAGUUCACUAACCAAACUUACUCAAACUACUCCUCUUUCUCCAAGCUUAUCUUCCACUAUUCUCCAUCAGUUUUGAUCAAAUUUAGGAGGAGGUCUCAAGAAAUUAACUAUAACUAUGCAAUUAAAAACUGGUUUAAACGAAAAUUUUGACCUUCCAUAAUGGUCUUUAGGCAUUUCUUAAACUUGAAAUUUUCAAAUAAUAGCAGAAAAUAUUCAACGUAAUUUGAAAUUAGAAAGGAAAUGAACGUAAUUUCAAUAUAAAAAAAAAUUGAAGAAGCCAAUGAACAAAGCUGGCGGAAGAAAAGACAACCAAGUUACCAACUCCACCUUUCAUACUAUUAAUACAUUGGAUUAAAAAUAUUUUAUAUAUUACAACACCUGACACUAGAGGUGAUCAUGGGUUGGGUGGCCCAACCCAACCCGACCCAAUAGCCAUCCGAAAUAUGGGAGAGUUCGGGUAAAAAUAUAGGCCCGAAAUAUGAGUUUGGGCAAAAAACAUGGCCCGUUUAGAAAACGAGCCGGGCCUCGGGCAAACUUUUUUUGGUCAGCCUGGCAUAUAAUAAAUAUAUAUUUUUUAAAUACAUUUCCCUAUUUCCCAUUUCCCUAAGCCUGUGCACUGAUCAAAAUCCCUAAGCCCUUCCCUCCUCCCUUUUUUCCCCAAUUCGAAAAUCCACCUCCACCAAUCCACCAUUCCACCUUCGGUCCUCCACGGCUCCACCCAUCCACCAUUCCACCUUCGGUCCUCCACGGCUCCACCCAUCCACCAUUCCACCUUCGGUCCUCCACGGCUCCACCCAUUUCCAGAAUCAGAGGUUAGAGCGGUGCUUCUACGUCUUCUACCUUUGAAUUUCAAAUGUGAGUUUGCUGCUGUUAACAAUGUUAAGUUGUUAACCCUAGUUUAUUCAACAUGUAGUUUUUUACUUUUUGCUUUUUUAUUUUUGGAUUGAUGAGCUGAUUGAUCUCUGUUAUAUUAAUUUGACCAAUAGGGUGCUUUGAUUUUCUGCCUGUAAUUUAUAUACUGAUGUUGUUUGGAUCCUUUAUCCUGAUAAAGGAGGAAUCUUUUUGGGUGGUUAGGGUUAGGGUUUGGGAUGUUUUGGUAAUUGCUGGGGAAGGAUUGGUGUUUUGAUAAUAUGAUAUAUGGUGGUUUUCUAAUUUUGAUUUUAAGACACAGAAUCUUCCGGGGGAAUUAAAUCUGGAAUUUUGGAAUCUGUAUUCUGGAUUGUAUGCUCAACCUUUUGAAUUAGCAUUGGUUUACAUCUUUCACGGAUGCUUAGUCAAACCCAUUUUCCAUGCUUUACUAAUCUUGUGUCUGCCUUGUAAUCUGCACAUUGGUCGUUGUAUGGAUGCUGUAAGGGCCCCUCCUCCUCUUUGCCUGCUUAGUCUUGAGUUGAUUUUUUGCAAUAUCAAAGAGAAAGAGUUGUCUUCUUUCGAAAGUGAUGCUAGUGAGGAUAAAGACAUGAUCAUCACACUCCCAAAAAUCAAAGAGUUGAACUUGAAUGUGAUUAACAACAUAUGGAAGCAAGACUCCCCAUCUUGUGAUAUGUGUUAUUACAGAAUGUUGAACCGUCUGAAGAAAAGCAUGAAGAUAGCCUUUAAUUGCAUGAAGCUGGGCUAAUCGGACAAAAAUAGUGGUUCAGCAAGUGACACACAGUCGGGAUCAUGUUCAAAAUGAAAGGCCAGAUGGUGAGGCAUUUUAAUCAGGUUCUUAAAUGGAAAUUUCAUGUGUGCAGAUAUUAAAUAUUGACUUUUCAAGGAUUUGUGAGAUUUUUAUGGUUUUAGAUGCAGGGGAUUAUAUUUUCUGCAUUCUUUGUUUUUUUAGACAAUUUAAACCUGCUAAGAGGAGACUUUUUCAGCCUUCUUUUCCUCACAUAUGUAAUAAUGGUGAUUCAUGCGCCAUUUGGUUUAACAAAGCUGAAUAUUAUGCAUUUAAGUUUGGAUUGCAGGUAUAAUUGUUGAUCUUCUUGGCAGUCAAUGUUCUUUGCAACCCAAAAUAUGUAAUAUAAUAUAUUAGCCUACUUUAUUUUCCAUUAUAAUGUCAAGAGGUAUUUACUUUACAGAGUUGAAUACUCAUUUUUCUUUGCUGGUAGCAUUCUAUUCUCUAGUUUGCAAAUUGCAGUCACAAGAACAAAAACGACCCUACUUAUUAUUUGCGUACGUUUUAUGGCUCCAUUAUCUUCUAACUGCUGUAGAAAAAAAAAAGGCUGGGUCCGGGCUUACAAAUUUUUUCUUGGGCCGGGCCUGUACAAAAUUUUAGGCCCAUAUUUCGGGCCAGACCUGGGCUUAGAAAGCGGGCCAAAAAUUUUUCAGGCCCGGUCCAUUAUCACCUCUACCUGACACUUGACAGAGAUUAAAUCUUAUAACUUUUAAUUUUUUUCCUAUAUAGUUAUAUUUUAUAAUAUUUUUUCCUAAAUUUUAAAUAAUAUCUCAAUAUUUUUGUAUUAUUAUUAUUAUUAUUAUUAUUAUUAUUAUUAUUAUUAUCAUUUUCAAGUGUCACAAUUAGACCUAAUCAUGAAUCAGGUAGAGUUUUGGUGGAGCUAAUGCAAAUUUUUAGGCCCGUUUUCUAGGUCUCGACUUGAAAAAUAAACUUAAAAUUUUGUUUAAGCCCGACCCAGAUAAAAAUACUAAACUUGAGCCAACUCGGCCCGUCAUAUUAAAAAAAUUAUAUUAUUUUUUAUAUAAAAAUGAAUUUUAAAUAGUAAUACAUCAAAUUUAUUAAAAACAUUAAAAUAAAUUAUUCCCAACAAAUUAAAAAUAUAUUUUAAGAAAAAGUCUUUAUACUUAAAUAACACUAAAAUAGUUGCAAAUUAGUAAGCAAAUGUCUCUAAAAUAGUAAGAAAAUUAAUUACAAAACAAAAGUUAUACAAUAUCCAAACAAUAACAACAGAAAAGUGGUAAUAACAAAAUGGCAACAAAACAACAUUAAAAUGGAAAUAAACAACAAUGAAAAAUUUUAGGCAAAUUCGGGUAGGUCCGGGCUCGAGCCAAAAAAAUCUUACUCGAGGCCUAACCCGUUUAGAAAAUGGGCCUUAAUUUUUUUGUUGAAACCCAUUUUUCAAGUAUAUAUUUUUGGCCAAACUCUCUCACUUUUCGAGUGGGCUUUUGAGCUUGGGUGAGUGGCCCAACCCAUGAUCAGGUCUAGUUACACAUGAUAGAGAUACUUGAAAAUAAAAAAAGGGUCAUUAAAGUUAACGGUCAAAGGAUAUUUUUAAUGCAUUUUACCCGUUUAAAUACUCAAUUGAGUAAAAAAAAAAUAGAAGCUUAAUUGAUUUUUUUGAAAAAAUUUAAAAACUUUUUACACCCUUAAGCCUUCUAUUUUUUUAAGUAUAUUUACCAAGUUCACAAUAAUUUGGUUAAUUCCAUAAGUACACCAACAAUAAAUUUUGACAAAAAAUUUAAUUAUGUCAUCUAUAAAGUAAAAUAUUUAAAUAAAAAAUAAAAAAAUUAAUCUUAGAUAAACUAUAAAAAUAGUCACUUAACUAUUAGCGUAUUUCUAUUUUGAUCAUAUAGGUUUAAAAAAUUUUAUUUUAACCACUAACAUUACUGAAAUUUAAUAUUUUGCUUACUCAUUCAUUAUGAAAGAUUUUUUAUUGACAUAAUAACAAAUUUAUCUAUUCAAUAUUAACAUAUUCUAUCAAUUUGGUCUUAAUUCUAAAAAUUCAACAAAUUUAACCUCAACUUUACACAUUUUGAUAAUUUAGUCUUGAUUCUUAAAUUUUUAAAAAUUAAAAAAUAAAAAUAUUUAAAUGUUUAUGUUUUUGAUAAAUUUACAUAAGAUUUUAUAAAAAUACAUACAAAAUUAUAAAAAUAUUUAUAAAUAAAUGAAUACCCAUUUUUCUAACACGAAAUUUAUUUAUUAAAAUAAUAUUUUAUAAAUAAAAUAAUAAUCUUAUACAUAAAACAAUUUAAGGAAAAAAAACAUAAGAAGACUUGUAACACUACACACUUGACCAAGUCACCAAAUUCGAAUGUAUGAUGUCACAUUAUGUUAUCGAAACAACUUGAACUAACUUAGCACAUGUUCACAAAGUUUAGAUCAUAAUUACCAUGCAUAACAAUUAAAUCACCCAUUAUGUUCAUAUACGUGCAUUCAUUUAUACAUAGGAUUCUAAUUCAAUACGUUACAAGUUAUUGUGGGGUUGAUUUUAGAGUUAGGACUCAAAUCCAACUCAAUUAUCAAGUUUCAAUGAUAUGUCUCGAGACAGACCUCAUUAUAUUUUAAGAAAUUAUUUAUUUAUUUUGCUUCGAUAAUGCCAUGUCUCGAGACAUUAGAAUCCAUUUCGCAAUACAAGGUCCCUCAUGUCUCGAGACCAACCUUACUUAUUUUCUUAUUUUAGUUUCAAUGUUUGAAUGCCUCGAGACAAUGAGUUCUUGUCUCGAGACCUAAAACUGGACAAAAUUUAUUAGUUUUGAUGUGUAUGGUAAAUUUUGUUCCAACUGUCUUGAAACAGACUCGAAAGAUGUCUUUCUCGAGACUUGAUGGUGAAAUGACCCUAAAUGCACAUUUUCAAGUACCUAAAUCAUACCAAAUGGUACCAUGAACAUACUUAAACUUUACACCAAUAUAAAACCACCAAUUUGGCACAUUCAAACACAAUCAAAGAUCAUCAAAUCAUAUCUUAUUGAGUAUGAGUCCUAUUUCAAUCAAAUUUGAGAAAUAAUCUUCCAGUUAAACUCUAUUUAUUUGUUUCAAUCAAACGCUGAUUAGUCUAGAUUAUUUUUUUAUUAUUUGACCUAUAAAUUUAGCCUAUAAAUAGACUCUUUUACAAUCUUAGAAAAUACACCCAUUAGAUAUUAGAACUCAUAACACUUUUAGAGAAUUUUGUGUUUACGUUUUGAGGGUUCUUUGCUUUUUGGGUUUCGGGGUUUAGUUUUUAUCUCCAUAUUUGUACUCUUUGUUCUUCUGCCAUUAUAGUAUAAUUAUCUUUACCCGUGGUUUUUUAUCCUCUUGGGAGGGGUUUUUCCACAUUAAAUUUGUGUGUUUAAUUUUUUAAUUAUUUCCGCUAUUUUUACUUAUUCGUUACUUAAUUGGGUUAAUUCUCGACAAGUGGUAUCAGAGCUAGUUCAAAUUUCGUAGCUCAACCCGUUCAGAUAUGGCAGCAACAAGGUUUGAAAUUGAGAAGUUCGACGGUGUCACAAAUUUCAAUCUGUGGCAAGUUUGGAUGAUGACAAUUCUAGUUCAAACUGACCUAAAAAAAGUUGUUACCGAGAAAAAACUUGAGAAUUUAAAUAAAACAGAAUGAAAAGAGCUUGAUGAAAAGGCAUUGUCUGCAAUCCAGUUGUGCCUCGCAAAUACGGUAUUGCAGGAGGUAUUGAUGGAGAAGACCUCAUCUGCCUUGUGAAAAAGGUUAGAAACUCUUUAUGCGACUAAGUCUUUGGCUAACUAUUUAGUGUUGAAACAACGUCUAUUUACGUUUCGCAUGAACAAAUGUGAGCUUCUUAGAGAUCACAUCAGUCAAUUCAUUACUCUUUUAAAUGAUUUAAAGAAUGUUGAGGUUCAGAUUGACAAUGAAGAUCAGACUAUGCUAUUAUUGUACUUUUUACCCCUUUUAGGGAGACCCUAAUUUAUGGUAGAGACAAACUCUCGUUCGAAGAUGUGAAGGGUCAUUUUGUUGAGUUAAUACAAACUCGACAAUGAGUUUGGUUCAGAUAGCAAGGCAGAUAGGUAAGCUUUCGUUUUGGUAACAUCAAAGAAGCAAGACAAAAGAUGCUGCUAUUAUAAAAAGUUAGGUCAUGUCAAAGUAGAUUGUUAUAAAUUGCCGAAUAAAAGAGUUGCUGAGAGUAAUGAGGAAGAUGUAGAUGGUGCUAAUUUGGCCGAUGAAAGCAGUGAUGAUUUUUUGUUAGUGUCAACGAGCGAUAACUCCAAGCUUACGUCCGAGUGGAUCCUAGAUUAGAGAUGUUCUUUCCACAUGUGUCCCAAUAGAGAAUGAUUCUCCACAUACAGUUUGGUUGAAGGUGGAUUUGUGCGCAUGAAAAACUAUUCAUCCAGUAAGGUAAUUGGUAUUGGUACUGUUUAAAUUAGGAUGCACGAUAAGAUGAUUAGGACACUCUCAGAUGUCAGGUAUGUACCUGAUUUACGAAAGAAUAUCAUCUCCUUAAGUAUUUUAGACUCAAAAGGUUGCAGAAUCAACAUCGAGUCAAGCGACAUUAAGGUGUCACGUGGGGCUCUUGUUUUGUUAAAAGGUAAAAUGACCGGUAGUCUUUAUGACUGGUAGGUUCUAUAGUGACUGGUGAAAUCAGACGUCCCUCGUCCAUUAUGAAGUUGAAGUCAACUUGUUUAGAGCGGAGGCAACUUGGUCAUAGAAAGAAAAAAGGUAUGACCGUUUCAUUGAAGAGAGGUACUCUUUUGGAUGCAGGUUUCGAAAAGUUAGGGCAAUGUAUUCGUGAAAAUUAGGGUUAGUUUUGAUUUGGCAGUGUACAAGUCAAAGACUAGAAGUCUUCCAGUUUCUAAGCUCAGAUUCGACUCAGUUAAUUCUCUGCAUAGUUCAAGAUAGGCCCGUGGCAGGCUUUGGCAAAGAUGGCGUUGUGGAAAUAUGAGUUAAGGUGGAGAUUUGUUGAGUAUGAUUCCUAUUUCAAUCAAAUUUAAGAAAUAAUCUUCCAGUUAAACUCUGUUUAUUUGUUUCAAUCAAACUCUGAUUAGUCUAGAUUAUUUUUUUAUUAAUUGACCUAUAAAUUUAGCCUAUAAAUAUACUCUUUUACAACAUUAGAAAAUACACCCAUUAGAGAUUAGAAAUCAUAACACUUUUAGAGAAUUUUGUGUUUACGUUUUGAGGGUUCUUUGUUUUUUGGGGUUCGGGGUUUAGCUUUUAUCUCCAUCUUUGUACUCUUCGUUCUUUUGCCAUUAUAGUAAAAUUAUCUUUGCCGGUGGUUUUUUAUCCUUUUUGGAGGGAUUUUCCACGUUAAAUUUGUGUGUUCAAUUUCUCAAUUUCUUCCUCUAUAUUUACUUGUUUGUUGCUUAAUCAGAUUGAUCCCUAACACUAUCAAUGCAUCAAUGCCCAACCAACUAACUUGCAUAAUCAAACUCAUAUAAACUAGGUUAACUAUCAACUUAAUUACAUGUCAUAUAACCAAAACACAUAUAAAUACAUACAAAAUACUAAAUAGGCAACAAGAUAUAUCUUGAGUUGAGUUGUUGAUUUGGAUGCUUGACCACUUCAAAACUACAUCAACUCUCAUCCGAGUUCUGUACAUGAAGAUAACAAAACCAUAUGCCGAGUAUUGAAUACUCGAUGGUGCUAAUAUAAAUUAAAUUCAAUAUAUUAAGAUUAAAUUAAGACAAGUAUAUGAAUAUGACUUCAACUACAUUACUUUACUUUAUUACAAGAUCAAUAACCACAUAACUUCUCAAUCAAUACUUAUUUCAAUAUCUUAUAAUUUCAUAUCAUCGUGAACUCAAUAAUUCAACAUGUCAUUUAAUAUAAUUUUCUUACUUACUUAUUUCGGCCUCUAUUAACUGACGCUAGACAUUAGUUAAAAUAUUCGGAUCUAUAUACCAAGUAAAUCCACGACCCUCUCAGAAUAUUGGGAUUAUUCAAUCUAAAUAUCAAUAUAAAUCCACGACUCUAUGGGAAUUGAAGUUACUCACGUCCCCCUAGGAAUUGGAGUUAAACCAUUGAUAUCAAUGACUCUAUGGCAUGCCAACUAUACUUAGACUAUGUCUUACAUCAUUUAACAAUACAUAAUCAUUAUUAUCACCAUUAUCACGCAAUUCAAUAUGAUAUCAAUAUCUCAAUAUUAUAUAUACAUUUAUAUCAAGCAUAUAUAUAUAUAAAAAUCAUAAUUCCAUCAUUCAUAUCUUGAUUUCGACAAUCAUGAUAUAAAAAAUUGAAAGAUACUAUUAUCUUGCCAUUUGUUUUGUAUUUAUUUAUAACAAUUAAUUAAUCUAUGAAUAAGUUAUUAAAAGUGAAUUAUAGAAGCACAAACCAGAAUAUCUAUUUAUGUACAGCUUUGGACUUCCUUCAUCCCGAAAUCAUCCUACUUCGUCUUUAGCAAUUCUUUAGUUAAAAGCCACGGCAAUGGAGAGCUUAAAAACAAACUUCUCCCUAUUUUGUGUCUAAGUUUCGGUGGAAAGAAGGAGAAAAUGAAAUCUUUUCAUCCAUUCUCAUUUUCUAAUAUACAUCUAAUAUGUAUUAUUAAAUUAAAACAAAAUAUCUCAUCCAAGGGUUGAGAUUUUAUUACGAAAGUGUGAGUGGAAUUUAACGGCAUGGAUCAUGCCUAUCCACUAACCCACUUUUGAUUAUGGGAAAAUUUGAAAUAAGUCCUUGGUUAAUUUGCUAGAUAAGGCCAUAAGUAUUUCUUUAAUCAAUUAUCAUUUGUGUGACCCCUUUGCAAGGUAGCCCCUAUACUAUGUUUAAUAUCCGAUUUAAUUUAAUCCCACUUAAUAGUUCGACCCUAUAUUUCCUUAUCCGAUAUGUAAACAUUCGAUUCUAAUUUUUAGCUGAUUCAUUUUAAUUAAAACCGAUUUCGAAUCAGAUUUUCCAACACCAUUAAAAUCGAGUUGUUACAAGAAGCAAAUUCAACUUUUCCAUUUUUUCAAUAUUAACGAUCAUUAUGUUCAAGUUGGGUCAAAAGCUAUAGCCUAAGGGUGGGCACAAUUGGGGAUAAUACAGGUGAGAAUGAAGUCUUAUGGUGGGUUUGGAUGGGCGAUUGGGUGUGGUGCGGUGCGUUUAGCUUACUUUUUGUCUCACGCUACAGUAUCACUACAGUAUCUAAUCUCAUCGCUACCGCUAUUUUUACACUAACCGCAGGUAAAAGCACCCCCAUCCAAACUCACUCUUAGACAUCUAGUAGGUGGAAGGCCAUGCCAGCAGAGCCACAACCGAUUCCUAGUCGGAUGGUACGAUGACGGUGGUGCCAAGGGUUGUGGGAGAAAGCAGUACCCAACGCUCGACAAAUUUGGUAAGGACUAAAGAACAAGGCCAAAUGUAUAAUAAAUUAUUUAUUAUUUAUAAAAUAAAAUUAAAAAAGAAAAAGUUUAAAUUCAGUUUAAGUCUUGUUUAUGAUUUUUUUAAUAUUUUAUUUAUAAAAUAAUAUUUUAAUAAAUAGAUUUCAUGUUAGAAAAAAAAUGGGUAUUCAUUUAUUUAUAAUUUUGUUUGUAGUUUUAUAAAAUCUUAUGUAUUUUUAUUGAAGAAAAAAUGAAAAUUUCAUGAUAUAUAUUUUUUAUUUUUAAAGUUUCUUAAAUUUUUAAAAUAUAAAAAAUCAAGAAUAAAUUAAUAGAAUUUGUAAAAUUGGUGGUUAAAUUCAUUGAAUUUUUUAGAAUUAGGACUAAACUAAUAGCUAAAUUUGAUAUUAUGCCAAUAAAAAAAACUUAUUUUAGUGUAAUUUAACAGAUGAGUGACCUAAAUAUUAAAUUUCAAUAAGACUAAAAUAAAAAAUUAAAAAAUUAAAAAAUCAAAUAAAAAUACGCUAAUAAUUAAGUCACUAUUUGUUAACUUUAAGUAAUCUUUAUAUUUUUACGAAUUGUUCACAUUAAAUAAUCUUUAUAUUUUGACCUAUUUUGCGUGAAUCCAACUGAACUGGUGGGGGGAUCAUUUGAAGUAAGAACCAACCAAAGCAUUGAUCAAAGAUGGACAUCAAAUCAAUUGAUCUAAAAAUAAGUUGAACUCACUAUAAAACGGGUAGAACGGAAAUUUUUAACUUUUAUAAAUUUUCUAAUGAUUUAAUGAUUUAUUCAAUUUAUUGGACAAACUGGUCCGACCACCAAUUUGGUUUUGAAAUCAUAAAUUUUGAUUGAAAUAAAACAAUUUCCAAACGGUGAAGUUAAUCAGAAGGCUCCCAAAGCUGAAGCAUAAUGUAAUAACAAAUGGAAAUCAUCCUCCCCACAUUAUAUGAACUAUGAAAGCACACAAUCUUUGGAACAUGAUGGAAGCCAAAUAGCAUAAUAACCCAAUAGGCAAGGGCCGGGGUUCUCAAUUAACUAUCAUAACAUUAGUAUAAUUUUCGCCAUAGCAUGUUCAAAAGGAGUGGUCAGAUUCUUGACAAUAACAACCAGAGCCACGACAGAUUCUUUAUUCCACAUGAGAAAGUCCACCAGUUUCAGCCCGGGUCCUGUACGAAUAUAAUUGUUUUUCAUUAAUAAAACUCAAAAUAAUAAUUCUUACUACACGGACAUGGAAAGGUGUAUAUAUAUAUAUAUAUAUGAACCUAUGUCAGCUAUCGAUGGAGUAAGGUUUAUAACAUCUAGACAGCCAUAUCUACCAGUUAGCAGAAUAAUUCAAAUACUUAUGUCGACAUCAACCCUAAUACAUGAAGUGAUUUAGCAAGAGCAAAAAACUUACUUGUGAUCAGAAGGAUUGGGCGUAAUUUCAUAAACAAUCGUUGCAACAACAUCUCUUUUUAACUGUCAAUCAAAUUCGGGAAAUAUAUCAUUACGGGGAAAGGCGGGAGGAAUCAUCUUCGUUGGUAAAUCAGAGCAGGAAUUGAAAUACCUGUGUGGCUUCGCCUUUAAAACCAAUGUAGUGAAUUUGGGUUGUAUCACCACCAAAACUCUCGGGAAAAUGCAAUGUAAUAUUUGCCACACUUUGAAACUUUGAGUACCUAAAUAAGCAAGUUAAUAUGGCAUCAGAAACUAGAAAACAGAGAGGAUGAAAGAGCUCUCCGUUAUUUCAAUUAAGUCUUUUAUGAGCAUUCACUAAACAUUGCAAGUGCCAAGUAGAACCAGCUCUCAUGUACAAGUAAGCAUGAACUAAUAGUUCGGUGCGGACAAGUAGGACUACCUACCUUGUCUGGUAUUCUAACACUCCUUGCAGAUUUUCAACCAAUUCCCACUCCUUCAAGGAAAAUGUAACGAUUUAGGUAAACUUUCUUGAAUUUAACAGUAUAUUCCUUGACAUGAGGAGAUAAGCAGUACCUGAACAGGUUGCAUGCUUUGAGCAUCAGAGAAAUCAAUACCUUCUCGAUUUAUAAAUCUAAUCAAGACAAAUUGAAAAAAGAAAAGAUUAAUCUUUCAUAAAUACAACUGGAAGAAAUCCAUAGAGAUUAGGGAGAUGGGGCAGCAACAUCCCCUUUCAAACCACCACAAGAUUAUGUUGUUUAGAAGUAUCAGGUGUUGAACUUAAAGAUAUCUUCAAUGGGAAAGCAGUUAAAAAAGCAUUCAAACAAAUUUGAAAUACCAACAUUCAUUGCUAAGAGCUAGCAGAAGUUAACCGGAACACUUGAUAAGUCAUAUGAACUUACACUCUCAGCUUGGAAGGACUUGUUCCAUCAGCACCACCAACAACUGAUAUACUCUUGAUCUUAACAUCUGAUGUAAACCUAUCAUAAGAAAUCAAGUUAUAUGAGAAAUCAGACGAGUAAAAGAACAAUUAUAAAAUUCAUUCAACAAUUUUGGAGAUGCAUUAAUGUAACUAUUACUUGAAUCUCAAUAUACAUUUCAAAUAUGCACUGAGUUACCAAGCAAGGAACGAUGGAAAGGUUAGACAUGAGGAUAAAACUCAAACACUAAUUAGCAAUGAAAAUUAAAUAUUUUUCAUCUCUAAGGUUCAAACAACACGCCUCCUUCACUUAGCCUCAAACACCAAAGGUUUAAUAUGGGCACUUAUAGCAUUAAAAUUGAAGAUGUAGAUGCUAGUUAGUAAAUCCAUGGAAGUUGUGCCUAGAACUAAGGAAUGCUAAAACCACCAGAGCCCCGCCAAAGACUCGAGCCAAAGAGUGCCAAGACAGGUCACCAUAGGCAAACAGAUGAAGGACUCUUGACAAGCAUGGCAAAGGCCGAAUGUCCUAUUAGCUACAAGCUUAACUAUAAGGUUAUGCUGUUUAAACCUCUUGAAGACUGCAAGGCAUGGGAUGCAAACUUUGCAAAGGCACCUGGACCGUCGUCAACAACAUCAGGACCCAUGUGAGGACCCUUUAAAGGAUAAGACACUUCCCAAUCACAUCCCAGAGACAUGUUGAGGGUCCUCCAUGACUCAGCAGCAGCUUUCCUACACAAAACACCUAUAAGACGAGGAUCCCAACACAAUAGGUAUAAUAACCUAUCUCUACCACCUUCAUGCUUAAGACACCUAAGAUACUUUUACUCUGCCAAACCAUUCUCAAACCACCUAAACAUUUAUCCAACCACUACCCGAGGCUCUUAAUACCAUCAUGUGAACCUUCACUUCUCUUCUAGACGCGUACUUUACAUUGACAGAAGUAAUACAUGACCUUCAAAGUGAACUGUCAAGUCAUACUAAAAGGCACUAAUACAAAUAAAGAAAAAGUCACUUACGGAAUGUAAACAAGUAACUCAGGAUCACCCUCAUUACUUUCCAAGCGUUCCUGCCACGGUUCAAAACCCUUAUCAAGCUACCCAUACCAUUGAAAUGACACUGAGAUGCAUAAUACAAAAUGAUUUUAAAUAAGGAUUAUGAAACUACAGAAAUAAUUGAACACACUCAUCAUUUGUUUAAAUAAAUUCAUAUUUAUUUUUAUAUAAGCAAACUUAAUUAAAAAAUAAAAAAAUUUACCCCAGAAGAAUUUAAUCGCUCCUCCCAAGCCUUAAACACCGAUUUAACACUUCCUGGAUUAGCCUCAUUUAAAGCGGUAACCUAACAAUAACCAAAAUUUCCAAGAAAACACAAAAGCAAAUAUGUCAAUUCAUUAAAAGAGAAGAUUGAGAACAUAAAACGAAUUAAUAAUUCAAAUAUCAAUUAAGGACAAUAAAAAUCAGUAACGAAUCAGUAGAAUAUUCAAAAAUAUUCCAGCAAAAAUUAAAAUAAAAAUAAAGAGAGAAAGAACCUUGGCGAGGUCGAUGUGCUUGUAAAGAGACCAAUUAGAAGAACAAUCGUGAUCUUCGCAGCUGUGGUCGUGCGUACACGCCAUUUUUGCCUGAUCUCUCUCACUUUCUUCGCAGCCAAACAAGCAAUAAAACACAAAAGACAGAGAACAAUCGAGAAAAAGAGAUGCUAAAAAAACGUGGCGAAUACGCACCGUUUCCUGCCACCUCAAUGGGUUGAGUUGGGUUGGGUCAAGGAUUACUUAUUUAUAUUAUUUUUUAGAUAUUUUUUUCAAGUAAUCAGAGGAAGGAAAUUUCAUAAAUGAAUUAACUUCCAAUUAAUCUCAAAUGAGCGGCUGAUUUAUAUGUAUGUCGUUUUUAUUUUUAAAUUAGGGUUUUAGGUAGGUUUUUUUUUAAAUUAAGAAAAUAAGUUGUUGUUAGAGAGAAAAACGGAAAGCGUUCCCGUUGGAUGUGUUUUUCGUUUCUCUCUAUUAAGGUUAGGGUUUUUAAUAUUGUUAGGUUUAGUAUUUUUAGGGUUUAGGAUUUUUUGGGUAUUGGGUUUUCAAUUGAAAUUGCAAAAUUUCAUAGGUAGUUUUGAGGAAUCGGGGAUAUGAUAAUGCGCCUCUUAACACACACAUUUCAUAUGUCAUGGCGGGAUAGGACCAUUACCUAAGAAACCCGUCUUGGGAAAAUCAGGGUUUUUAGGUAACAGUGGUUGAUACAAUUAAGGGUUGAAGUCUAGGUGGAGGUCCUAGUUGGCGGUCGUGAUGUGAUCAUGGGUUUGAGUAUAAUAGGGGGCUAGUUGACGGUUGUUAUGCGGACACGAGUUCAAGCUUUUUCGAUACCCGCAAAUGAUGCUUUAUAUAUACUAUACAUAAGAUUGAGGCCGUAAUUAUAGGAAAAACGAAAGGCUUUCUGGUGUAAUCAACGUAAUUUUUUCUCUAUUUCCAGCAGCCAAUAUCUUUAACCAUUCAUUCUUAUUUGAAGGCUGACACAGAGGUGGGCAUAAGAGGACUCUUAGAAGGAGGGUGAAUGUUUCAGUGAAAGUAAAGGUCAAACUCGGGUUGGCAUUGUAGCGUUGUAGUUAUUAAUGAGUUCUUUGAUAACGAUAGUCGUCGUUGGCUCGAAAGGAGCAUCACCUUUACUCCACCGAAACAACCGCUUCUCGCUUGAGAGUCCUCCUGCGUUCGCGACAGUUUCGGCCUUCGGAUAAGAAGAAAGGUUAAAGGUACCGGUUACUUAGAAAUGGAGAAAAAAUUAUGCCGAUUAUAGUUGGAAGCUCCAUAGUUUUUCCCUAUGAUUAUGCCCUUAAACUUUUGUAUAGAGUUUGUAAUGCAACAUUUUUUAGUAUUCUAAAAGUUUUUGCUCAUGACCGUGUAACGACCGUCAACUAGCUUCCCCGUUAUACCCCGAUCUAUGAUCGCAUAACGGCCGUCAAUUGAGACCUCCACCUAGACUUCCACCCGUGACUUGUCUUAUGAAGAAGAGUCGAUCAAGAUUUUGACUCGCGAGGUGAAAGAAUUACGUAACAAACGAGUUUCAUUAGUAAAAGUGCUAUGACGUAGUCAUAGUGUUGAGGAAGCGACUUGGGAACCGGAAGAAACGAUGAGAUCUCAAUAUCCCCACGUCUUUUUAGGUAAAUUUCGGGGAUGAAAUUUAAUUAGGGGGAGAAUUGUAACAACUCGAUAGUUAGAGGUGUCAGAAUGUGUAUUCCCGAGACUCCAUUCCUGUAAAUCAGACUCGCAAAUAAUUGUGUAGUUAAUUAGAUUUCGGUUAAGUGAAUUUACAUGAAUUAAUAAUUAUUAUUGUAUAAGGACUAAAUCGCGUAUAUGGUAAAGGUUGAAAUAUAGAUUAAAAAUUUAUUGAGGGACUAAAGUAACAAAUAUACAUUUGCCUUGUUUAGGGGACGGUAUUAUGAAGUAUGUAUAUAUUAUUAUAUGUAACCUUAUUAUAUAUAUAUUAUAAUAGUUAAUAAAUUAAAAGUUAAAUAUAUAUAUGUAUUAUAUAAUAUUAAAGAAUAAUAAAUGAAAAGAAAGUGAAAUUUGAUGAUAGAAAGCAUGCAAUUAAAUAGAAAAUAAAAGAAAGAAAAAGAAAGAAGAGAAGAAGGGUUAACGCACGACUAUAGGGACCUUAAGGUUCAAACUUCAAUCGGUUAGUCAAUUUAGUCUCUUUUCUUGUAAUUUUUAUAUUUUUGGAUUCCCGGUGUUAAGUACUACCGACCCAUGUCAAAAUUUUAACAUUGAUUAAUAUUUUAAAUAUUGUUAUUUUUAAUAGUUUUAGUAUUAGUGAUUUAAUCGAUAGAUUUUUAAGCUAGAAAUGGAAAAGGAUUAAAUUGUAGAACAAGCUAUAAAUUUUGAGUAAUAGGGACUAAAUUGUGAAAAUUUUAAAAUUUAGGGGUUGCAAAUGAUCUAGAGUGUCUAGAGUGUAUCUAGAGUGUCUUAGUUAAUAGUUAUUUUGUGGACGGAUUGCAAAUGAUGUUAUAAGUAUAAGUUUGGUUUGAGUAUAAAAAUAUAUGUUUGUGUUUGAAGCCAUAAUUUGGCAUGUUGAUUUGAAUCAAGACUUGUUAGGUGUUUGUGAAUUUAAGUUUGAUGUUUUAGGUAGAUAUAAGCUAGGUCAAAUUGAUUAAUUUUGGCAUGUUUAAAACUUUGAUUUAAAUGGUGCAUGAAUGAUAUGUUUUGAUGAUAUAACAUGUGGUAUUAAUGAGGGUACAUUGGUUAGGCAUAUUAGGUGAUGAAUUUGGUGUAUUUUGGGCAUGUUUAAUCGUGUUUUGAAUAGGUUAAACGAUUGGUAAUUGAGUUGCUUAGUUCCCAAGUAAGUAGGAAAUGAUAAACUUGAGUUUUAAGGUACUUUUGGAUGCACACAGCCUGGCCACAAGGGCGUGUGUCACACACGGACAACACACAUGGGCUUGUGACCCAAGUAAGAGAGUUACACGACUUGGCCACACGGACGUGUGUCUUAGCCAUUUGAGGUACACGGCCUGGCCACACAGGUGUGUGACCUUGCAGUUGAAAAUUUUCUAACUUUUUCUUAAAAUUUUCAAACGUUUCCAAUUUAGUCCCGAAUCAUUUCUAAAGUGAUUCUAAGGCCUCAAGGGCUUGAAUAAGAGACGAUAUGUAUGUUCAAUGAUGGGUUAUGUUAUGAUUAUUGAAAUAUUUUGAAAUAAAUGAUUUAGGUUACGUUUACUACGUAAUGCUCCAAAACCUUUUUUGAUGAUUAAUACGGGUUAGGGGUGUUACAUUUAUUGGUAUCAGAGCUUGUAGGUUUAGCCGAUUCUCGAACUAAAUCGAGCUCAGAAUUGAGUCUAGAGAUACAUGCCAUAGUUGAGUAGAUCUGAGUCGAGAUUUGGAUGCUAAUUAUAUUUGUUUUUAUUUUAUAGAUGAAAAUGUCAGAUAACUAUAAUAAUGAUACUGAUCAAGAGGUGUAUACCGGAGAUGAUGUCUCUAAUGAGUUAGAUGAAACUGAAUCAGUAACACCGAAUGUUAAUCCAGUUAGUGCUCAACAACCUAACGUUGAGUGAUGUAAAACUGAGGGAGGAGGCGACUCAGAGUUACUUUGAGCUAUCACUGAUGCUCUUCAGCGUGUUACGGGAACCACAUCCGCUACGACAUCUGCACCUCUUAUUCUUCAAGCAUCGAUAAAAGAGUUAUGUAGAUACGGUGCGACCAAAUUCUUAAGGUUGAAAGGAGUUGAUCCUUCUGCAGCUGAAGUUUGGAUUGAAUCUACUAAACGUGUCUUGCAACAACUUAAACGCAACCCAUGUGAAAGUGUAAUAUGUGUUAUUUCUCUACUGUAAUGAGAAGCAUAUACCUGGUGGCAAUCAGUGAAGCGCCAUGUAUCCGUUGAUCAAGCUAAUUGAGAAUUCUUUAUAAAGAAAUUCCAAAAGAAAUAUGUGGAGGAACUGUAUAUUGAUGAUAGAAGACAAGAAUUUUUGAUGCAGAAAUAAGAUGGAAUGUCUGUGGUUGAUUAUGGAUGAGAGUUUUCGCGACUUACUAGGUAUGCUGUUAAAUUUGUACCGACUAAAAUUGAAAGUUACAAGCAAUUUUUGUGUGGUUUACACAAUGAGCUUUAGGUGCAGUUAGUAUCACAUAGAGUUAUUGAGUUUGCUGAUUUAGUUGAACGGGCAAGAAUGGUAGAACAAGCUUUGGGUCUUGAUAAAAAGACCGAGACUACUCGUACUGUUGAAAACAUCCUGGAGUUACUAGUUCAAAUCCACAACUGAAGAGAUCAAAAGAAUUUUGUGGUAGCUGGAGGUCAACUUUUAAGUCAGAAAUAGUAAAUAGAAAUCGUGUUCGACAACCGACUGUGUCCACGGGUAGUGUACGAGGUCCAAUCAGGAAUACCGAUAUUCUAAUUUUUGAGCAUUGCAAGAAAAAAAGCGUCAUGGUGAGUGCUAAAAGUUAACUCGAGGUUGUUUUCACUGUGGAUCCACGGAGCAUUUUGUUAGAAAGUGUUCGAAGAAUAAUAAUGCUGACCCUGUUACUUCUUAGAGGUCUGUACCUGCACCUAAGGGUCGCAGGUCGAGUCAAGGUGGUUCAUUUUCGAGAGGUGGUGCUAGAAAGGGAAAUGAUGUUGUUACUCAUCAAUCAGAGGCUAGAGUGUAGGUCUGAGCUUAUGUUGUGCGGACACGAGAGGAUGGUGAUGCUAAUGACGUCGUGACAUGUAUCUUUUUGUUACAUUCAGAACUUGUUUAUGCUUUGAUAGAUCCGGGAUCUUCACAUUUAUAUGUUAAUAUUGAAUUAGUUAGAUCGGGGAGUUUAAAAUCUGAGACGUCUAGAGCAUCGAUAGUGGUGUCCAGUCCAUUGGGACAAUAUGUGUUAGUGGAUUAGGUGUGUAGGAGAUGCCCGUUAGUGAUACAGAACAUAACCUUCCCUGUUGAUUUUUUUAUAAUGGCAUUUGGCGAUUUUGAUAUGAUUUUAGGUAUGGAUUGGCUCACGGAACAUGGAGUGAUUCGGGAUUGCUGUAAAAAGAAGUUUAUUGUUCAGAAUGAGGAUGGUGAAAUGAUUGAAGUAAAUGGUGUUCGAACGAGUGGUUCAACUCAUAUCAUUUCAGCAAUUCGAGUUGAUAAACUUCUCAAUCAAGGCUGUGAAGCUUUUCUAGCCUAUGUUAUCAAUUCAAAUUCUAGAGAUAGUCAGAGUAGUAAAAUCCAAACUCUUUGCGAAUUCCCUAAUGUGUUUUCUGAGGAAUUACUGGGAUUACCACCAGAUCGGGAAGUUGAGUUCGCAGUUGAACUUUUUCUUGGUACGACUCAAGUGUCAAUGUCACCUUAUCAUAUGACACCCACAGAAUUAAAAGUGAAAGAUAGUGACGCACCGAAAAUGAUAUUUCGUACGCUUUAUGGCCACUAUGAAUUUUUAGUGAUGCCUUUUGGGCUGACAAAUGCUCCGAUAGCAUUCAUGGAUAUCAUAAACUGUAUUUUCCAAUCGUAUUUGGAUCAAUUUGUAGUAGUUUUUUUAUGACAUUUUGAUCUAUUCAAAAUCUGAAUCCAAGCGUGAGCAACAUCUCAGAAUUGUUUUGCAAGUAUUACGAGAGAAACAGUUAUAUGGAACGCUUAGCAAAUAUGAAUUCUGGUUAGCAGAGGUUGUAUUUUUGGGUCAUGUUAUCUCGUUAGAUGGGAUCAGAGUUGAUUCAAAAAAGAUCGAGGCAAUUGUUCAGUGGAAAUCAUCGAGAAAUGUGUUAGAGGUUCGCAGUUUUCUCGAACUAGCUGGUUAUUACUGAAGAUUUGUAGAUGGAUUUUUGAAGAUAGCUUUGCCGAUGACAAAGUUGUUGCAUAAGAAUGUUCAAUUUGUCUGGGAUGAUCAAUGCCAAGAAAUUUUUUAAAAAUUGAAAGAAUUGUUGACUGAAGUGUCGGUUUUGACUUUACCAGAAUCGGGAAAGGAUUUUAUGGUAUUUACUGAUACUUCUUUGAGCAGUCUCGGUUGUGUUUGAUGCAAGAUAGAAAAGUGAUCGCUUAUGCAUCUCGUCAGCUAAAAACGCAUGAAUGCAAUUAUCCAACGCCUGAUUUGGAGCUAACUGCUAUGAUUUUUGCUCUAAAGAUUUGAAGACACUACUUGUACGGUGAAAAGUGUCACAUCUAUACUGAUAAUAAGAGUCUCAAAUACCUUCUAUCCCAAAAGGAGUUAAAUUUGAGAUAACAUUGUUGGGUCAAGAUUUUGAAAGAUUUUGAUUGCGUUAUUGAUUAUCAUCCUGGUAAAGCUAACAUUGUAGCCGAUGCGUUGAGUAGAAAAAUAACGGUUGAUUUGUGAGAAAUGUUUGCUCAGCUCAGUAUCAAUAAAGAUGAAAGCUUGUUGGCUGAAUUAAAGAUCAAACUGGUGAUGUUUGAUCGGAUCAAGGCAGCACAAUUAGAUAAUGACAAGUUGGCGAAGAAAAGAGAAAUGGUUCAGAAUGGCAUAUUAGAAAAUUUCAGCAUUGAUGAUUGUGAUUGCUUGAGAUUUCAUAACCGAAUCUGCAUUCCAGAUGUUUCAGAAUUAAAAGAGUUGAUACUUAACAAAGCUCUUGAUAGUCCUUUUGCUUUGCGUGGAGGGACGAAAAUGUAUCGCGAUUUCUGAGAAUCCUAUUGGUGGCCAGGAAUGAAAAUAGAUGUGGUCGAGUAUGUGGCUAAAUGCUUAACUUGACAACGAGUUAAAGCAGAACAUCAGGUUCCCACAGGAUUACUUCAGCCUAUUUCCAUUCUUGAGUGGAAAUGGGAUCGUAUCACAAUGGAUUUUGUAACGGGGUUACCUUUAUCAUCAAGUAAGAAAAAUGUUGUGUGGGUGAUUGUUGAUUGACUUACCAAAUCAGCUCAUUUCAUUACGGUUAGGACUGAUUGGUCACUCAAAAAACUUGCUGAAGUUUAUAUUAAGGAAAUUGUGAGAUUACACGGUGUCCCUAUGUCUAUAAUCUCUGAUUGAGAUCCGCGUUUCACUUCGAGAUUUUGGAAAUAGUUGCACGAAUCUCUUGGUACACGACUUAAUUUUAGAACAGCUUCUCACCCGCAGACAGACGGACAAUCUGAGCGUGUUAUUUAGAUUUUGGAAGAUAUGCUUCGCACUUGUGUUAUUGAUUUGGAAUCAGGUUGGGAGCGUUACUUAUCUUUAGCCGAAUUCGUAUACAACAAUAGCUUUCAAUCAAGUAUUCAAAUGGCUCCGUACGAAGCUUUAUACAGUCGUAGGUGUUGAACACCUAUUUGUUGGAUGGAAUUGGGUGAAAGAAGAAUGAUUUGACCAGAAUUAAUUCAAGAAAUGAAAGAUAUUGGUAAGAAAAUUUGAGAUAGAUUGAAGACAGCCUUCAAUAGAAAGAAAUCUUAUGGAGAUUUGAAAUAUCGAGAUAUUAAAUUUUUUGUCGGAGAUAAAGUAUUUCUUAGAGUAUUACUUUGGAAGAAAAUUUUGAGAUUUGCCCGAAAAGGGACGCUGAAUCCUCGUUUUAUUGGGUCGUAUGAGAUCAUUGAAAGAGUGGGACUAGUUGCGUAUCGUUUAGCUUUGCCUGUGAAAUCACAUAAAUGUAUGACAUUUUUCAUGUCUUAAUGCUUAGAAGGUAUCGAUCGGAUCCGUCUUAUAUUAUUUCAACGGAAGUCAUAGAGAUUCAACCUGACUUGUCUUAUGAAGAAGAACCGGUUGAGAUUUUGACUUGCGAGGUGAAAGAAUUACGUAACAGGCGAGUUCUGUUAGUGAUGCUAUGGCGUAGUCAUAGUGUUGAGGAAGCGACUUGGGAAUCGAAAGAAACGAUGAUAUCUCAAUAUCUCCACCGCUUUUCAGGUAAAUCUCGGGGACAAAAUUUAAUUAAGGGGAGAAUUGUAAGAACCCGAUAGUCAGGGGUGUCAGAAAGUGCAAUCCUGGGACUCUAUUCCCGUAAAUCAGACUCGUAAAUAGUUGUGUAGUUAAUUAAAUUUCAGUUAAGUGAAUUUGCAUGAAUUAAGAAUUAUUAUUCUAUAAGGACUAAAUCGCGUAUAGGGUAAAAGUUGAAAUAUAGAUUAAAAAUUUAUUGAUGGGCUAAAGUAGCAAAUAUACAUUUGCCUUGUUUAGUGGACGACAUUAUGAAGUAUAUAUAUUAUUAGAUGUAAAAUUAUUAUAUAUGUUAUAAUAGUUAAUAAAUUAAAAUUGAAAUUUGAUGAUAGAAAACAUGCAAUUGAAUAGAAAAUAAAAGAAAGAAAAAGAAAAAAGAGAAGAAGGGUUAACGCACGGCUAUAGGGACCUUAAUGUUGUGAUCAUAAAUGAGAUAUAUGAGAAAUAUACUCAUAGAUUGAAGAUAGUUGGUUUAUGCCAUUGUUAAAAAUGAAUUGUUGAAUGAUCUAUGAAAAGCUAUUUUUAUAGCAAGUGAUAUUAAUUGAGUUAUAUGUUAAACGAACUAAUGGAAGAAUAUUUGUGAAGUUGAGCAAAUCAUGAAAUAAUGUGCUAUUAUGCAUGAAAUUGAUAUGGUGAUAAAUUACAAUUGCUUGUUAGAUAGUAAUGUGAUUAUACAAUUCAAAUUGAGGAUUCAUGUAUCUUGAUGUCUUUAAAUGUUCAGAUUAUAGAAAUAUCACUGAGUUUCACUCAGUGUACGAUUUUUUUUUCUGUGCGCAGGUUAGGUACUUCACUUUUGAUCGCCGACCCGAUCUCAAAUGUGGUGAUGUUUACCUUUUGUGAUGACAUGUACCUAGAGUGUCUUAGUUAGUAGUUAUUUUGUAGAUGGAUUGUAAAUGAGGUUAUAAGUAUAAGGUUAGUUUGAGUAUAUAAAUAUAUGUUUGUGUUUGAAACCAUAAUUCGACAUGUUGAUUUGAACAAGACUUAUUAGGUGUUUGUGAAUUUAAGUUUGAUGUUUUAGGUAGAUAUAAGCUAGGCCAAAUUGAUUGAUUUUGGCAUGUUUAAAACUUUGAUUUGAAUGAUGCAUGGAUGAUAUGUUUUGAUGAUAUAACAUGUGGUACCAAUGAGGGUACAUUGGUUAGGCAUAUUAUGUGAUAAAUUUGGUGUAUUUUGGGUAUGUUUAAUUGUGUUUUGAAUAGGUUAAAUAAUUGGUAAUUGAGUUGCUUAGUGCCUAAGUUAGUAAGAAAAGAUAAACUUGAAUUUUAAGGUAUUUUUAGCUGCACACGGCCUGGCCACACGGACGUGUAUCACACACGGGCAACACACAUGGACGUGUGACCCAAGUCAAAGAGUGACACGGCCUGGCCACACGGGUGUGUGUCUCAGCUGUGUGAUGCAUACGGCCUGGCCACAUGGGUGUGUGGCCCCUGCAGUUGAAAUUUUUCUAAGUUUUUCUUAAAAUUUUCAAAAUUUCCCAAUUUAGUCUCGAAUCAUUUCGAAAGUGAUUCUAAGGUCUCGAGGGCUUGAAUAAGGGACGAUAUGCAUGUUUAAUAAUGGGUUAUGUUAUGAUUAUUGAAAUUUUUUUAAAUGAAUGAUUUAGGUUGCGUUUAUUCGAUAAUGCUCCGAAACUCUUUUCCGGUGAUGAAUACAGGUUAGGGGUGUUGCAUUUAGUGGUAUCAGAGUAGGUUUAGCCUAUUCUCGAACUAAAUCGAGCUCAGAAUUGAGUCUAGACGUACAUGCCAUAGUUUAGUCGAAUUGAGUUAGGAUUUGGAUGCUGAUUAUAUUUGUUUUUGCUUUAUAGUUGAAAAUGUCAGACGACUAUAAUAAUGAUGUUGAUCAAGAGAUGUAUACUGAAGAUGACAUCUCUAAUGAGUUAGAUGAAAUCGAAUUAGUAACACCAAGUGUUAAUCUAGUUAGUGCUCAACAACCUAACGUUGAGUGAUGUAAUACUGAGGGAUGAGACGACUCAGAGUUACUUCGAGCUAUCGCUAAUGCUCUUCAGCGUGUUGUAGGAACCAUAUCCGCUACGACAUCUGUACCUUUUAUUCGUCGAGCUCCUAUAAAAGAGUUACGUAGAUACGGUGUGACCAAAUUCUUACGGUUGAAAGGAGUUGAUUCUUUUGUAGCUGCAAUUUGGAUUGAAUAUACUAAACGCGUCUUGCAACAACUUGAAUGCAACUCACGUGAAAGUGUAAUAUGUGCUAUUUCUCUACUGCAAGGAGAAGCAUAUACCUGGUGAAAAUUAGUGACACACCAUGUAUUCGCAGAUCAAGCUAACUGGAAAUUCUUUCUAAAGGAUAAGAGUAUGCGACCACUAGUCUCCAACGUGCCAUUCGAUUUGGCACCAAACAAAGACCUGCAUGCAUCCUGGAUGGUCACCCGGAUUCCACCUGGAUAAGGAACAAUAUGGAAAUUUGGGAGAGGAAAGGUCAAUAGAGAUUAUACUGGUACUGUAGAAACUUAGAGCAUAGGAAAGUGACAUAUUCUUUGUUGAUGGGUACUUUAGGGCCUCAACGUCGUGAGCCUUAUUUACUUUCAGAGGAUAUAAAAUUUAUUACAAUGCUUCCAUUAUUCUGGGGUAACAAUUUUUUGGUUUCUUAUUAACUUACAGACGACUUUUGUUAGAAUGUAACAAACACAAAUACGCAUACAAUGAAAAUUUGUGAUUUCUUUAUUGAUGUCAUCUAUAUUUACAUCAAGAUAGAUAAGUUAAAAAAUACAUCAUCAGUGUCGUCAGGGAGAAUGUGUGUUGCAUAGUGGUAGGUGAGGGUCGCGGGGAGGAUUUCUGCACACAACUAUUACUGAGGGCUUAUAAACUGGUUCGUUCCCGUCAUCAUCAUUAUGUUCGUCUUCACUGCCACCCUCAUCACCAUCGUCACCAUCGAUGCAACAAUCUUCCUGUUCGUCUUCGUAUUUGCCUUUGUCCUCGUGUUGGUCUUCGUUUCGCCUUGGUCUUUAUCACCUUUCUUCGUGCUCAAGUGCGGUGCCGUCCUAGCCUUCCAUCAUGUAUCCUUCACUCUAACAGAAGAUGGUUGCACUGAUAACCCACAUCGAUAGAAAAAUGAUACGGUGUGUGUUUGAGAUACUAUGGACAUGUGAGUGUAUGGCGUCCUAAAACCCGUAUACGUCGACAUUAACCCGAGCAUCGAAACUGGUAUCGACUACUGGAGUGGUGAUAAUAGCGGUGUCGUCAUCAUUGAAGGUAUAUGCAGAGCCAUCUAGCUCGAUAUAUGCGACAUAAUCAAAGUCAGCAUAGGGGCGUAGAAUGCAAGGGACGUUAGUGCCCCAAAAUAUGUACCUAUGAGAAUAAGAGAACUAAAGACGUGCAGUGAUGCAUAGUGCAGUGCUUGUGAAAAAAAUGGGGUUAGUGAAAUGAAUAAGAAUAAAUAGAUUUAAUUGGCCAAGAUAUUGUGUAGACAUAGGCGGCGCUUCUUCAGACGAAGCCAAUGACGAACCCAUCGUGCGACCGCGUCAGGCUCUACACUGCUGCAAUGGUCGUAGCUGCCUAUUCUGAUGUAGUUACCUACUCUUUACCUCCACUGAUAGUAAAUACAACUUCCCGAUAGCUCUAAACCAUGGCAUGUACUCCACCGUGUCCGCUGAGAAAAAUGGAUCUCGGAUGGGUAAGAAUUCCAUCCUACGAUCCCAAGUGUCGAUGUAGUCCUUGUAAAUCUCUUUCUAGUCUUCGUAAUUCUUCCCUCGAAGAUCCACAUUGUGCAGUUUAUCCAUGUGUCGUGGUGGUGGCGGAAUUUAUUACCUCUACUUGAACUGUCGCAACACCUGAUUUGAUUCGUGCAUUUCCACCGCCAUGUACACUAUCAACGACACCUUUGCGUCCCACAUUCUCCGGUUGGCCAAGAAUUCUGGCAAGAUGCAAAAUAUGAUAUUAGUGUCAGCAUAUGACAUCCAUUCAAACUGAAGUGCACAAUUGUAAAUUCCAUUAUGAACGAAAUUUUAUUUUACAAAUCAUUGCGUAAUUAAUAUAGGUUCAAAAGAAUAAGUAAAUAACCUCGUCUUCCGAGUGUUGAUCUAACAACAGCCUAAUAUCUUCUAGUUGGUUGGGUAGACCCACAUAACAUGACCCAUGGUUCCACAUGUACAAGCGAUAAGUUAUUUCAAACAUAUAUUAAAUAAAAACAAUUACCAUACAAACUACGUAUUUAUUAACAAAUAAAACAAUUACCAUACAUGUAUGAGUUGUUGACUCAGGGAUGUAUAAAUAUUAGUCACCACCAGGCCCACGGCUACAGCAAGAGUAGGGAACACCGAUUGACAUCUUAUCCGGUUCUGUCGCUCGACACAACUCUUGAUACAUCGUGGCCAACAAGAUUGGUCUUCAACUCAGUUUUCCACAUUCUUUGAAGUCUACUAGGUGUAGUAGCGACCCAAUGUAUACCAAAUUUUAAGUUUUAUCAAGCAUUAAAAUGCCUCCAAUUAACCUCAGAAUGAAUGGUCGAGCGUAUUAUUCUUUGACAACGUUGGUCGUGUCUAGAGGAAGCAUCUUGAAAUUAGUCUCCAACCACUUCUUCCGUAUCCGACCACCUUCGAAUGAGUUCGGGACCUUGCUCAAUAAUGUCAUGUAGAGGUUUUCUUUACUGGGAACAAUCGCUAUUCCCGUGACGACUGACCCAUUUAUUGGCAGACCGAGUUGUAGCGCUACAUCCUUGAGUGUGAUUGUACACUCAAUGCGUGGAAGAUGGAAAGUGUGUGUUUCGGGUCUCCAUCUUUCCACCAACGCGCUGAUGAGUGUAGGAUCGAGUUUCCAGCCCUUGAGUAUAUGAGACGUAUGCAAGAAUCCCGCCUCUUUCAAGCAACCAUGAGGUUCGGUGAUUAGAGGCGUUGCCAAAUUAGAGAGGUUUCGGGUCUCCAUUACUACUUGAGUGACGAAAAUGUACUUCUCGUCAAAACGAAUUAGAGAGGUUUUCAUUCGUGAAAACUUAAUUCGAACGAAUAAAAUACGGAAUAAUAAAAAACGAAUAUUUUUAAAUGAGAAUAUCGAAAAGUUUAGAAUAAGAGCUUGAGAAAAUUUAGAGAAUUUAGGGAGUUGAGAGAAUAGAAAGAUUUGAGAGAAUAGGAUGUAAGUGAAAAAAGAAAAAUUAGGUGGUAUUUAUAGGGAAAAUUUUGGGACGUUGACCAUUUAAACUUUUUUACCGUUUGGAAUUGACUAUUGAGGGAAAGCACGCUCAACUGGACCCACUUUUCUUUUCUUUCUCUAAAAUCACCUAUUUCCCUAAUUUUUGAAAAAAUCGACCUAAAACCCUAAUUAAACAAAACGACAUAUACCACUAAUUUACCCUAAAUAAGCAACUUCCAUAAUAUCAACCAUUAACAAGUUAAUAACCCCGUUAUAAAAUAAUUAGAAUUUUUUUAAUAUAAUUUAAACUCGAUCUAUGUUAUACAAAUGAAACAUUGUUACGCUGUUAUUAAGAAAAUAGUUUAGCGUUGCAACGAAAGUGUAAAAAAAAUUAAAAUAAUAGGUUGGGUGUAAUGGUGAGACACAUUGCACUUCCAAGGGGGAAUGUAAGUUCGAACCUUGGAGACAACAUUUUUGGAAGGGGUAGCCACAAACCCUGAAUAUGGACCGUAAAACGGACAUGCAUAAUAUAAUUUUAAAAAAAAUCAAGCUAGUUUAUAAUAUUUAUAGCAAUAAAAUUUUAUCAAAAAAUAUCAAACCAAACAUAAGAGGAAAAUAUAUUAUUACUUUCAAUAGUAAGUAAAGAUCGUAAUUCCCAUAAAAUAUAAUUCAUUUUAAGUAAAUAUAUUAUUUGGAAAAAUAAUGAUAACCCUAUAUUCAAUAAGUGUGUAUUAGGUUAAGUGAUGUCAUCUAUUUAUAGAGAGAAACAAAAUAAUUCUGAUUGAAUAAGGCUUAAACAAAUAGUAUUAUUUAAAUAGAAAACACACUUCUACUCCAACUAAUAUCUCGAUACCCCUGGAAUUUCAAAAGUAAAAAUAUUUGGUUUUACACAGUUGUAUCGUGAUACCUACCCCCAAUAUCGCGGUACCUCAGAUAGAGUCGAAGGUAAAGGGUCAAAAAAUAAGGGAUAUCGUGAUAUCCAACCAUGGGCAUCACAAUAUCCAAGUCGAGUCACGCGAUACUCAAUUUCAAAUAUCGUGACCCGUGUGUUUUGGGGGCUUUGUAAGCCUCCAAACACCCCAAUUCUUCUUUUCUUUUUCUUUUUCCAAAUCUUACACCCUAAAUUCCAAAAAAAACUCUCCCCCUUUCUAUUUUUUCUCAAUACUUCUUUCAAAUCCUUUCAAACAUAUUUAAAAUAUUUUCACUUCAUUUUUCUUGUUAGUCUCUCAUUUUGCAGGUUUUACACUCAUUUUGCUUUGGAAACAUGGGAUUUCAUCGAUUACAUCGACACCAACAUAACACGGUUUAAGUUUCCCAUUUCUUCUUGGUUUUACAAUUGAUAUUGUUGCCUUUAUUAUUAUUUUUGAUAUCUCUUUCUAGUUUUAGUGUUGAUUAGUUGUGAGUAUUUGGGUAGCAAUUACAUUAUAGUUAGCUUGUUACGAAAUUGAUAAACAUGCCCCUUUGGACUAAAAAGCAAGCUAAGUCCCAACCCAAACCACUUCUGUCAUCGGAGUAUGUCCUUAAUAAAUUUAAGUCAAAAGUGGCAGAAGCCUUUUUCUCGAACUUUCAAGGACGAACUUUUAUCCUUGAAAGAGGUUUUGACCCUUCGGUAUUGGAUUGCAUGGACGUUUGGGACUUAGUCCAUUUUCAUCAUUGGAUGAACCUUCCCAUAGAGCCUACUACACAAACCGUAAUUUCAGUUGUACUGAAGUUCUAUUCAAUUUUUUUUUAAAAUAACAAGGUCUAUGUGAGGCACAAAAAGAUCGAUAUAUCCCCGAGAGCUAUUAGUGAAUAUUAUGGCGUACCCUAUUAUGAAAAUGAUGAUUUACAUGCCAUGGAUCUUAACAAAUUUGAAAAUGUUUAUAUGGACACCAUUUUCGCAUUCUUAAUUGAAGAGAGGGGGGAGUGGAAAUGAGUGGGGUACAAUAAUUACCUCCUAUCUUUUAAGCAAGCUAUAAUGUUUCCCGUCGCCAAGAUGUGGAUGCAAUUUAUUUUCACUCAUAUAUCACCAUUGCUCAACACUAAUACUGUUAAUGCUUUUCAAGCUAUUUUGUGAUAUUGUAUCUUACAGCGUAAACGAAUUAGCCUCGGGCAGUGGGUCAAUAAAGAGCUCCAAAAAUAUGAAUUUGACAUCAAGGUUGGGAUCCAUUUUCCUCACUUAACUACCGGUUGUGCCGUUGUGCUGGAGUGGUGAUGGGGUCUAUGGAACAAUUUUAUUGUCCCACCACUAGUAUUAUUAGAGACACUCUCAUGCACCAAUUUCAAGAGCUUCAUAGAAAGCAAAUACAAAAUUAGUUCAGAGGAAGAAAUAUAAAAAGGAGAUGCCUUCGGCCCUUCCGAAUAAAUCCAUGAAGACAAAGGUGAAAAAGACCGAUGAGGCUACACAGUUGGAACGUAGGCUAGGCCGUGACGUGUACUAUAACGAAAGACUCCUAGAGUCCAUGAAAAUAGGCAUGGCCAUGUUUGUAAGGAUCCAAGAGGGAUAAAGUAUAGAAUAGCCCGAAAGGUUGAGUGACUCGUCUGAGGGCAAUGAAGACGCAAUAGAGCAACAAGAGGAGGAAGAUGAAGAAAUAGAUGAUGAGGCUAUGGAGGAUGACGACUUAGCCUUAUAUUAGUGAAACUUCGAGAGUGCCUUUGUGUCUUUAAGGCAACCAAGAGGGAGACCCGUCUUUCAAGAUCCUAGCGAUCGAUCUUGGAUGCAACCGUUAUGGCCUAUUAUGAGUGGAAAAGGGAAACGAAUCGUAGGACCGAGUGAGGGUCUCGAGGAUUAUUUGGAUUACUUACAUGAUCUCGUAAUUUUAACUUCAUUUUUGCUUUUAUCUUGGAGAAUUUUUAUUUUGCUUAUUGUUAUUGUUUGUUUUUUUAUUUUCUUAUGUGCAGCGAGUUACCUUGAAAGAUUACACAAAAUAUAGAGCUUCAGCAAGGAGGUGGACGCCCAAGUUAGUCUGAUGCUCAAUUCUAGAGAAGUUCGAUAACUUCAUAUCCUUUCUUUUAAACACAUUGGGGACAAUGUGUAGUAUGUGUGUAGGGGGUGCACAUAAGUUUUUAUGUUUGUUUAUUUGAGUUUUUAUGCAUUUUUCAAAAAUUCAAAAAAAAAAUUUCGUUCUUUUUAAUUUUCAAAAAUCCAAAAAUAUUUCUUGCUUUCAUUUUAAUUUUUUAUUGCAUGGUUCGUGGACUAUAAUUGAGUAAUAAAUUAGUAGUUGUACAUAUCAAAUAUGUAUAUAAAAUUGCCAAACUUGUAAAUUUUAAAUUAUACUAGAUAAUUUCUUACUCUUAAUUAUAGAUUAUUUAGUUCACUUAGUUAAUAUGUAUAAUGUAUUAGAGGCAAUAAUCGAAAAGAAAAUGUAUAGAAUGUAUCAUAAGAUGAAUAAAAGGUACGAAUCCUUGUAGAUAAAUAAUUCGAAUUGCUUAUUAUUCAUUUAAAUAGAUGCAUGCUUAAUAGAUUGUUGGUAGGUGACUAAUCCGGGAAAGCCUUAGGCAUUGUUUGUAUAGCCUUGAGCCUACAGAACCAACCUUAAACAUUACAUUAUCUUUAGUUCCCGAAUUUGAGCCUUACAUUGCCCUUCUUAAUGAGCCUCUGUGUUUGAAAUCUUAAGCCAAAAUUGAGUUCGAAACUCAACCCUUCACAGUCCUUGAACUUUGUAAUCCACUAUCAAAUGGAUGUCAGGCCAUAGACAUCGAGGGUUAGGUAGGAACGUUGCGAAUAUUUCUCAUAAAAGUGUACUCGAGUGAUUCGUAAAGAGGGAUUGAAUUAGCUCGUAAUUGAUUUUUUCCAGAAAUUGUGCUUAGAAAGAAAAGAAAAAAUUGAAAGAAAUAAGAAUGAGGAUCAAAAGCAUUCUGAGAGAAAAGAACAAACAAAGCAUACAUAUGCUCUAAACAAGAAAAAUAAAGGAGCAUAAAAUCGUCUCGAAAUCAGGCUAAACAAAAAUGAGCUAAUAUAAAUCAUCCUUUUCCACAUUGUUAGAGAAAUAAGUAAGGUGAGAGAAGAAGAAAUAAGGCUGUGAGAUGUAACGAUCACAGUUGGGGGGAAUUGGGAACAAUGUUCUGUGCUAUACUAUUCAUAGUGCUUGAACCAUUUUGAGUUGAACUUUCUUUGAAUCUGUACCAACCUCAGCCUCAGAACGUUACAAGCUUAAAAGACCUUUGGGACAUGAAUAAGUCACCAACGCAUUAAUUUGUACAUGGCUUGUAUUUGUUGCAAUGAACAUGAACAAUUCUUUUUAAAUAUCUAUAAGCGAUUCGUAUAAUUUAUUUUAAUGGAUAACAUUUGUACAUAUAUUCAUUUACAUUGCCUCUAGCACCAUUGACACUUUAACUUCUUGAACUAAUAAUGUUUACAUUAGAAGGAGAUAAAUUAGCUAGAUACCUCUUAAGUUACAUGUGAAGUAAUUCUUAUACAAAUUUGAUGUUGUACGACUAUAUAGCUUAAUUACCUGAUUUAGUCCAAGGGUCGUCUUUUUGCAUGUUUUGUGUGUUUACUUGAGGAGAAGCAAAGACUUGAGUAUGGUAGAGUUGAUCUACCACAAAUCGAUGUGGCGAAUUAGGCUUUUUCGAAGAAUUUAAGGAGCUUUUUCUCGAGCAAAAUAAAGUUUUUAGCAUAGUUUUUUUAUUUUCAUUAUUUUUAUAUUUUCGAGUAAUAAGUAAAAAUGUCUCGUUUUUGACUAUUUUUACCCAAAUUGGCCGCUAGUGUCAUUUGGAGGCCUAACAUGUGUUUGAAUGCUGCAGGGACGUGUCAGAGGUCAAAAACGAGUGAGAACGACACCUAGGUCAAGGGUAUCGCGAUAUCCAACCCUUCGGAUCGCGAUACCUCUGACAGUGUAGAAGAUUAAUGAUUCCUAUCAGUGGUAUCGUGUAUACCCUUGGGUAUCGCGAUAUCAACCUUCCAAGGAAGUCCCCAAGUUUCAACACUGCUUAAGAUAUCACAAUAUCCUCUUUUGGGUAUCGCGAUAUCACUUUCGCUAGGGGACAAACCAUGACAAAGAGGGUAGCCUUUGUCUACCCAGCCCUACAAACACACAAGGCCUGUGUAGAGGCAUUUUUGGCAUUGAAAACUCAUCAGAAUACACUUCAAAAUAGCAAAAAAUUGCUGAGGUUGAGAGACACACACAUUAGCUUAGUUUUAGAUUUAGUUUUCUCUAGGUUUUCUUUAGUUUUUCUCGGCACAUUUCUAGGGUUUUUAUUUUUCUCUUCUUCUACCUUAGAUUAGAGUUUAUUUUUCUGCAUUUACUUCUUGUUCUUGUUAUUUUUAGUGUUAGUUAAGUUAUUUAACACUAUAGUUAAGGUUUAUAUAUAUUUUCAGUCCUUAUACCUUGCUUUCAAGACUUUUUAAGUUUAACUUAAUGUAUUUCAGUUUAUUUUGCUUUCAAUAUGUUAAAGCAUGUUCCUGUUAUGUUUCUUACCUUAAAUUUCUAUAUUAAAUGCUUUUGGCUUCAUGCAAAUUUAAGUUUUCUCACAUAAAAACCUCAACUUUUAUACUUUUCUUAAGCUUUACUUUCAUGACUGCCUUGUUUUACAUUUUUAUGUUUAUUUCUUUUACUUUAAGCAUGAGUUGCUAAACCUUAAAGGAGGUUGGUUGAUGAGGAUGUGGGUAAACUGUAACAACCCGUUUUUAGUGAAAUCAGAGCAGUGGUUUUGGGACCACAUAUCUAAGGUCAAAAAAUUUAUUUUAAUAUUAUUUUAUGAUCUAUAGCAUGAUAGUAUUUUCGUAUAAAAAUUUCGUUAAGAAAUUUUAACGUUUACAUGUUCAAUUUGAUAAAAAGGACUAAAUCGCGUCAAGUGCAAAAUUUGAGUUGUAAUAGCUAAAGGUAUUAAAUAGCUAUAGAACUUUAAAGGUGAUAGUGGAUGUGCAAAAUUUGAGUUCUUAUAUGGAAAUUAGACCAUUAAAGGUGAUAGUGGAUGUGCAUGACCUUGCAAUUUUGUUAUUUUUAAAGUUAGGUAAGGUUAGUUUGGUAAAUAUGUAAUAAUAAAUAAAUUAAAUAAAAGAAAAAGCCUAAAAGCAAUCAUCUUCCUCCCAUUUUCUUUGUGUUAGCCGAAUUCCAUCUUUUUAGAAGAAGAAAAUUUUGGUCAAGCUACUCAAUUGAAUGUAAGUAAAUUUUGAGUUCAUUUUUUUAUGUUUUUUUAUGUUUUCGGAAUCGUUGUGGCGUAACCUAGCUAGCCCGAGAACUAAUUUGCAAAACUAUUGAAUUUUUUGAGUUUUUCCAUUGAUAAAUAUGUUAGAUUUUUGAAGUUUAAUGGUAGAAAAAUAAUGGUUUUUGUUUGAUAUAAAUCUUUUGUUAAGUGAUUUUUCAUAAAAUUGUUAAUUAUGGGAUAAAUUGAAAAAUGUGAAAUAUUCACGGUGUAAUUUGUGAAUUAAUGAAAUGUGUGGGCUGCUAUAAUCUAGAAUGAUAUUCGGCUAGGCUUGGGUAGGGAUGAAUUUGCAUGAAUACCAAUUUGUAAAGAAAUCAAAAGUAUAGGGGAAAAAUGAUAAUUUUUCCAAAACAUGAUUUUUGGAUUAAAUUGAAUAGAAUGAGGUUUGAAUUAGUUAAAUUUGAUUAUAUAGAUCAAGAAAAGUAACAUACGGAUCUAGAUUGGGGAAAAGAAAAAGUACAAGAUUAAUCAAUCGUUUUUCUCCGUACGAGUUUGAGGUAAGUUCGUAUAUUUAAUUAACAUUAAAUUAUAUUUGAUUUAAAUUUUUUUGUGUUAUAUUAUUGAUUUUACGACUCUACGCAAAUAUCCAACGAAGUUUCGACGACUUUGGGAUCCCGUUUAAACCUUAGGAGUAAAUAGGAUACAAAUGACAUGUCGUUAGGGGUUACCGUAUUUUGGGUGUUGGUCUCGUACAUCCUACCGGUGGUUGAGUUUCCAGCAUUUGUUGUGGUUACUUGACAGUUUCUGUGAGUAGACCCAUUUAUGGCUCGAGAGAGAGGAUUGGUACGAGAUAUGAGAUAGUAGUGGUUUUGACCACAUGUUAGCACAUACUGUGCGAGAUUCCCGUGUAUCCGAUAAUAUUCUAGUGGUUCAAUGGGUAUGAGAAGAAGGAAAGAUCGGCAAAUGCUUCAAUUAGAUUUGCUAUGAAAGUAUGGAAAGGUAUGAGUUUUUGGAUGAUUGAAAUAUGCUUAGCCAUAUGCUUGAAAAUAUGAAUGCACAUAAGUAGUGUGUACUUAUGCUAUGAUGUUUUGAGAUGAUUUGCUAGUUUAUGUGAUAUUUAAAAUUUAGAGGUUAUUCUUGUUUAGGCUAAGGCCAAGACAUGUAGGAUUGACUCAAAUUGUUUUAAGCUUAUAAAUUGAAAUGGUAAGCUUUAUUUUUGAAUUACAAACUUACUAAGCAUUACAUGCUUACUUUGUGUUAGUUUUCUUUGUGUACCUAGAUAUUGGAAGCUCAUAUGGGUUGGAAGUUGUUGGAGAUUUCAUCAUACUAUCAAUCAGCUAUUUUGGUACUUUUGGUUAUAUAAUUUUGGUUAUAAUGGCAUGUAUAUGUCAUUUUGGCUAAUAAUAGCCUACAUGUUUUGUUAUGUUUUUAGCCAUUUGAUUUGGCUUGUAUUUUGGAUAUAUUUUGUUAUGUAUAUAUGUAAAUGGCCUUACCAUAUGUGGUGUAUGGUUAUCAUGUGAAUGUAUAGUUUGUGAAUUGAUAUUUUGGGUACCAAAUAGUUGAGCUUGAUAAGUGACAUACAUGUUAAAUUUUGGUACAAUUAUGCAUAUUUGUGUUUGGUCAUUUAGGUAGGUUUGGAUACAUAGUUGGCAUGUUUUUAAAUGGUCAAUUGAGGUGCCUAUGGGCAUCAUGGUUGUAUGUGAUGAUAUUUCUUGUCUUAAGCUUGAUUUUGGUGUUGAAUGUCCAUUCAUGACUUGGUCAUAUGCAAAUUGUUGUGUUUAGAUUGGUAUCAAUUUGCGUGAGAAAUAUGGCUUGGAAAAUGACCUAUUUUUGUCUACACGGGCGUGUGUCUCAACCGUGUGUCCCCUGUACCUUUUAUAGAACACAAGUUAGUAGCCUAACAGGGCCUAGCACACGGCCGUGUGGCUUGGAUGUGUGUUACAAGUCAGUAUACUCACCAUUUUUCACAUGGCCUAGAACACGGGUAUGUGGCUUGGCCAUGUGUCACAAGUUAGUAUGCUCACCAUAUUUCACACGGCCUAGCACACGGGCAUGUGGCUUGGCCGUGUGACACAAUUCAGUGAGCUCACUAGUUUGGACACGGGCAGGGACACGGCCGUGUGUCCGUAUUUCGAAUGCCCACACGGCCUGAGACACGAGCAUAUCUCUUGACCGUGUGAGACCCACGGCCUGGCCACACGGGCGUGUGUCCCCUGCACCUUUGAAAAUUUUCAAUGUUUUUCAAAAAAUUCUUUGAGUACUCGAUUUAGUCUCGACUUAUUUUUAAUGUUUAUUUUAGGCCUCGAGGGCUCGUAUUAGGGAUGAUAUGACUGGAAUUUAUUGGUUUUUGUUAUAAAUGGUAUAUGAAAUAAAAUGUCUGUUUGUUUGAUUUGUAAGUCCGGUAAUGCUUUUUAACCCUAUUUUAGAGUUGGAUACGGGUUAAGGGUGUUACAUUUAUUAGUAUCAGAGCUACAGUUUAGUCGAUUCUCGGACUAACGUAGCGUAUAUGAGAAUAGUUAUACAUGCCGUUAUAUAACCUGUGGUAGUGUGAUAUCUCCUGACCAUUUUAAAACAUGUUUUCAUAUAGUAAUGGAUUCCAACCGAAUAGACUCUGAUGAUGUAGAAAGUAACGCACCAGCCUCCAUUCGGGGAGCAGUGUCGUUUGGACCGAGGGCCAUAUCUGAGGGCCGAGGAGGAGAGGCUAAAGAAGCCUUCUUCCAAAUGAUGAACGAGUGGUUCACGGAGUUUGUUCGAACUAAUGCGGCUACUCAACAACCUCUACCCCCACCUUUUCCCCAACCGGUUCCCGUAGUUCCUCAAUGUUUGGAACCUUUACGCAAGAGUAAGCUGCAUGUUGAUAAAAUCCGCAAAUAUGGGCCCAAAAAAUUUAGGGCUAUAACUGAUGAUGAUCCUGAGAAAGCUGAGUUUUGGCUAGAGAAUACGGUCCGAGUCUUCGAUGAGCUAUCUUGUUCACCAGCCGAAUGUGUUAAAUGUGUUGUAUCUCUUUUGAAAGAUUCAGCAUACCAGUGGUGGAACACGUUGAUUUUAGUAGUACCGAGAGAGUGGAUCACUUGGGAAUUCUUUCAAACCGAGUUCAGAAAUAAAUAUAUAAGUCAAAGGUUACUCAAUCAGAAGCGCAAAGAAUUUCUAGAGCUUAAACAAGGUCGUAUGACCAUGCUGAAUAUGAAAGAGAGUUUGUCAAGUUGAGUAUGUAUGCUCGAGAGUGCAUUCCUAUCGAAGUUGUUAUGUGUAAACGGUUUGAAGACGGGCUGAAUGAGGAAAUCAAGCUUUUAGUCAGAAUUCUUGAAUUGAAAGAAUUUGUUGUUUUAGUUGAUAGAGCUCUCAAAGAUGAUAAGCUUAGUAAAGAGGAAAGAAGAGCUGAUUCGGAGGCUAGAGAUUCAAGAAAGAGGUAAACGGGAAAUCGAAUCACUCAACGUCAAAGAAAUCGAAGGAUUACCAUAAUCGUUCGACCACUUAAGUGGGAUAUCCUAACAAAGAUCGUGGUAAGCAACAUACAAGUUCAAAAGCUGAAGCUACAUCAGUAGCAAGCGUUGCUAAUGUUAAGGCGAAUAGACUUGAUUGUAAAUGGUGUGGAAGACGACAUUUUGGUGAAUGUAGGAUGGAUGAUAGAGCUUGUUUCAGAUGUGGCUCACAGGAACAUUUUAUUCGGGACUGUCCUGAGUUAUCUGAAAAAGACAAACUCCAGACUGUUCGACCCAACAAUACAGCUGCAAAACGGAGACCACCUCAAAAUCCCAAAAAUAUAAGUGGUAGUCGGGGUGUAACAAAAAAUUCUACUGUGAGAUCCGAGACACGGGGGCCAGCCAGAGCUUAUGCUAUUCACGCACGCGAAAAUGCUUCGGUGCAAGAUAUUAUUACCAGUAUUUUUUCUCUCUAUAAUACUAAUGUAACUGCUCUGAUUGAUCCUACAUCAACCCAUUCAUAUGUUUGUACAAAUUUAGUGUCUAGUAAGAGUUUACUUGUUGAGUCCACUGAAUUCGUGGUUAAAGUAUCGAACCCCUUAGCUUAGUAUGUCCUAAUUGAUAAAGUUUGCAAAAAUUAUCCUUUGAUGACUCGGGGUUAUAGUUUUUUGGCCAAUUUGAUGCUAUUACCGUUUUAUGAAUUAGGUGUGAUUUUGGGCAUGGAUUGACUAACUCUGCAUGAUGUUGUUGUAAACUGUAGACGAAAGCUUAUCGUAUUAAAAUGUCAGAACGGUGAGACUCUUCAUAUUGAAUCCGAUAAUUUGAGUGGGUUGGCUAUUUUGAUAUCGGCUAUGUUAGCACAAAAAUAUGUGAGAAAAGGUUGCAAUGCUUACCUUGCAUAUGUACUGGAUAGUAAAGUGUUUGAAUCAAAGCUUGAAUUAGUGCAAUAGUUUGUGAAUAUCCAGAUGUGUUUCCAAAAGUUACCCGGGUUGCUGCCGACCAGAGAGGUUGAAUUUUCUAUUGAGUUAGUAUCGAGAACAUCACUAAUAUCGAUAAAUCCUUAUAGAAUGACUCUUACAGAGUUGAAAGAGUUGAAAUAUCAGUUGCAAGAGUUAACAGAUAGAGGUUUUGCACGACCUAGUUUCUCGCCUUAGGGUGCACCAGUUCUGUUCAUUAAGAAAAAAGAUAGAUCAAUGAGAUUGUGUAUCGAUUAUCAACAUCUCAACAAAGUCACGAUCAAGAAUAAGUAAACAUUGCCGAGAAUCAAUGAUUUGUUUGAUCAAUUGAAAGGUGCAAUGGUAUUUUUGAAGAUUGAUUUACGUUCUGGUUAUUAUCAGUUGCGGGUUAAAGAUUCAGAUGUACCGAAAACUGCAUUCAAGACCAGGUACGGACAGUAUGAAUUUCUUGUGAUGUCUUUUGGGUUAACUAACACCCCUACAGUAUUUAUGGAUUUGAUUAAUAAAAUCUUCAAACCGUAUUUAGACAAAUUUGUUGUAGUAUUUAUUGAUGAUAUUCUAAUAUAUUCCUGAGACAAGUCUGAGCAUGUCGAGCUCUUGAGAAUUGUCUUGCAAAUUCUGCGAGAUAAAAAACUAUUUGUUAAAUGUAGCAAAUGCGAGUUCUGACUCCAAGAAGUUGGGUUUUUAGGACACAUAGUGUCGACGGAAGGCAUCAAAGUUGAUCUGAGUAAGAUUUCAGCAGUUGUUGAUUGAAAACCACAAAGAAACAUAUCUGAAGUCAGAAUUUUUAUGGGAUUAACGGGCUAUUAUCGGAGAUUUGUAAAAGGAUUUUCGAUAAUAGCUACACUAAUGACGCGAUUAUUACAGAAAGAUGUGAAGUUUGAAUGGUCGGAUAAACGCCAUCAAAGUUUUAAUCAGUUGAAAGCAUUGUUAACCGAAGCAUCGAUUCUGGUUCAGCCUGAGUCGGGUAAAGAAUUUGUGAUUUUCAGUGAUGCGUUAUUGAACGGUUUGGGAAGUGUUUUAAUGCAAGAAGGCAGAGUGAUAGCUUAUGCUUCCACACAGUUAAAGCCACAUGAAAAUAAUUAUCCGACACACAACUUAUAGUUGGUCGCUAUUGUGUUUGCAUUGAAAAUUUGGCGACACCAUUUGUUCAGUGAAAAAUGCCACAUAUUUACCGAUCACAAGAGUUUAAAGUAUCUGAUGUCACAAAAAGAUCUGAAUCUGAGACAUCGUAGAUGGAUCAAAUCAUUGAAAGAUUAUGAAUUAGUUAUUGAUUAUCAUCCGGGAAAAGCAAAUGUAGUUGCGGAUGCUCUGAGUAGAAAAUCUUUGUUUGCUUUGUGAGUGAUGAAUACACGCUUGACAUUGUCUAACGAUGGCUCGAUCUUAGUUGAGUUAAAAACGAAACCGAUGUUUCUACAGCAAAUAUGCGAAGCUAAAAAAUGUGAUAAUGAAUGGCAAGCUAAACGAGUACAGUGUGAGUCGACUUCUGAUUCAGAAUUUCAGAUAGGACCAGGAAAUUGUUUGUUAUUCAAAGAUAGAGUUUGUGUACUGAAGAAUCCAUAGCUUAUAUAGAAAAUUUUGCACAAAGCUCAUAGUGGUAGCUUGUCUGUUCAUCCAGGGAGUAAUAAAAUGUACAGUGAUUUGAGACAGAUGUACUGGUGGUCGGGUAUGAAACGCGAGUUUUUGACUUUGCGUCCAGAUGUUUGCUUUGUUAGCAGGUUAAAGUUGAACAUCAAGUGCCUUCAGGACUGUUACAUCCAGUGAUGAUACCAGAGUGGAAAUGAGAUAGAGUUACGAUGGAUUUCGUAUCAGGGUUACCCCUAUUUUCGAAAAAGAACGAUGUUGUCUAGGUUAUUGUUGAUCAUUUGACGAAGUCUGCACAUUUUAUUUCGGUAUGUACAGACUUCUCACUUGACAGAUUAGUUGAGUUAUAUGUUUCUGAGAUUGCCAAAUUACACGGAGUGCUAGUCUCCAUUAUUUCGAAUAAAGAUUCGCGAUUUACAUCACGAUUCUGGAGGAAGUUACAGGAAGCUCUAGGUACGGGGUUGCAUUUUAACACUGCAAUUCACCCUCAGACCGAUGGUCAGUCUGAGAGAGUGAGUUAGAUUCUAGAAGAUAUGCUUCGUUUCUGUGUUUUAGAGUUCGAAGGCAAUUGGGAAAAAUAUUUACCGUUGGUCAAAUUCGUGUAUAAUAAUAUUUUUCAGUCGAGCAUAAAUAUGAUACCGUAUGAAGCUUUAUAUGGUUGUAAAUAUUGAACUCCGUUAUACUGGACUGAGCUCAGUGAGAAAAAGAUACACGGGGUUGAUUUGAUUCGCGAGACUGAGGAAAAAGUGAAAGUGAUUCGUGACAGUUUGAAAGCAGCUUCAGAUCGACAUACAUCGUAUGCAGAUUUGAAACGUAAAGAUAUUAAAUUUCAGAUUGGCGACAAAGUGUUUCUGAAAGUAUCGCCUUGGAGAAGGAUUCUUCAUUUUGGUCGAAAAGGGAAGCUGCGAUUUAUCGGGCCGUAUGAGAUUAUCGAGAGAAUAGGGCCACUGGCAUAUCGACUAGAUUUACCAUCAGAACUUGAAAGGAUUCAUAAUAUGUUUCAUGCACCCAUGUUACGACGAUACCGAUAAGACACUUCGCAUAUAAUUUCUCCAACAGAUGUUGAGAUUCAGCUCUACAUGUCGUAUAAUGAAGAAUCGAUCAAAAUUUUGGCACGAUAGAUUAAAGAGUUAAGAAACAAAAGCAUAGCUUUAGUGAAGGUUCUUUGCCAACGUCACGGAAUAGAGGAGGCUACUUGGGAACUUGAGGAAACUAUGAGAAAACAAUAUCCUAACCUAUUUUCUGGUAAGAUUUUCAUGGACGAAAAUUUCUUAGGGGGGAGAGUUGUAACAACCCGUUUUCAGUGAAAUCAAAAUAGUGGUUUUGGGACCACAAAUCUGAGGUCAAAAAAAUUAUUUUAAUAUUAUUUAAUGAUCUACAUCAUGAUAGUAUUAUCGUAUAAAAAUUUUGUUAAGAAAUUUUAACGUUUACAUGUUCAAUUUGAUAAAAAGGACUAAAUCGCAUAAAGUGCAAAAGUUGAGUUCUAAAAGAUAAAUAUAUUAAAUAGCUAUAUAAAUUUAAAGUGGAAGUCCUUAUAUGGAAAUUAGACCAUUCAAGGUGAUAGUGGAUGUGCAUCGCUUGACAAUUUUGUUAUUUUUAAAGUUAGGUAAUGUUAGUUUGGUAAUUAUGUAAUAAUAAAUCAAUUAAAUAAAAGAAAAAGCCUAAAAGCUACCAUCUUCCUCCCAUUUUCUUUGUGUUAGCUGAAUUUCAUCUUUUGAGAAGAAGAAAAUUUUGGUCAAGCUAUUCCAUUGCAUGUAAUUGAAUUUUGAGUUCAUUUUUAAUGAUUUUUAUAUUUUCGGGAUCGUUGUAGCGUAACUUAACUAGCCCGGGGACUAAUUUGCAAAACUAUUGAAUUUUUUUGAGUUUCUCCAUUGAUAAAUAUGUUAGGUUUUUGAAGUUUAAUGGUAGAAAAAUAAUGGUUGUUGUUAGAUAUAUAUCUUUUGUUAAGUGAUUUUUGAUAAAAUUGUCAAUUAGGGGUUAAAUUGAAAAAUGUGAAAUAUUCACAGUGUAAUUUGUGAAUUAAUGAAACGUGUGGGCUGCUACAAUCUAGAAUGAUAUUCGGCUAGGCUUGGGUAGGGAUGAAUUUGCAUGAAUUUCAAUAUACGAGGCUAAGGACUAAUUUCUAAAGAAAUCAAAAGUAUAGGGGAAAAAUGGUAAUUUUUCCAAAACAUGAUUUUUGGAUUAAAUUGAAUAGAAUGAGGUUUGAAUUAUUUAAAUUUUAUUAUAUAGAUCAAGAAAAGCAACGUACGAAUUUAGAUCGGGGAAAAGAAAAAGUAUAAGAUCAAUCGAUCGUUUUUCUCUGUACGAGUUUGAGGUAAGUUCGUAUAUUUAAUUAACAUUAAAUUAUAUUUAAUUUAAGGGUCUGUUUGAUUGCCAGUAAAAUGUUUUCCGAAAAAUAAUUUUUGGAAAAUGUUUUACUUUUCUGUAAAAUGAUUUACUGGAAAAUAUUUUCUGGUGUUUGAUUGAAUCUGUGUAAAAUAUUUUCUGCUGUUUGACAGAUUUCCUGAAAAUAUUUUCCGAAAAAAUUAUUUUUACAUAUAUUAAUAUAUAUUAAUAAAUUUUUAUAUUUUAAAUUGUUUUUACACAUAUUGCAAUGAUUUAUUUAUAAUAAUACUCAAUUAUUAAGCUACAAUAUUAAUCGUUAUAAAUUGAAAAAAACUAAUAUCAAAUAAAUUAUUUGUAAUUGUGUUAAAAAACAAGUAUUGAAUAAUUAUAAAUUGCUUCGAACCACAAUGAGUACUAGAAAUAAUAUUAUCCAAAUACAUAAUUAGUAGUACACCACAUAAUAACAACAUUGUCCAAGUGCAUAAUAUUACAUCACAUAAAAGUAUCAAUAUCUUCAACCCUGAGAAAAUUUUUGAAGCCAGAUUUUUCUAUGGUUCUUACUUUUAACUAAAAAAGCUUUGGCCUCGGAUUCAUGACUCACUAGAUAAUCAAACACAGAACACAAGACCACUUUCACUGCUGCAUCAUAUGUCGCUCUAUCACAUGUGAUCAUUUUCACGUUAUCAUCCCAUCCAAAACCACUUUCACCUCGAAUUUUGCAUAUAAUCUGCCACUGGUUUUUUACUGUCCUCAAAUGAUUUUCCACAUGCUUCGCAUCGCAUUGGACUUGGAAUCUUUCAGAAAUGGCGUCGGCAACUCGAUUAAUAGAAACUGCUUUGAAAGUAUUAGAAGGCUUAUUUCCUUUUCGAGCCUCCUCUGCUAGAAUUUCAAGGAAAACAUGUUCCAUCAGUUUUGUCCACCUGAAUUGCUUGGAGGUCCCUUCUUUGUUACCCUUACCCAUUCUACAUUAAAUAAUUGUCAUUGUUAAUAAUUUCAAUAUCCAACAAGCUUAAAACAUAAUAUUAAAUACAAUAUCCAACAAGGUUAAAACAUAAUCAAUAUCUAACAAAUUCAAGACAUAUAUCAAAAUCCAACAAUCUAAAUUUCAAUAUCAUUAUCCAACCAACAUUUACAAAAAAAAAAUAAUUUUUAUACUAAAACAUACAUAACAUAGAAAUAGUAACGCUAAGCCCUAAAUAUACCUAAUAUUUCUAGCCAUAUAAUCAGUCCACAUAGUUUGUACAAUUUCAUCUCUCUUAGCAGACUAUUCUCUUGCUUCUUGUCUUUCUUCUCGCUCCGUGAGAGUUUGUAUUAUCGAAUCAGACUCAGACGCCUCGUAUAAUCCUUGAUUAAGUAAAUCACUAGGAUCAACUCCCAUUAUAUGAUUAUGAAUGAUACAACAGGCCAAACUAUAUCUUCUUGAGUUUGAAAAUUCCAAAAUGGUUCAGCAUCUAAUACACGAAACCGUUUCUUCAAAAUCCCAAAAACACGUUCAACAGUGAUCCGUAAUGAUGAAUGGCGAAGAUUAAAGAGUUCCUUUGCAUUUUCAGGCCCUUCAGCACCAAACUCUUUUAAAUGAUAUCGGACACCACGAUAUGGGGUAAUACAUCCAAUUCGGAUACCAUAUCCAGCAUCAGCAAGAUAAUAUUUACCUACAAUUUUACAAUACAUAAUUAAUACUAAUAAAUUAUGAGCACUAGAACUAUUUGUGAUAAAUAUUACCUUCCAGAAUUCUUAAUCCUGUUGGGCGUGAAAGUGCAUCACUUAAAAUAUGAGAAUCAUGUGCACUACCUUCCCAACCAGCUAGAACAUAGGAAAAUUUCAAAUCAAAUGUAAUAGCAGCCAAUACAUUUUGUGUUGUCCCCCCUUUACGACUACGAAAUCUUCCUUGCAUGCUAAGUGGAACGGAUGCACGAAUAUGAGUUCCAUCUAAUGCUCCAAUACAAUCUUUAAAAUAAGGAUAAAACCUUGGAUUGUUUCUAAUUCUAGGAGUUGACUCAUCAGGUAAUCUAAUAACUAGUCUAUACAAUUUCAAAAUAGCUCUCAAUACAACCCUAAAGUAAUGGUGAACUGUCUGAGUUGAUCUAUAAUAUCUAGAUCCAAUCACUCGAAACCUUACAUUAUGACCAAUUAUAUGUAAAAAUAUAACUACUUGCUCCCUAAUAUUGACAGAUUUAGACGAUUGUAACAAAAUAUUCGUACUAAGAAUAUCAUAUAAAUUAAAAAAGGCGAUCGGUCUCAUCCUUAUCACAUCAAUACAAUGCUGGUCACCACUAUAUAAAAUACUAUUAUUAUAGUUUUCUCUUUCAUAAUCUCGAUUCACACGAGGGCGAGAAGCAAUUUCCUUCUUAGUUUCUAAUUUUUUAAUCCAAAGAGCCCCAAAAGCUAAAACUGAAGCCACGACUCCGACAAUUCCCAGUUGAUGUUGAUUAUGAUCCAUCUACACAAAAUAAUGCCACACAAAUAUAUGAUCACUACUACAAAAGAUGCAAGAUUUUCAUAAGAUCACAUAAAGUUACCAUGACUAAAAGUGCAUGCAUACAUAUCAAGCUAAUUAUAAUUGCAUAAUAAUUUUUUUGAAAGUAGCACUUAAAAUAUAUUGAUCAUAGUUAAUACAAUACUUCAAUUGGCGCAAGAUUUUGUUAUAUAUUAUUAGGUUAUCUUUCAUAUAUAAUUAAUUAAUUAAUCACGAAUUAGAAUGGGAAAUUUGAAUGGAAUUCAUUUAAAAAUCAAUAUAUUAUUAGGUGCAAUACUUUAAUAUUUAACAUAUUAUUUAUAAAAAAAUAUACAUUAACAGAAAUUUGAUUAUUUAAGUAUUGUUUUUUAUUGCAAAAAAAUUAUUAAAAAUGGUGAUGCCUCUUUUUUAAAAUAUAAAAACUUUUAAAUUAUAAAUUGCUAUCAAGUGUGUUUUCUUUUUUUAUUUCGAAAUUUAAACAAAAAAUUUUGACAAUGUUAUAAAAUUUUUUUAUUUCUAUUUUUUUAUAAUUUUUUUAAAUUAAAAAUUGAUUACUUUUUUAUAAAAAAUAAAUAAUGUUUAAGUGCACUGCUACAAUUGCUAUAAUCUCAAAUGUCCAUCAUGAUUUUGUUUGCUCCAUUUUCAGCAUGAAAAAAGCAUGAGAAGACUGACUGGACAAAGCUAGUAGUAAAUACUACCACAUGUGUAUAUAUAUAUAUAUAUAUAUAUAUAUAUAUAUAUAUAUUUUUUGGACAUAACUAACAAAAAUAUUAGUCCCUAAGAUGCCUAUAUAGAUGAAUUAUUACUAGCUUCUUGAUUUCUUAAAUCAAAAUCUAUUUGAAAAGUUAAAAACAAAUUUGAUUUUGGUUCAUCUGUCAUUUGCAAAAGUUUUGAGACUUUCCCAUUUCUAACUUCAUCUUUUCUUUAAUUCCCAGUCUUUGAACUGUGAAAAAAAUGGUGGGGUGCAUGAAGUCAUAAUUUAGAGAUAAAUUGGCACGUGACAGUCGCCAUAACUAAAUUCUUUCCCUCCUGUUCAUACUGUAUAUUCACUACAAUCUCUUUCAUGGAAAUUUAAAGCAUGUUUGAAUUCAGAUAGCAAAUGAAUAUGUAUCACACCUAAACUUCCAAAUCGAUAUCAAUGUGUAAUAUUUAAACAACAUUUCCUUAUAUUUUAAAGAAAAAAACAUAAUUCCUUGCCAUAAACUCUAUAUUACUACAUAUAUUUAAAUCUAUAACAUGGAAACUUGGGAAAAGGUCCAUGUUCCCAUAAACUUAUACUGUUCCCCAUUGGUUAUCAGUUGUCUUGUUGGUUAAUACCAGCUUCUGUGCUUGCAUUGCACCAAAGAUUAUUACCACUGACAACAUAAUAAUAACAACCUACACCCAGACCUUUUUAAUGCCAAUUCCAUAUGCUAUAAAUCAUGCCAAAAUUACCAAAAUUCAUGACAUACGCACAUAUGUAUUUACCUACCAUCAACCAAAUAUAACAGCUCAUCACUGCCAUUUCCCAAAUAAUACGUAAAAAAUUUACAGUAAAAAUGUAAAUCAAUAAUAAACCAUACCCAAACACAUUCAACAAGCAUGCUUAAUUCACUUGAACUGAAUUAUAACAACCAAAAAUGCAUAUUAUACCAAAUCAUAAAUCAAGCACACCACAAACAUAUAACAACCACAAAUGCCAUGCCAUUGGCAGACCAGAAUCAAGAAAGAAGACAUUCCAAAGAUAAAACCUUGGACCAACCUCUUAUGAAAAUAUCAACCAAGGCCACCAACAGGAGUAAGAAUGCUGAGGUAGAGGCUAGGACAGCAAGACCUAUACAGCUGGAGGUCAAGCAUAGAAAGAAAUUAGAACCGUUAGGAGCAAUAAAAAAUCAAACACAAAUCAUUAAUGGUUUAAUUUAAUGGAUUGAAAUUACAAUAUAUCAAUUCUUGUAUUAUAUGGUGUGAAUCAAGCUUCAAACAGAAGAAAAUUGCAAUCUAUGAUUGAAUGCUAAUUGUUUGCAGACAAGUAGGGUCGCAUAAGGAAUUCAGAAGUCAAAAUAUAGUAGGAUCAGACAUGAUAUCCAAAAAAAUCCAAACUAACUUUUGCAGUAGAGGAAAAAAAUUUCUAAAAGAAAAAAAUGUUUUGUGAGCUCAUUUGGGGGAUGAAAUGGGACAGUAAAGACUGGCCACCGUAGUUGACUUUCUUACUAAUUCUAUCAAUUACUAAUUCUUAAAAAGAAUGUUAUGGAUGUUUAAUUUUUGUAGUAAGAGAAAAAAAUACCAAUUAAUUUGUAACGUUACUAUAGCAACGCAUACAUGGAUGCAGAGAACCAAAGUGCAAUUAAUUUGUAAGUUAAAAACAAGUUACUAUAGCUUAUGACAGGAAAUGCUUGUAGUUUUGUGCAAAUUGCAGUUGUCACAUUUAUGAUAAUGUGCUUGGUAGCAGGGAGGGUCCAGUGCAAUGAGGACUCUCUCCCAUACCACUAACCCACCUUAAUAACACUCAUAGAAUUUGGCAUUAUCCUAUUCAGGUUCUUGGGUCACUUUCAGCCACAACAGGGUAAACCAGCACUAUGGGAGUUGGAUUCAGACCAACACUACAGUGUUGGAAGGCAUGACCCUAAUCUUAUUAACGAGGAUGCAAGGUAUAUCGAGUGUCCAAAUUGCUAAUAUAUUUUAUACCAAAUUUCUAGUUCCAUUGGUUUUUCUGAGACUACAACAUAUUGCCAAAUUUCAAGAUAUGAUAUGCAUAUGCUAAGCACUAUUUAUGUUUAAUUGUGAACAAACAAAUUUUUUUGAUUUUAACCAAUCUACAGACCUAUUUUGCCAUACAACAAUGCAAAUCAAUAUACAGUUUGCAGGUAGGUUCAGCAAGCUUGACAAUAGCAAGAUAUGAAAUCAACACCUUGCAUUACCCAAUUUUCGUGCAUAAAAACCUAAAACCCUUUUACAAUCUAAUCAGUGCCAACAAUUACUGAACAAUGCACUAACAUUUUCUUAUGAAAUGAAACCAAACACAAGUUCGAAUUUUACAUGUUGAAAUUUCCCAAAUAUGAAGGAUAUCAACUCUUUGACUAUGAGUCUUUGUGUUGUGUAUCAUACCAGGAUAAAAGAAAAUCAAAUUGCAACUUCAACAUCAAACAAAUGGAGUGAAAGUGAAAAAAUAUUAUAGAAAUAUCGGGACAGAAAAUACAAACCCAGCAAGUCUUUUUCGGCAAAUUGAAAAUAAAACCAUAGAAAAUCAAAUAAUGUCUAUAAUAAAAGGUUACCUGAAAUUUCCCACAGAUCUGAAGGAAAUUGGAGUGGAGAUAGCAAAAAUAAAUGGUGUUUGAAAAUUGAGCACGUUUGGAUCGGUAAUCUAGACAGAUACGGAGAAGAGAGAACCGAGAAAAUGAAAAAAAACUGCGAUAAUUGAAGAGGGAACCGAGGAAAUGAAGGAAUGAAGGACUUCUUGGGGAGUUAGUGGAAAAUCGAUAAACAGAAACAGUGUUUUCUACCGGAAAUGAAGGAAGGAAUGAAGGAGGCGAUAGAGAGGAGAGCACAGAAAAUGUCUUAAGGAAAUUGAAAGGGUAAAACCUUUUCCCUAAAAUGUAACCCAAUUUCCCAUGCUUUGGAGUUCAUUUUCCAAAUGGAAAAUGUUUUCCGCCAAUCAAACGCUGGAAAAGGCGGAAAUGAUUUUCCGAAAAAUCAAUUCUGCCAAUCAAACAGACCCUAAAUCUUUUUGUGUUAUAUUAUUGAUAUUACGACUCUACGUAAAUGUUGAACGAAGUUUUAACGACUUUCAGAUCUCGUUUGAACCUUAAGAAUAAAUAGGAUACAAAUUACAUGUCAUUAGGAGUUACUGUGUUUUGGGUGUUAAUCUAGUACGCCCUACUGGUGGCUGAGUUUCCAGCAUUUGUUGCGGUUACUUGACAGCUUGUGUGAGCAGACCCAUUUAUGGCUCGAGAGAGAGCAUUGGUACACGAUAUGAGAUAGUAGUGGUUUUGACCACAUGUUGGCACAUACUAUGCGAGAUUCCCGUGUAUCCGAUAAUAUUCUAGUAGUUCAAUGGGUAUGAGAAGAAGGAAAGAUCGGCAAAUGCUUCGAUUAGAUUUGCUAUGAAAGUAUGGAAAGGUAUGAGUUUUUGGAUGAUUGAAAUAUGCUUAGCCAUAUGCUUGAAAAUAUGAAUGCACAUAAGUAGUGUGUACUUAUGCUAUGAUGUUUUGAGAUGAUUUGCUAGUUUAUGUGAUAUUUAAAAUUUAGAUGUUAUUCUUGUUUAGGCUAAGGCCAAGACAUGUUGGAUUGACUCAAAUUGUUUUAAGCUUAUAAAUGGAAAUGGUAAGCUUUAUUUUUGAAUCACAAACUUACUAAGCAUUACAUGCUUACUUUGUGUUAAUUUUCUUUGUGUACCUAGAUAUUGGAAGCUCAUAUGGGUUGGAAGUUGUUGGAGAUUUCAUCAUACUAUCAAUUGGCUAUGUUGGUACUUUUGGUUAUAUAAUUUUGGUUAUAAUGGCAUGUAUAUGUCAUUUUGGCUAAUGAUAGCCCACAUGUUUUGUUAUAUUUUUAGCCAUUUGAUUUGACUUGUAUUUUGGAUAUAUUUCGUUAUAUAUAUAUAUGUAAAUGGCCUUAUCAUUUGUGGUGUAUGGUUAUCAUGUGAAUGUAUAGUUUGUGAAUUGAUAUUUUGGGUACCAAAUAGUUGAGCUUGAUAAGUGACAUACAUGUUAAAUUUUGGUACAAUUAUGCAUAUUUGUGUUCGGUCGUUUAGGUAGGUUUGGAUACAUAGUUGGCAUGUUUUUCAAUGGUCAGAUGAGGUGCCUAUGGGCAUCAUGGUUGUAUGUGAUGAUAUUUCGUGUCUUAAGCUUUAUUUUGGUUGGUGUUGAAUGUCCAUUCAUGACUUGGUCAUAUGCAAAUUGUUGUGUUUAGGUUGUUAUCAAUUUGCGUGAGAAAUAUGGCUUGCAAAAUGACUUAUUUUUGUCCACACAGGCAGAGACACGGGCGUAUGUCUCAGUUGUGUGUCCCCUGUACCUUUUAAAGAACACAAGUCAGUAGCCUAAAACGGCCUAGUACACGGGCAUGUGGCUUGGACGUGUGUCACAAGUCAGUAUACUCAACAUUUUUCACAUGACCUAACACACGGGCAUGUGGCUUGGCCGUGUGUCACAAGUCAGUAUGCUCACCUUUUUUCACACGGGCAUGUGGCUUGGCCGUGUGACCCAAGUCAGUGAGCUCACUAGUUUGGACACGGGCAGGGACACGGCCAUGUGUCCGUAUUUCGAAUGCCCACAAGGCCUGAGACACGGGCGUGUCUCUUGACCGUGUGAGACACAUGGCCUGGCCACACGGGCAUGUGUCCCCUGCACCUUUGAAAAUUUUCAAUGUUUUUUAAAAAAUUCUUUGAGUACUCGAUUUAAUCUCGACUUAUUUUUAAUAUUUAUUUCAGGCCUCGAGGGCUCGUAUUAGGGACGAUAUGACUGGAAUUUAUUGGUUUCUAUUAUAAAUGGUAUAUGAAAUAAAAUGUCUGUUUGUUUGAGUUGUAAGUCCAGUAAUGCUCCAUAACCCUAUUUUGGUGUUGGAUACGGGUUAUGGGUGUUACAUAAACUAAAACUCUUGGACAAAGGACUAAAUCGUAACAAAUUGGACUAAUUUGAAUAGAACUAAGAACUUAGGUAGUGAUAACCCUAAAGGAUUAUUAAGAUAAAGUGAGACCGGAAGGUAAUCUUGCCGUGCACCUACUCAUUAAUUUCAGAUUAGUUGGUAAGAUUGGAAGAUAAAUCGGACCUAAUUCGUCUAAGUUGGAAAAAUUGAUAUUGGAAGAUAAAAUGGAGUCACUUGGUAAUUUAUGCGAUUUAUGUCAAUAGUCUGAGAUUUGGUGAACCACGUAUAAGUCAACCAACCCGCAUUAGUUAUUUGUUAGAUAGCUCAUCUAGUUUUACAUUUCUUACACUUUAGUCCUUAGAGUAGAAUAUUUAAUUUUCUUGGAAACUCAUCUUUUUAUGAAUUGUCGUAAUAUAAAAUAGUAUUAGUAGCCACUUAGACUUUAUCGUGUUUGCUAAUGAUUAAUCAAUCGCUUCUUCCUUUGGGUUCAAUCCUUGGAAUACUUCAGCCUUUCAUUGUAACAAUAUAAAUACUACAAUUGACAUGUACGCUUACAGUAUAAUUGGGAUUUAAAAAUUAUUAUAUAAACUUGUUGUUUUAACGCGCACACGCAUAGCCGAUCAUGGAGGCACUUAGUAAUUUAAGCAAUUUAAUUUCCUUGUCUGAGAAUUGGUGAACCACAUUGAAAUCAACCAACCACCGUUAGUCAAUUUAUUUGGUUAAAUCCUUAGUUUUAUAUUUUUUAUAGUUUAGUCUUCAGAUUUGUGCAUUCAAUUUUAUUGCAAAAUUUCCUUAUUAUGAUUUGUCGUACUGUAAAAUCGUAUCAGUGGUCGCUUAGACUCUAUUAUGUAUGCUAGUUAUCACUCAAUCUCCAUCUCCUUUAGGUUCGAUCCUUGGAAUACUCCGGUGUUCCAUUGUAACACUAUAAAUAUUACAACUGACCUGUGUGCUUGCAGUAAAAUCGGGCAUUAAAAAUUGUUUUAUAAGUUUGAUGUUUUAUGCGUACAUGUGCAAUGUCGGUCAAAAAGUUAGGAUUAAAUUUAAAGGACUAGUAAAUUGUCGAAUUUUAAAGGGAGAUUUGAAAAUUUUAAUGGUUGAAUUUUGAAUAGUUGGAUUUUAAUUCCAGUUCAGUUAGAUUGGAAUCAGCUGGUUCUAAAGUGAGCGACAAAAUGAUUAAGAGUGGAUGGUAGAAAUGGUCGCUAAAGACUAUGCCCAAAGAGCAUAUAUAGGUGUAAGUAGAGACGAAAUUUUCUCAAUUCUGUAUAUAAACCUUCUCCUCUUAAUAAGCAUCAUCUUCCUCAUUCAUUCUCAAGAAGAAGGGGAUGCAAAUGAAGGAAGCUCUGCAUGUCGCAACAGAGGUGUGAAUUUAAGUUCAGUGAGGGAGAAAUUGAGGAACUGAUAAGUUUCCUUACCUCUCUGUAAUUGUAAAUUAAAGAAAAGAGGUAGUGUAAGAAUUCUCAAGGCUUCUGAAUAAUUGUGGAUUCUGGGUCUUAAAGGUUGAAUACCCUUAGUUUAACCAAUACAUGGUUUUCAUGCUUAGCUUCUAGGACGAAGGAGGCUGUGGCUUUCAAAAAAGCUAAGCUAAGGAGAUAAGGAACCAUCAGGUGAGCUUCUGCACCCUACCUCUUGAUUGAUAAAUGUUGUUGUGAUGUCAUGCUAGUUAUGUGUUGACUGCUAUCAGUAGAUAAGUGGUAUUAUAUGUAUGAUUAGUGUAUGCAAAGUAUGAGAGGGAAAUAUUGACGGGUUAGAAGAAGCUAGGAUUCAGAAAAGAGUGAUUCUGUUAGAUGCUGCCAUACGAGAUUGUUGGGAGUAAACUGUGAUGUGUGAAGCUCUAGGGCUUGCGGAGGGAAUACUGCGGUGUCAAGUAUCAAUGUUAGGGUGGUGAAUGGAGGAAUGGGCGAAGGAAAAAGGAAAAUUGGAAUUCCAUUUUGAUUUAUGCCAUCCGAAAUUUUUGCGAGUAAACUGUGAUGUGUGAAGCUCCGAGCCUUACGGAGGGACACUUUGGUGUUCGAGCAUCAAGGUGGAUAUAUGAUAGAACGACAUUGAUGAUUAUUAGGUUCCAUAGAGCAACAUCGUGACGGCAGUCAGUAGGCUUUAUUGGGGGACACCGCGACAGUAGUAGGGUCCUUCAAGGUGAUACCUCCAAGAGGUUUAAGGUGUAAGACCAUAUCUCGAUUAUGGCAACUGAUAUGCCAUAUGUAGCAAAUUAGGCAUUUUCGACACACUUAAUGAGCUUUUUCUUGAGCAAAAUAGAGUUUUUAGCUUAGUUUUUCGUUAUUUUUGUAUUUUUAUAUUUUUUGGGUUAUAAGUGAAAAUUUUUUGUUUUUCUCUAAUUUUUUUACCCAAAUUGGCUGAUAGUGCUAUUGGGAGGUCUAAUGUGUGUUUGAGUGACGUAGGGACCUGUCAGAGGUCGAAAACGAGUAGGUACAACAUCUAGGGAAAGCGUAUGAUGAUAUCCAACCCUUAGAAUCGCAAUUCCUCUGGCAGUAUAGAAUACCAAAGAGACCCUUCAGUGGUAUCGCGACAUCCCUUUUGGGUAUCGUGAUAUCCACCUAUCAAGGAAGACCCCAACAAGAAAUCAAGGAGUUCAAAACUCAACCCUCCACUGUCCUUGAACUUAGUACCAUGGAUAUUGAGGGUUAGGUAGGAACAUAACGGAGGUUUCUCACAAAAAUGUACUCAAGCGAUUAGUGAAGAGGAAUUGAAUUAGCUCGUAAUUGAUUCUUGUUAAAUAUAGUGCUUAAAGAAAAGAAAGAAAAACGAGGAUCAAAAGUAUUGUAAGAGAAAAGAACAAACAAAGUGUAAAAAUGCUUAAAAAAUGAAAUGAGCAUAAAAUUGUUUCGAAAUCAUAGUGCGCAAAAACAAGCUAAUAUCAAUUAUCCUCUUCCACUGUAUUGGAGAGAUAAGGAUGGUGAGAAAAGGAGAAAUAAGGUGGUGAGAUGGAACAAUCACAUUUUGGGGGAGGGGAAUUGGGAACAAUGUUUUGUGUUAUACUAUUCAUAGUGCUUGGACCAUUUUGAGAUGAACUUUCUUUGAAUCCGUACCAACCUCAGCCUCAGAACGUUACAAGUCGAAAAGACCUUUAGGACCCAAAUAAGUUACCGAAGCAGCAAUUUGAAUAUAGCUUGCAUUUGUUAGAACGAACGUAAACAAUUAUUUUUAAUUAUCUAUGAGCGAUCUGUAUAAUUUAAUUUGACAGACCAUAUUUGUACAUAUGUUCAUUUACAUUUCCUCCAUCUCUAUAGACAUUUUUAAAUUGCAUGUAAACUAAUUCUUGUACAAAUUUAAUGUUGUGUAGCUAUAUAACUUAAGUGUUUGAUUUAGUCCAAGGGUCGUCUUUUUGUAUAUUUUGUGUGUUUGCUUGACGAUAAGAAAAGACUUAACUGUGAGGGAAAAUGAUCUGCCACAAAUCGAUGUGGCAAAUUAGAUUUUUGCGACACACUUAAAGAUAUUUUUCUAGAGAAAAAUAGAGUUUUUAGCUUAGUUUUUUUUGUUAAUUUUGUAUUUUUAUAUUUUUAGGGUAAUAAGUGAAAAUAUCUUGUUUUUGUCCAAUUUUUUUUACCAAAAUUGGCUGACAGUGCCAUUGGGAGGUCUAACGUGUGUUUGAGUGAUGUAGGGACGUGUCAGAGGUUGAGAACGACAUCUAGGGCAAGGGUAUUGCGAUAUCCAACCCUUGGAAUCGCGAUACCUCCGGCAAUAUAGAAGACCAAAGAGUCCCUUCAAUGGUAUUGCGACAUCCUCUUUGGGUAUCGCGACAUCCAUCUCUCAAGGAAGACCCCCAAGUUGAACACUGCACGAGAUAUCGCGAUAUCCUCUUUUAGGUAUUGCGAUAUCACCUUUGUAAGGGGAUAAACUUGGACAAAAAGGGCAACCUUUGUCUACUCGACCCACCAAUCACACAAGGCUCAUGUAGGGGUAAUUUUGGCAUAAAAAAUUUAUCAGAACACCAUUCAAAACAGUAAAAAAUUACUGAGGAUGAGAGAGAUACAUUUUAGCUUAGUUUUAAGUUUAGUUUUCUCUAGGUUUUCUUUAGUUUUUCUCUACACUUUUUUAGGGUUUUUAUUUUUCUCUUCUUCUACAUUAGAUUAGAGUUUAUUUUUUUUGCAUUUACUUCUUAUUCUUAAUGUUCUUUAUGUUAGUUAACAUUGUAGCUAAGGUUUAUUUACAUUUCUAGUCCCUGUACCUUAUUUUCAAGACUCUUUAAGUUUUAGUUUAAUGUAUUUCAGUUUAUUUCACUUCAAAUUUGUUAAAGUUUGUUCCUUUUAUGUUUCUUGUUUUAAAUUUCUUUGUUAAAUGCUUUUGGUUUCAUGCUAUUUAAAUUUUCUCGUAUAAAAAUCUCAACUUUUACAUUUUUCUUAACUUUUACCUUUAUGACUGCUUUGUUUUCCAUUGUUAUGUUUAUUUUCUUGAAUUGGAGCAUGUGUAGCUAAAUCUUUAAGGCGGUUGCUUGAUGGAGAUGUAGAUAAACUAAUAUCUUUGGACAAAGGACUAAAUUGUAACAAAUUAGGCUAAUUUGAAUAGAAUUAAGAACUUAGGCAGUGAUGCCCCUAAGGGAAUAUUAAGAUAAAGUUAGACCGGAAGGUAAUCUUGUCGCGCACUCGUUCGUUAGUCUCGGAUUAAUCGGUGAGAUUGGAAGAUAAACUAGACCAAAUUCAUCUAAGUCGGUAAAAUUGAGAUAAUAAGAUCAAAUGGAGUCACUUGAUAAUUUAUGCGAUUUAUGUCCCUAGUCUGAGAUUUGGUGAACCACAUCGAAGUCAAUCAACCCUCAUUAGUCAUUUUCUAGAUAGUCCCUUUAGUUUACAUUUCUUGCAAUUUAGUCCCUAAAGUAGAAUAUUUAAUUUUCUUGCAAACUUAUCUUUUAUGAUUCGCCGUACCAUAAAAUCAUAUUAGUAGCCACUCAAUCUCUAUUGUGUAUGCUAGUUAUUGCUCAAUUUCCACUUCCUUUGGGUUCGAUCCUUGAAAUACUUCGAUCUUUCAUUGUAGCACUAUAAAUAUUACAAAUAACCUGUAUAUUUGCUAUAAAACUGGAAUUUAAAAAUGUUUCAUAAAUUAGUUGUUUUAAUACGCACUUACGCAGUUGGUCAGUGACCUAGGUAGUCCGCCGAGAUAGAAAACACAGGGUAGUCAUUGGAAUAUCAAACAUGGGAAUCAUAAUUGGACAAUAUGUGGUUCAUGAAGGAUGUCAAUAGUGAAAGUGGAGUUCGCAGAGUGAAUGGAGUGAUAAGUCUCAUGAAUGAAUGAUCUUGGCAUGUCUAGGGAAUUUAGACCACCAGAAUAGUGAGGGAUGUUAAGGUUAUGUCCCAACCCCAGUUAGGGUAAAAAGGGAAAGAGGCUCCUUAAAUGAAAAGGUAUAACUGGAAUACGCAAGUUCUAGUCUGCUAGGGGAGCUGCAGAUUCCAUACUGUUUAAGCAGUUUUGUAUUAGCCUGUAGUGGAACGAGAUUCUUGCGAGCUGACGAAAGCUGGCCGAAGGGUUCAAUAGGUUGAACAAGGUUUUAUGAGAGGAAAUGUGUACCGGUGGUUGAAGGGGCAGGAAGGUUCAUUAGGGGAUACGGGAAAGUGGAGGCCGGAGAUGGCCAUAGAGGUUAGUAGAGAUCUUGUAGAGUUUUCCCCAAAGGCAGGAACUGCAUGUCCUAAGAAGUCAUCUUUGGAAAUAGAUCGAUAGAGCAAGGGUUUCAAUGUUGUUAGUUAGCUCUAGUGCUCCAAGGUAGUGAGGUCAUCAAAAUCUGAGAAAAACUGAAAAUGUAGGAAACACUUGGAUAGGCACCAGGCGUUGCCUGCCAGAAAUAAUGAACACGGUUAUCAGAUAGUUAAAUUCUGAGCUGGAUGUCUCAUUCUUCUUAAAAAUUUUAUAUGUAGAUCUCACUAAGUUCACCUGAACUUAUAAGCUUUCUGCUCAAAUACAAGUUAGUUAAAGAAUCGAAAACUGAGAGGGACCAAGCCAGACUUCGUUAGAGGCUAGGCGAAAUGCAGCAACAAUGCAUGUUUAUAGAGUGCCAUUCGUAGAGGCUCUACCUUAAGGGUUUAGCGGCUAUUUUAUGUAUUCAAAUCUUGUCCAAAAUUUUGUAACCAAUCAUUAGAAAUGAAGUUUUAAGGUUUUACUAUUAGUGUAAUAUAACAUGUUUAAGUAUGUAAUUAAACAAGAACAGAAUUUUCGUUAAGUCAUUUGGGUUGAUGUAGCAUCCGAUACCUGAACCUGGCAAACGAGUUGGGUAAAGGGUGUCAUAAUUUUUCACACACUUGAAUUCAAUAAAAAGUUGUAGAGAGAAAAUUUUCUAAAAAAAUUAUUUCAUAAUAUUUUUCUUAUUUACAACUUGGCUCAGAAGUUUAGAGAAAUUACAAAAUUACCCCAUUGGUAAUUUUAUGGAAAAUUUUCUGAUUCGAAACGAGCUUACACUCGGUAGACGUGAGCUUGAGGAUAGCGGAGAAGACUACUCGAUCGAAGCGUUCAUCCUAGACGAAUAAAAAAUGUACAUUUUUUAUUAAGUGUUUAUUACUUUAGAUAUCACAAUCAAGUUCUUGUUUUUGGAAAAAAAAAUAAAACUUUGGUUUUUCCCUUAAACUCGUUUUUCACUGUGUUUUCCAAACCCGUUUUUCCAACACUAUAAUAUGCCCUCUCCCCUAGCUUGCUCAUGCCACCCUCCCAAGCAGCUGCCACCCCUACUCCCUCAGACUAAGCCUUUCACUAAUAACCUUCUGGCUCUCAGCAUCAAGUUACUGAAAUGCAAGAGAAAAUAAAGCGUAAAAAGGAGUAGCAACGUCGAUUCUAAAAGCAAUAGAAGCAUCAGCGCCUACUUGACCAAAAAAUGCUCAGUAUGAGCAACUGAUCGAAGAACUUUGUAGCUAGGGAUCAUAUUGUCAUGUGCAUCUUUUGGAUUUAAAGGAGUCAAAGUGUAUUAUUUCCCACGAAACACAAGGGAAUAUUUGUUUAAGUUACCAUGUUGAACAACAUCACGAUCAUAUUGUCAUGGUCAUCCGAGUAAUAAGUAGGCAAGCUUGCAUAGGAACCAUAUCACACCAAACAUCGUUAAAAUAAUUCCUAAUUUUAAAAGUGAUUAAAGACUAUUCUUCCAAUUUUAUCUCUGAAUCUUCAUUAAGCCCUUUUAGAUGAUAUAUCUUAGGGUGUUUUUGACAAGGUAAAAAAAAAGAUUCCACAAGGUAACUACUUACCACAUCGACACAACUGCAACUAUCAAUUAUAAUGAACAAUUUUCCUUUUAAUUAAACAUCAUGAAUGGAAUAUAUUAGUCUUAUAAACAUCAGAAUUGUCUCUUACAUGCAUGUUACGGGUUUGUCUCACUACAAAAGAAUAAGAUGCUAUCAAAUUGUCCCUAUCAAUUGGAGGUUAUAAUACCUUAUCUUCAUCAAAUUCAUUCUCAUCAACAACAUCACAAUCAUUAGUAUUCUCUAAAACAUUAUCACAUCCAGAAUAAAAAGAAAGUGUACCAUCAUAAUGCAUAAAUAAGAAGCAUUUAUUUGGACACUCAUGAGAAUAAUGACCAUUCUCAUUACAUGUAAAGCAUUCAAUAUCUCGAGUAUGUUUAUGAUUUUGUUAUGAAGAAGAAGUAGAAGUGGGUUUGGUGUAAGAGGAUGUACUUUUGGAUGACGCCUCACUUUUUCAUUCAAGUUGUUUUGAUUUAUCUUUAUAUGGUAGCGAACAAUUCCCACUCUUUGGAAAAGAUUUCAAAUCCCUAAUGAGGAGUUAGAGUUUAAAAUUUUCCAAUUUGAUUCAUUACUCCAUAAAUGGGCCUUAGAUUUUUAUUGGAGUUGCUGCUCAAUGUUAUGGCCUUCUAAAUUUCCUUCUCUAGAUCAAAAUAGGUUUGAAGAUCAAAUACAUCAGAUAUGGCCACAUUCAAUCCAUCAAAAAAUCGGGUUAUAGCGUCAUCUUCAUACAUAUUUGCUCAGUGCAUGAGCAUCUCUAUCUCCUUAAAAUAUUCAUCAAUGGAGUUGUUCCCUUAAAUAAUAUGUUUAAGCUUUCACUUAUUGUCAUUAAUGUAGUGAUAUGGGACAAAACAUUUUUGCAUGAUCCAUUUUAGUUUAUCUUAUGAUUCAAUCAACUUCUCAUGGUUCAUUUCCUGAUUUCGCAUAAGUGUAGUCCAUUAACUCAAAGCACAGUCAGAAAAUUCCAAUGUAGCCAAUAUAACUUUCUCCUCCCCCGGACAUUUAUAGUAAGUGAAAAUGAGAUCAAUUUUGCUCUACCAAUCAUAAUAUGUGCAUUUGAAUUGUGUUUACCUUUGAACAACAUAAUGUUGAACUUCAGUUUAACAAAAAAAAAAUUGCCACGGGUAUUACAAUCCGAAGCCUCCUCAUGAGCACAAGAUCCAUAUUUAUCAUCACUAGGUUGAUUUUGAAGCUCAUCAUCCUCAUCACUGUCUUGUCCACGAAAUUUAUGAAUUGCCACAUUAUCUAACCAUGCCAAAGUGUUGCUCAAAAUCUGUUAGACAGCUCAUUCUAACUAACACAAUCUUUUAAGUCCUUGAACAAUUUUUCAAACUUGUCCAAAAUUUCCAUCAUGUCUUUUUACAACUUAGCUUACAUUUCAACCACAUUUCAAAAGUAACUUGUGGCUUGUCAUGAUCAUCAUCUCCUCCUCAAGUACAAGCCAUUUUGAUAAUCCGAAAUCACAGCACACGAAAUAAAGAAAAGAUGAAGUAUAAAACCUUAUCCUUAACACUUGUGAUAAAAAAAAAACUCUUGGAGGAAAAGGAAAAUAUUAAGAAUCCUUCACUUGUAAAUCUUAAAGUGUACAAAAUCAAUAAUCUCAAAAGACUUAAUGGUGAGUGUUCACUAGCAAAGCACACCUAAGGCUCUAAGAAGCCAAAUAAAGCUCAACUCUAAAAGAAAGAAGUUGCGUGGAAAAAGGAAAGGCAAAUUUCGUUGUACCUACUAACAUAAGAAAUAAAAAAAGUGUUAAAAUGAGUAAGGAAAAAUAAAAAGGCUGAACAAAUGAAAUCCUAAAUCUAGAAUCAAAGAAAAUUGUAACUACCUAUCAGAAAAUUGAAAAAUGGAACACAACUUGAAUUUUCCGUUUAAGGUGUUAUUGAUGAGAUAAAAUCGUGAAAUUAAAUAUGGAGCCUCUUCAAAUGAUAAAAAUAAGACCUAGAAAGAUUGGGCAUUUAAUUCAAUCCACAAUUUUUUUCUCUUUUUUUUUUUGGCUUUUCUACUGUAAUCCAAACAAACUUUAAUGUGCAUUUCUUGAAAGGAAACCUUUGUAUUUUGAAACUUGAAAUUUCAACACAAUAAAGAACAUAAGAAAAAUAUUCAUAUGAAUAAAAUCAAGAUUGAAAAAGAUUAGGGAAGGUGGGGAAAAAUAAGUGUGAAGAUGGAUAAAAAGUAAUGUCCAAUGGAACUCUUUAAAGAACACUUCAACAAACUCCACCAAAGGCUCUAACCAACCCUCCAAGAAAAGAAAUCAAGUUGAAAGCACUUCUAAGAAAAUACAAAAAAAGAAUCUUUCAAAGAGAGAAAACUCUAAGAGUUUAAUUCAUAAAAAUAAUGAAAAAUGAAUGAUGUACAUGAAGGGAGUGACUUGCCUUAUAGAGGAAAAAAUAGGGUAAGUUAAGAGUUCUAAUCAUACUAGGAUUACCUAAACAACAAGUAACAAGAAAAAAAUUAACCUAAUGAAAAAAACUAAGUAUAAAACAUCAUUAAUAGGUGAAAGUUGACGAGCCUUUGAAUAUAACGGAGAGAUGGAAAAAUAUUGGAUGGAAAAUGAUGACAAGGCGAUGCCCUAUAAAACCCUUUGAAUAAAAAUCUUCAACAAGCUUUGCAAAUGGCUUUAAUCAACCCUCUAAAGCUGAACCCUAGUAAAUUGGAGGGUGAAGAAUGUUUCCCAUGACUUGUUGAAGAAAACCAAGAUGAAACAAAUUCUAAAAAUCAGAAGAAAGAUAUUUUUCAAAAAGAGAAACUCAAAGGGUUGUAUUAUUCCAAGAAUGAAGGAUGUGUAUAAUAAGGGGCAUCAUAGGCUAUUUAUAGGGAAAACUAGGGUAAACCUAAACAAAAAUGACAUGUUUCAUAAGUAACAAGCAAAAAACCCUACUUAAUUAACAUGAAAAAUAAAUUAAGUGAUAUUUGGCCAACUUAUAGUACGGAGCAUUGAUUGAAUUUAACAAAUAAAAUAGUCAUAAUGGGCUUAAAUAGAAGUUGUUCAUAAAACUCUAUUAACAAAAUAAAUUAACUAAGUUCUAAAGAUGAUAAAAAUGUUCCAAAUGAGUUAAAUAACAUAAGCUACGCAUGUGGGCUUGAUUGGACUCCUUGAAGUGCAACGUUUAAGCUUGUUAACAUCUUCCACAUGGACUUAUCUUCAUGAAUUGAACUUUUAAUGCCAUGACCAGUCUUGCAACCUUCUAAUUUGUCCUUAAUUCUUAUUGAACUCCAAAGUCCAUCAUCUUAAAGCUUCAAAUCCUCUUCUUGAAAUCUUUUUAUCAAAAAGUAUUGUACAGAUAAGUUGAGCUUUGACAUCAAUUGCUCAAAUUUAGAUAUUGUGGUUGGGCCUUGAGAAAAACCGAACCCAUCUCCAUCAUGAGCUUAAAAUUAGGUCAAGUCAUUCCUAUCAAGACACCUAAACCUUUUAUAAAAAACACAUCUCCUCCACCAAAAGAAAACAAAGAAAUUAUUACGACCAAUAUUCUAAACAUGCUUUGCCAGACAUCCGAAAAAACCCUUGGUGGCUCUCGGCACUACCGUGUAAACUGCAUCAGCUCCCAAAAGACCCCAUUGAUAAUUCUUGCAUCAACAAUCACUAUUUCUUGAAAUCGGAUGGAGCUAACUAUUUUUAUUUUACCGUCUCAAACAUAGUCUUCGGCUGCGUUCGGCAAUGAUUAUCUAAUGAGUUUUUAGGGGAAAAAGUGCUUUUAUAUAAAAAGCAAUAAAGAAUGGGGUAAAAAGUAGGAGCUUUUUCAGCUUAAAAAAAAAAGUCCUUUUUCUAAGAUGAAAAAGCCAAAUUUUGGUGCUUUUUUUAGCCAAAAGUGCUUUUGAGGCUGAUAUUAUAUUUUUGACCUUAUUUGUUGUCUUCCUUUUUUUUUCCCUUUUUCAUUACAAAAAUUUAAUUAUUAUAUUUAAAUAUUUAAAUAUAGUUUAUAUAUUCUAAUUAAAUUUAAUAAAUAAUUAAUAUUAAUUAAUUAGAAAUAUUUAAAAUUAAUAUUACAUAUUAAAAUAUUAACAAUAAGUUAUAAUAAAUUAUUUUUUAUAUUUUUGCUAAAAUAUCAUAAUAUUAACUAAUUUGAACAUUAUUUAAAUACAUAUUUGUUACCUUAUAAUAUCAUGUCUAAAAUGGACAUUUUAUUUCUCAAAAGUACUUUUUGACAACAAUACCAAACACUCAAAAUUUUCAAAAACACUUUUCCACAGUACUUUUCAAAAGUAUUGCCAAACUAGCCCUUCGUUUCCGACAUUCUAUUACUUAAAUCUAAAAAUUUUUGAUUUUAUUGAAUAUGGAGAAAAAAAACCCUCAACAUUGGUGGAAAGAUCUUUUGUUGCAUUACUUGACCAAAAAUUUCAUUUGUAUUUAUUCUUACAAAUCAAAUUGCUUAUUUAUUUAUUUAUUUCUGACACUUACUAUUUUAAAAGAAUAAUAAUCAGCUGCUUCUUUCAAAAUUACAAGACAUUUUUGUUUUUUAGCCACACAAGUAAUCAAAUUGAUUAUGAAAGGGACACAUAUUUUGUCCAUAGAUUAAACAUAAAUAAAUAAACAAAUAAACUUCAACUAUGCAAGAAAGUCCACAAAAUCGACGGUUAUGAUAGUUUGAUAAACCUUUCUCCGCUUACUCUACUUUUUUAAAACCAAAAAAAAAGGAGUUGACCCAAAAUUUUUUAUGCAUCUUUUGAUAAUUCUGUCCCAAAGCUGUUGAGUUAACGCUAACUAAUUUCAUUAGCCUUUGAUCGGAUCUUUCCCUUCUUUUCAUAAAGUGCACUGUGAAUACUAUUACUUGGUCAAAAUCUCUGGUUGUUUACUUCCCAAUUAUUUGAAGGUUUGAGUUAUAUCGGUUAUGUUUUGAGUUCAAAUUUUAUAAAUAAAAAAUAUGGAAUUGAGAAAAUCUUAUCAAAUUAUCGUUUAUAUUCUAAAUUUUAAAAUAUUUUAAUUAAGUAUUUUAAGGUCUCGAUAUUAUAUUGACUAGAUCCUUUAGUUAGUUUAACCAUCAAUUUACUUAUUAAAGGCUAAGUUGAAAUAAAGAAUUGAUUGAUACAAUAAUAUUUAAUAAUUUAAGCAAAUAUUUGAUAAUUUAGGGAACAAACUCCUGUGCUUACUUAAGCCUAAAUUUGGAUUUAAACAAGAAUCCACCUCUUUAAGUGAACCUUGGGGUAAGUCUAUUAUAAUAAUGCUAAAACAUAAUUAUUUAUUUAAUUAUUGAAUUGGAGUGUGGUUUCAGCUCAUUGAGAGCCACUUAAACUGCUAUAAAUAAUUAUUACUACUUUGAAUACAUGAUUAAGGGAGACUGUUUCACAAAGUCUUUGGUGGAAUUUUAAUUAAGGAAAACUUUGUGUAUUCAGUGUGAGAUGGGAAUCUGCAUAUCCAUUGCAUCUUCAGAGAUUCAUGAUCAAGCUGAAGAUCAACAUCACUUCCAUGAAAAUGUUCUUUACUUGACCGAAACCAUUCCUUCCAUUGGAACUCACACACAUGGUUCUCUUUACUCGAAACAAGGAACCAAAGGACUCAACCAGGAUGCUGCCAUCCUUUAUCAGGUUUGCCAUUGCUAAUCCUUUCUCUCUUUUUUUGGUUUAAUUCUGAUUUCAGUCUCUCUACUAUGCUAAAAUUUGAGAUUUGAUUCAUCUACUCUUUUUUUUUAUUAGAGGGACUAAACCAUAAUUAUACCUUUCUUCUUGGCUUGAAAAUAAUAUAUAUGUGCGUGUGUUUGUGUGUAUGUAUGUCAAUUAAAACUCUGGGAUUUGUACCUUUUGGUUCUUCAAGGAGUAUGGGAUUAAAGGUGGAGCAUUUUGUGGUGUUUUUGAUGGACAUGGGAAGAAUGGUCAUAUAGUGAGCAAUAUGGUGAGGAAUCGGCUGCCAUCAUUGUUGGUAAGCCAAAAGUAUGGUGUAGCAAAGCUUGAACCAACACCUGAAAGCGACAAUGGAAGGAGACCAAGGAAGGAUUUGGUUAAAUGGAAACAGGCUUGCGUUAGUGCCUUCAAGGUGAUGGACAAGGAGAUUAAGCUGCAACACAAUUUGGAUUGCUCCACUAGUGGAACCACCGCUGUUGUUGUUGUUAGACAGGUAAGAAAAAUAUCUAGUCAUAUUACUACUGGUUUUCGAAGAAAUUCUUAGAUUCAUAAUUCGAUUUCACAAAUUAUAGGUUGGUUUUGGGGACUGUGUCAAUUUGACUUUUAAAUUAUAGGUUGGCUAAAAAUAUAUUUUUUUUUCAUUUAAUCAAUGGUUAAAAAGUGUUAAAUUGAUUUUUUGGAGGGGCUGAAAAGUAAUAUUGCCAUUUAGGAAGAGAGCCUACCAACCUUUCUAGCUACACCCUUGAUUUUGGAUUCGGAUCUUUCAAGAUUAAGGUCUGGUUUGAGCGUUGUCACUUCAAGUUUAGGUCAUUUCAAAUUCAUUCUUUUUUAUUUGCAUCAAUUCAGGUUCAAAUUAUUUUAAGUUUGGGAGGUUUGAGUUUAAAUUAAUUUUGGAUUUAAGUUCAUUCAAGUUUAGGUUAGAUGAGUUUGAGUUGUUGAGUUUUUAUGAUCAAAAUCAUAUUUAUAUUUGAAAAGAUAAAAGUUGAAUUUUCUAAGUUAUGGCGAUGGUAGCUUAUUAUAGUUUCAUUUCCAAAGGGUGAAGUUCUUGUGAUUGCAAACCUGGGCGAUUCAAGGGCAGUGCUAGGAACAAUGACUGAGAAGGGGAUCAAAGCUGUUCAACUAACUACCGAUUUGAAGCCUGGUUUACCCAGUAAGACCCCCAUUUCCACCAUCAUUCUUACUCAUUAUAUAAAACAAAUCAAUGAAUUAAAAGAGCCAUUUUCACCAUAUUAUUUUCAAUUGCAGGUGAAGCUGAAAGAAUAAGGAAUUGCAAGGGUAGGGUCCUUGCUUUAAAGGAAGAACCACAUAUCCCUCGAGUGUGGCUGCCCCAUGAGGAUUCACCAGGCUUAGCCAUGUCUCGAGCCUUUGGAGACUUUUUGCUCAAGGACCAUGGCCUCAUUGCGGUCCCCGAUGUCUUCUAUCACCGCCUAUCCCCAAAUGAUCACUUCAUUGUUCUCGCAACUGAUGGUGUAAGCCCCCUUUCAAUCAAAUUAGUAAUAACCUCCUCUAAUUAUCAUCCAAAUUUUAAAUUCAUCCCUAAUUUUUAAAAUGUUAUAAUUGAGUUCUCAAAAUAUUAAUAUUGUAUCAAUCAAAUUCUUUCAUCAACCUAAAAUCUCUCAAGUGUUAAAUGUCAGUUCAGAUUGACAUAGAGUGUGUAUGUAUGUAUAUAUAUAUAUAUUAAAGACACUGUCCUCUAUGCCCUUGAUUGAGUUGAUAUUACGAGACAACUACGUACUAACUCAGUUGGGUAAUAACUAAAAUAACAUUAUUUUACAAAGUAAAUUAUAUUAUUUUGAGAGUUUUUCUAUCUUUUAUAAAAAAAAACAUAUCUAUAUUGGAUUUGAACUUAAGACACUAUAUAUAAUUUUAAAUAUCUUCACAUUACUAUUUUAAUGAAAACCUCGUUUGUUUUUUAUCCUUAAGUUUAAAAUUUGAUCUAAUUGUUCUAAUUAUACUCCAUUUCAUAUCAAAACUAACAACUAGGUUGAGGGGAAAAAACCUGAUUGAUACUAUACCAACACUUUAAGGCCUUCGAUUAGAAUAUUUUGAAAUUUGGAGGAUUAAUUUAAAGUUUGAACUCUAAUUUCAGGACCUUUAUAUAAUUAGCCCUAAUAAUAAUAUUUUUUUCACACGUGUAAGAAUGUGAAGCUAAAUCGUUUGAUUUUGGCAUGUUGUUAGGUAUGGGAUGUGCUAAACAACGACCAAGUUGCAUCCAUAGUGAUGGAGGCAGAAAGUGAGCAGGCAACAGCAAGGACGGUGGCGGAGGCAGCCACCGCCUCAUGGAAGAGGAAGUUUCCGUCUUCAAAAGUAGAUGACUGCACCGUGGUUUGCCUCUUCCUCCAAGACAAGCAACAUCCAAGUUCCUUGGCCCCGGAGACUUAAACUAGUUGAUUGGCCUGACCGCCUUUGAUGUAUAAAAUAUAUAAAAUUUGAGGAUAUUUUGAUCAUUAUUUAUAAAAGAAAUCAUACUAUAUUGAGAAUAGAACUAAGACUUUACUAGUUGGUAGGCCUCCUUUGUUAUUUAAAUUAAUUUAUAUUACUUAUCUAAUAUAAUACUUCAGUAUUGAGUAUUAAAUUUAGAAUAUACAAUAUGAUACCAUUACACAAGUAUAUUUAUUCUUUUUAACACAAUGUUUAAAACUAUUCAUAGUUCCUCUCCAACCUAUAAAUAGGAGGAUAAUACGCUUCAGCGCACUUGAAUCCAAUUGAGCUAAGACUCAAUCCAUAAAUAAAAUAAUAUUUUUAAAAAAAUAAAAUAUGAUAAAAUUAAAUGGGUUUAGUACAUAUAAUAUACUAGGUUUUAAUUUUGAUAUAUUUAACUAUUAUAUUAUGUUUAUACGAUGAAAAUACAAGAUAAAGAUAAAGUUUUGGAAAUCUUGAUAUUAGAAAUUUAGCUAAUACUUUAAUGUAAAAUAAAAAAAUUGCCAACAAGACCUUCACUGAAAUAAUAAGGUUAAAAUUUUUGAACUCUUAAAUUCGAUUUUCAUCCCAUAUAAACAUCGUGUUUGAGUUCUCUCUAAUAUUUAUCUUUAAAAGUUCCACUAAUUUAAUUCUAGUUUUAAUUAUUCAACCAUGUACUAUAUUUACGAUGAUAUAUAUACUUAUAAACUCUUUAAAAAAUAAAAUCCUAAAUAAUUUUGAUAAAGUAUAAAACAGAUACAAUGAAGUUUAAGCAAUCAAGUACAUGAUCAGCUAGGCAUGAAAAGGAAGCAUGUUUUGGAAUUUUACUAUCAAGGAAAGUCCCCUUUGUCCCACAAUGAAACUUCACCCAACUUUUGAUAAUAGUAUGGUUUUUCCAUGAAAACGAUAGGGUUGGGUAAUUAGAAUCAAACUAUUGUUUUUCUAUUUAAAUUCCAUCGUAAAUAUAUUAAAGUCCAAAAUUAUGUGUCACUUCCCCUGGAUCUAGUUUAAAUUCACCAAUAAUGCAAGGGUCGCUGUAUAUGUAUCCAUCAAAGAAAAUGAAAUGUAGAAGAAGAGUGAGAGCAAGAGAUUCCUAAUUCUUUAUGUAUGAUACCAAAAGAUUCAAAUAUACUUGCCUCCCUUUUCAAGAUAAGGGAUUGGACCACCCCUUCAAAUAUUUUAAUUUUUUUUUUUGACUUCUAUGUUUUUUUUCUUAAAUAAUACAUUUUUUAAUAUUAAAAAACAAUCUGCUAUAAAAUUCGUUUAAUGCUUUUUAUAAUUGGAAUUAAAUUUAAAUAAAAAUUUAUAUAUUAAACUCUACACACAAAUAUAUUAAUAGAGUUAGGCAAAAAGUUUAGCUUCUUUAAACAUAUGGUUUCAAUAAAUUUAAACUUCAAAAUGAGAAUCGAAUCGGAACGAAUAAGAACAUGUUAUCUAAUUUCUAUAUUGUAAAUAUUAAAUAAUAUGUUAUUUAUGUUAUUAUACAAGUAAUAAAAAGAAUUUUAAUAUUUUAACAUCACUUAUAUGGUUAAAAAACUUGACAAUUUAUUAGAAUUGUUUAUAAAUUAAGCUGAGUUUAGAUUUUUCUUUUUUUUUAACUCUAGGCUAAUUCAAUUCGUUGUAUUUCAUUGUUUGUAAAUAAUAAAAAGUACAAAAAUAUUUUUUAUUAAUUUUUAUAUAUUUUUCAUAAUUCAAUUUAAGUAUAAGUAAUUUUCAUAAUAUUUAUUAGAUUAGAAUAUUUAUUGAUUUUAUUUUAAAAAAUAAAAAUGAAAAUUGGGUGUUUUUGAGUUUUCCGUUUUCCGGGAAAAAAAGCAACCAAUAAGAGACAAUUACGUAAUACACAUUUCGACUCCGCGGGUCCCAUUAAAAGCCGACGAAAAUCAACUUGGCCACCUCCCGUUUUUCAUCACUCUCAUCACAACCGUUAUUCUAUUUUGCUCUUGAAGGACCAAAACCGUUAACUUUUAAUGGGUCCCGAAAUGAACGUCCCAGAUGCAAUCAUAAGUUUCUAUCAAUAAAAGUAGCUCCUGGGCCCGCCAAUACCAUAGCUAAUAUCUAAAUUUAUGCUUAUAAUAACUUAGCUGCAAAGCCUUUGAAUUUUGCAUUAUCUUCAAUUUCUUCUUUUGUUGGCCAAAUCAUGACCACUCUCGUGACCGGUGUGUUUCUCCUCCUACUAUCCGUCGCCGGCGUCGUCUCUGCCGCUAGAUAUAUCACCGGUGAUGUUCUCCGGUUACCUUCGGAAGCUUCAAGGUUCUUCCGAUGGAGGAGCGAUGAUGAUGAAGUUGGUGGCACAAGAUGGGCGGUCCUGAUUGCUGGAUCUAAUGGAUAUUGGAAUUACAGGCAUCAGGUUAUAGAUUCUCUUUAAAAUUCAAUUUUUUAUCGUUUUCAUGAGUUUUUUGAAAAUAUUUAUGAUUGAACUUUUAAUGUCAACCUCCACUCCACUUCAACAGAGUAAAUUAUUAAAAAAGUUUUUCACUUAUUGGUUGUUUGAUCGGUCUUAAAUUUGUUAAAAUUAUUGAUAAUUGUUCCAGGCUGAUGUUUGUCAUGCUUAUCAACUCCUAAGGAACGGUGGUUUGAAAGAGGAAAAUAUCAUUGUCUUUAUGUACGAUGAUAUCGCUUUCAAUGAAGAAAACCCUAGGCCUGGUGUUAUCAUUAACAAUCCUCAUGGCGAUGAUGUUUAUAAGGGAGUCCCGAAGGUCUGUUCUUUUUUUCUUUUUCUUUUUGUAAAAACAAAUCAUUAUUAAUUUUACAAUUACUGAUGAUAAUUUUUGCCUAAUUGUUGUUCUUUUGCAGGACUAUACUGGAGAAGAUGUUAAUGUUCACAACUUUUUUGCGGCUCUCCUCGGAAACAAGUCUGCUAUCACCGGGGGUAGCGGGAAGGUUGUCGAUAGUGGCCCUGAUGAUCAUAUCUUCAUAUACUACACUGACCAUGGGGGUCCUGGUGUGCUUGGUUAGUAAUAUCUCAUUAGCAGUUACUUUUUUAUGGCUCUCUGAUUGUGUCUUAGCUUCGUAUUUAUUACUUGCAGAUUCUAGUAUUUGAUACUUGCUUUUGAAGCUGUUAAUGUUUCUUUUGUGUUAAUCCAGGGAUGCCUACCUUCCCUUAUCUUUAUGCUGAUGACUUGAUUGAUGUUUUAAAGAAAAAGCAUGCUUCAGGGACUUAUAAAAGCAUGGUAAUUUGAUGUUUUAAAAUUUUCGAUUUCUGGAUGUGUUUUCUUAUCAUCUUUCUGCCGUUUUUAAUUUCUUAUCUACAUGUAACUUUGCAGGUAUUCUAUCUUGAAGCUUGUGAGUCAGGUAGUAUCUUUGAGGGUCUUCUUCCUCAGGGGUUGAAUAUCUAUGCAACCACAGCAUCAAAUGCGGAAGAGAGUAGCUGGGGAACCUAUUGUCCCGGAGAGUACCCAAGUCCUCCCCCAGAAUAUGAAACCUGCUUGGGAGACUUGUAUAGUGUCGCUUGGAUGGAGGACAGGUUGGUAUUCAAGCAUGAUCAUCAUAUAAGUCUUUUUCAUUUAUAUUUGGGAAUAUUGGUUCUGCGAUUAUUUUGAAAUUGAAGCUGAUUGUCUAGACCUGUUUUAACGAGAUUUUGGGAAGUUGUAUAUAAGUUAAAUUCAGUUUAUUUCCUGGCUGCACCUUGUUGAAUUUUGGAGUUAGUAGACAAAUUACAAAAUCAGAGGCAAAAUGGGUGUUAUACAUGUAAAUUUCAUUCUUUUAGUAUGAUCUAGACUAAAAUAGGAUAGGAGAUCUUUUAAAACUGAGGAAUCAGUUUUCCCUUUAAAAAAAAAAAAAGAAUUACAUACGUUGGUGUGAAUCCUAACAUUCUGUUUCUGUUGAGCAGUGACAUGCAUAAUCUGCGGACAGAGACUUUGCACCAGCAAUAUGAACUUGUAAGGCUUUUAAGAGAGUGUAUUUGCGUGAACUCUUUCAUUUAUUUUAUCAAGGGAAAGAUGAAAAUUUCAAUAUCAUUUUGUAUUAUAGUUAUUGAUUACUAUUUAGAUCUAAGAAAUAUAAAAAAUAUAACCAGAAAUGGGAGGUCUGAGUUAUUUUGCCGUCAAAUUUGAGCUCCAAUGACUCAUUUUGCUGGCUUUUGCAGGUGAAAAAGAGGACUAUCAAUGGUAAUUCUGCGUAUGGCUCUCAUGUCAUGCAAUAUGGUGAUGUAGGGCUUAGCAAGGACAGUCUCUUUGCAUACUUGGGUACAAACCCUGCAAAUGAUAACUUCACCUUUGUUGACGAGAACUCCUUGGUGCCACCUACAAAAGCCGUUAACCAGCGUGAUGCUGAUCUUGUCCAUUUUUGGUAUAAGGUUUGUGUCUUAUGUCCUUUGACUUGUAUGUUAAACACAAGAAUUGCUUCUUCCCUAACUUAGAAUCUGUAAUUCGGAGUUGAUGCAACUAAGUGAAGAAUAUGACAACUUAGAUCAGUAAUACAUGGGUAUUACCAAAGGCGAAGUCAGAAUUUUCAUGUUAGGGGGCUGAUAUAAAAUAAUAAAUUUUGGGGGCACAAAGUUAAAAAAAUUGUGUUAAAAGGGCUUAAAUUGAAUCAUUAGUAUUGAUUAAGGGCCAAAAUAUAACUUUUCCAUUUUAACAAAGGUGGGAUCAAGGCCCUGCGUGCUCCCUUUGGAUCCACCCCUGGGUAUUAUAAACCUUAUGGUGUUAAUAACUGCAAGAUGGAUGCUACUCUAUAUCGCAUAUAAGCGGCUAAUGUGUUUUUAAUGGAGCAUAACUAGGCCUGAUGCUGUGGCAGAAUUUGAAAGGAACCCAUACUGUGAAUUUUUGCAUCUCUUUCUUUAAAAUGCUUUCAUUCAGAAUGAAUGUAAAACAUGAACAGUUGUUUCGUGUAUUUGAGAGCAGCCUCUAUGCUAGUUUUAGAUCCCAUCUAACUCGGAGAUUCCCCUGACCUACUUUGCAGUAUCGCAAGGCACCCGAAGGCUCUGUUAGGAAGACUGAAGCCCAAAAGCAGUUUGUUGAAGCCAUGUCUCAUAGAAUGCAUAUAGACCACAGUGUGAAACUCAUUGGCAAACUUUUAUUUGGAAUUGAAAGAGGCUUGGAAGUCCUGAACACCGUUCGACCAGCUGGCCAACCUCUUGUCGAUGACUGGAAAUGCCUCAAGAAAAUGGUGAACAUUCUUCACCCUCACCCUCACCCUCAACCUCUUUCCUUUCUUUUGUCUUACUCCUUUCUUUUGUCUUCAAAACAGGUGAGGACUUUCGAAACACAUUGUGGAUCACUAGCCCAGUACGGGAUGAAACACAUGCGAUCCCUUGCAAACAUCUGCAAUGCCGGGAUUCAGACAGAACAGAUGGCUGAGGCAUCGGCACAAGCUUGUGUCAGCGUUCCUACUGGUCGUUGGAGCUCUCUUCAGAAAGGUUUCAGUGCAUAAAAAUACCACUGGAAUCGGCAAAUAUUAUCGGCCAAAGCUUGGAUUAUGUUUGUACUUGCUGUGUUUUCUUAUAUCCCGAAUGGUCCGAAUGCUGCUGCAUUUUGAUGAUUAUUCAUGCGAUUUCUUAUUUCUGAAGUUAUGUAGGAGCAACUCUAAUACCAGACUGCUAAAUUUAUGUAAAUAUGCUUUAGGAUGUGUUCUAUAUCAGACGACGAUGUUUGUAUAUAAAUGAUCUAUGAUGGAACUAUCAUAAAUGAAAAGAAGUGCUUGUUUUAAUUAUCUUUAAAUUGUUACAAAUAUAAUUACGUGUUAAUAAGUAAUAAAAUAUUAUUAUAAGUUAUAUUUAACUUUUGAUUUCAAUCCUUUUUUUAUUAAGGUUUUGGUUAAAUUGUAACUUGUAAGGUGAGAUUUGAAAAUUUCGAGAUGAUUAAUGCAUUAUUUGAGGUAUAGAUUUGGCAAGUGUAUUUCUAUUGGGAUUUGUUUUUGUUCAAGUUGGUUUUUUUGAAUUUGACAAUUGUUUCUAUGUUGAGAUUUUUUUUUUGUCCAAGUUAACUUUUUAUAUUUAAAAAAAAAGUUGGGCAAAAAAAACUUCAAAUCUGCAUGUGGUAAUAAUUGUUGGGUAAAAAAAAAAGUUUGAUUCUUAUGUGUGAACAAUUGCCUAGUUAAAUGAUUAACUUGGAUAAAGAAACAAUUCAAGUCUUAAUGUGGAAACUAUUGCCAAGUUCAGACCCCAAAAAAUGUAUUAACCCAUUUCAAGAUUUCAAAUCCGAGUUCCAUCCAUGUAAUUAUAUAGGUUCUUCCUCAUUUAUUUUGAUUAAUUAAUUAAUAUAAUUAAAAUUUUUAAAAAAAUAUAUAUAUGGUUAAAAAAAACUCAAUUCGUUCUAAAAGUGGUAUAAAUAUCAAAAUGAUAAUUUAACUUUAAUUUAAUAUGUAAUACGAUACGUUGUAUAACAACAUAGUUAGAACUUUUUUUUGGUAACAAUCUCAUUAAUCUAUAAUUAAUUUAUCUAUUUUAUAGAUGUUAUUGUUACACCUGUUAUACCCCUUACUCGAAAAGGGACACGUGGCAAGCCGGAAGGCCACCCAAACAACAAAUCUGCUAGUUACCAAUUGGAAGGUUACCCUCAAGUUUCACCUCCCGUCCUAACCAUCUGGACAAGUAGGAACCACCCAUUACUCCAAGCUCCCGGCCUUUCGAUCGAAAUGUGAUAUCGUUGGUCACCAAAUCUAUAUAGGCUCAAUUGCUCCAAACUGCCGAAUUAGAAUGAAUGAUAAGAUUUGUCUCAUCACAAGCAUCCUCGUCCUAUCGAAGACAUCCACCCCAUGUGUUCUGUAAUGAUGGUUAAAUGCCAAGUUCAACACAUUAACACCAUCUUACACAAGAUCCUCGCCUAUAAAUAACUCCAUGAAUGAUGAAGAAAUGAUCUACUCUCUAAAGAUAUCAAGCCUACAUUUUGCUAUCUUACCUCUAGUAUCCAGCUUUCCUACUCUCCUUUUCUUUAAUCUUUAUAACCUCCGGCUCUCCACCCUGACUAGGUGAACCAGCCUCUGUAGCAACCACCAUAUCCCCUUCCUUAUCUCCUCCUUGUUGUAUCAUUGUAUCAAUAACCCUAGAUUUAUUUAUGGAUUUGUUCACUUGUGAAAUACAUAGUAUGACUUACCUCAAUCUUGAGUAAGUGGUUUACUAAGUGUGCAUGACUCGUAUACUUUGAAGUAUUAAAAGCCUAAGUUCAAAUAACUAAAAAGUCGAAAGCUAGUACAUUGGGCAUACAACUUCUAUAUGGCAUGGCGUCAUUUAUAGUAGUGGAAUUCAUAGUCCAAUAAAAGGUAAAUGAUGUCAUCUCGUGGGCAUUACAUGGUUGAUAGAAAAGUAACAUGACAUGACUUCCUUUAUAGUAGUGAAAUUCAUAACUCGAUAAAAGGUAAAUGAUAUCCUCUCAUUAGCAUUACAUGGUUGAUGGAAAAGUAACAUGGUCAUGGGUCGCUCAUCUUGGACAAAUAAUUUAAUUAUUAUAUGUUAGCAAUUGAGUUUUUUCUAUGAAGGAAGAUGUAAUGGUUACCAUAAAUUAAAAUAUGAUAAUAUUGGGUAAACAAAUUUAACUCAAAUAGAUAAAAGAUCAUAUGAAGGUAACACACAUAAUAGGGAGAGUUUAGUCAUAAUACUUGUCACACCCCAAGUUUGGCGUUUAGUGGCAAAAUAAUCUGUUUGGCGAAAUGUAAUAUGACAUUAUGUUUCUUUUGGCGCAUAUGUGUGGGUCUAUAGUAUCUGUCGUGUAAGUAAGUGAAUAUUUUAUUUCAGAUUUAUUUUGGUAUUCAAAGGAAAACAUUGUGUUAAGCAAAAAAGGGUAAUUAUAGUAUGAGUUAACGCCAAAGGUAUAGUACGCCUUGUUUGUCUAAAGUACUGUACUAGUUAGGUUUGUAAAGUGAUCUGGUUGGAAGCCAACUGGAUUAGCUGGUUAAAUAAUAUUUGUUCAGAAUUCUCAUUUAUGUUUCUUUCAAAAUCUGUAGGCCAUGAAGAAAGACAAGUUCUGAAAUGUAUGACACUUGUUAAUUUUCACUAAGUAGGAUGGGUCAAAUAUAUAUGAGUGAGAAGGGUUCUAAAAGAGGCUCUUCUUAUUCUUUCUUCAAGAGUACUUUCUAAUUCUUUUUUAUUAAGUCAUGUUUUGAAAGAGUAAGUCUGUAUGUGGUAUAUAAACAGUAAGUUGUAAGUAUAAGGUUUUUGAAUUAGGGUUAUCAGUGAUUAAGAUGAUAGUAAUUUGUAUGUAAAUGAGUUUUAAUGGUGGUCUUAUUUUCUGUAAGUAGUUGUUACUGCUAGUUUGGGAAAGAUGGUUGAGUUUGGAACCUUGAACUACAGUAGGUGAGUAUCAUGUGAGUUUUCACCUUGACUCUUAAAUGUGAAAUGUUUAAGUAGAAAUAUAUAUGCAUAUAUAAAGGAUAAUGAUAUCUAAAAUAAUUGGUAAGCAUAUGAAUAUUGUAAAGAUGAGAUGUGUGAUAUGAUGAUUAUGUAUAGAGUUCUGUAAAACAGAAUAAUGUUUGGUAAGCAUGUAGGUAAGGUUUGAGAUACGAGAUCUAUGAAUCAGUGAAAUGUACAAAUCUAGGUAAGUAAAUAUUGAAUAAUGUCCCUUUGUGAAGCCUCUAAUAGGGCAGUUAUAUUGCUAACUAGACUAGUAGAUCAUGAUAUCAAAACAAUCGUAAGACCAUGAGGUUGAAACUCAUGGCAUCUUAAUAUGAUUUGGAAAUAUUCAUGGUGUAGCCUCCAAGACUAGAUUGGCAGAUCACGAUACAUAAAUGUGUGUAUAAGUCCAUGUGGCAGAGACCUAUAGCAAGAUAUGUUUAUAUGUAUGCUCAUCGUGUAGCUUUCGAUAAGGUGUAAAUCGAAUUGGCAGAUCAUGAUAGAUGAAAUCAUGUAUAAGUCCAUGAGGGAGAAAUCCAUGGCACCUUCUGUGAGUGUCCAUCGGGAUAGUAAACACUUGAUUCUAUAUGAUGCCUUCGUAGCUUAUUUUGUAUGAUCCAUUUGUGGCGUAUUCCAUAAGUUGCACUUACGGCGUAUUCUAUUUCACCCUUGUGGCAUACUCUGCUAAGUCUGUAUGAUGGAAUGUGAUUAUCUGCCCUUAUGAUAUGUUAUGAUAAUUCUUUGGUAAGUAACUCUAUGAUAAGGUUACGACACGUCUGAAGUUAUCUGGAAUUCUGUCAUAUCUGAGUUGUAUUAUAUCUUCUUCUGGAAUCAUAUGGAAUCUAAGUUAUUGUUAUCUUGAGUAUCUGAGGUUCUGAAAGAAAGUUGUGUGGAACUCAUCAGAAUGAUCUGUAUAGUUCAUUAUUAGUAAGAGAUUGUAUGGUAUUGAACAAGAAUAUGAUUUGAUUAGUAAACUGAUAGUAUUCAAAUCUGUGUGAGUAUCCUCCAAAAUUUUAUGUAUUCGCCAGUGAUCAGUAUUUGUGAAUAACCAUUUUGGGUUAAGAGUAAAAGAGAUGGGAUGAUCUGUAUGAAGCAGGCUUUAAAGAUAUAUUCUUUAAAAAGUACUUUUGUAUGUGUAAUAUGUGUAAGAGAGAGAAUUGGUAUGUUAAGCAUAGAAGUUGGUAUAAGUGUGAGCCUGAAAUCGUGAAAGUAUUUGCCAAAAUAGAAUUAAAAUGUUAAAGAUGGUAGCUAUGUACGGAUAUUCACUCGAUGUCAUAAAAGUAUCUGCCAAGGUAUUUCUGAGUUAACUCUUACCAAGUUCUUUUGAACUUACAAAGGUUAUGUUUGUGUUUCAGGUAGUGUAGUACAAGAUUGCGCCAAGAGGGAAGACGUUAGGAGUACACCAAGGAAACGACGAGCUGGGUUAUUAUGCAUACAGUGGACGUAACAACCCAUUUUUCAGUGGUGUCGGAAACAGUAGUUUUGGGACCACAAAUCCAACAGUAAGUUCAUAAAUAUUAUUAAUUAAUAUUUACGUGUCAAAUAUAGUAUUAUAUUAAAUUUUGAUUUGAUAAUUUUUUUGCUAAUUGAACGAAUAGUCAAAUACAAGUGGUUUGUCUCUAAAGUCAAGUGGUUUUAAAAAAUGAGGUAUCGGGACCUCGUUUCUGUAAAUCAAGCCUGUAAAUAUUUUUAGUCCAGAAAUUUUGACAUUUGGAUAGUUAAUUAAGGAAAAAAUACUAAAUCGUAAAAAUUGCAAAAGGCAAUCAUUAUGAGUUUAGGGACUAAAUUGAACAAAAGGUAAAAGUUUAGGGAAAAAUUCAAUCAUUAUGAGUUUUGGAUUUAGGGACUAAAUUGAAUAAAAGGUAACAAAAGGUCAAAUAUGUGAAUUUUUUAUUUAAAAGUAUUUGAAUUGGAUAAUUAAAUUAAAUUAUUAUAUAGAUCAAGAAAUGGAUCAAUAGAUAGACAAACGCGGAAAAGGAAAAAUUGUUGAUUAGUCCUUAGAGUCGCGUUUGCUGUAGAAUUGGUUUAGGUAAGUUCAUUAAAAUUAAAUUAAACAAAUUUAUUUGUUGUUUUGUGAUUAAAUACCUAUUUACGUAUGUUGUGAUUGAGUUCAUUUGCUUGAUAAAUGGUAAGCAAUGAAAUAGAUUAAGUUGCAUUGUUAAUUAAGUUAAAGAUUAUGUUUGAAAAUGAGAAACUACAUAAAUGAAAUAAUGUAUAUAUAAAUGAUAUAGAUAUGAAACAUGGCCUGUAUAAACCUUGUGAAUGCUUAGAAUACAAAUGACAUGUCAUUAGUAUUAUUUACCGUUUCGGGUGCUAGUCCUAGAUAUCCUACCGAUGGUUGAGGUUCUGUAUUUGUUGCAGAUUUCCACAGCUCGUGUGAGCAGCAUCGUAUACCCGAACAUCCCAACCCACAACUCGUGUGAGCAGGCUCAUUUCACAACUUUUGUGAGCAUUUAUAGAUACGGCUCAUGAGAGCAAUUACAGUUACAACUUGUAUGAGCAUCUUCCCGCGUGUCCGACGUUAUUUCAAUUGGUUUAUCGGGUGUUAAAUGUAUAAAAUGAAAUAGAAUAUACGAAACGGUUAUAUGGAAUUAGACAUUGAAUAGAGAAAUUUAUAUGAAUUAUUGAAACGAUAUGUGAUAUACAAAAUGAUUAUGUAUUAAAUGUGUAAAUGAAAUGGUAAAAUGAAAUGUUUAGAUGAAAUGGUUAUACGAAAUGGUUAUAUGAGAUGAUUGUUGGAUCAUCGGUACGCCCCGUGGCGCAACAGAAAAAUUAUUUUGACGAUCAUCAACUAUGGAUCCAUGUAUAAAUGAACAAAUCAGGUUGAAACAAAAGGUCGAAAAUAUACCUUUUCAAAACUAGAAAAGCAAUGAACAAUGUUGUUGAUAUGAUUCCUUUGAACGAUGUCGAUCCCAGGCCACAAAAAUAACAUCUCGGCCUCUACGUUAUCCACCUAGUAAAAAAAACGAACAUCAAAGUUCUCUUGAACUUUUCAAAGAGAAAAAAUCAAAAAUGGUUGCUAGACCUUUUGAUAUUGUUUUUAUUGGUAACCCUAACACACUAAGGGAUUAUAUUCCUUUUAUUUUAUUUGAUCACAUAUCAAAAAUAAAACGAGAUUAUUCCCUUAUUCUUAGAUAAACAAAUGGAAAGUCAAAAAAAAAAGAAAUUAUAUUAUUUUCUAAAGAAUAUCAAUUUCCAUGUCUUUUAUAUUUUGACCGAAAUUAAUUAUUAUAACUGUUUAUAUUAAUAAUUUCGGUAAACUAUAUACAAUUAUUUUUUUGUAUAAAUCAAAUUCAUUAUUAAUUUUAUAUAUGUUCUAUAUUUGUGUACAACAAGUUUGUACAUAUAAUGUGUUCAAGAUUUAACUAUCAAAUUAAAUUAAUGUGACAACUAAAUAUAAUACCAAAUGUAUUUGGAUUAUGUUCGCUUCAAUAGGUUCUUGUAACAUUAGUAGUAAUACUAGAACAUUUCUAAUAUUACAAGCAAUGAGUGGAAUCUAGCAAGGCAUCAUUGCUACCCAAGUUACAAGAAGUCGUGAUUAGACAUAACAUUUCUAUGAUAAUCUUUUCAUGUAUUAUAUAUUUUUAUCCUUAAUAUCUUGAUUGGACACAAGUCAUGGAAUAGUCACACUUGUAUAGUCCAAUAUCAUAUUUCUCGAUAUUUUGAGUAGACCUACUAUAAACAAAUAAGUGUGAUAUCUCAUAUCAACUUAUUUGAGCAUGGCCAUGCAUUUCUAGUCUCACUCCAUCAAGAGGCCUAAGAUAUUGCUCUCAUUAUGUAGGAGGAACAAAUCCUAUCUUGAUCAACCAUAUCCUUCUACAUAGAUUGCAGCAUACCCAAUAUUAGUCUUUAUAGUAUAACCUGUUAUGGUAAACGUUUGAUUGUGUCAAAAUAUAUAAGUCAUUAUGUUAGGACAAUGAUGAUCUCAAGUCUAAGGAUCAUAUACAUAGUUAUCACUAUGAGUAAUGUUGUGACUGUUACAUAAUAAUCCAAGAACCAUACUCAUAGCGGGUCAGUCCAGUAUGUUGUUCUCUAACACAUACUCAUGUAUCGAUUUUGAAAUCCCUAUGUCAAUGACAACAUUUUGUCAUCAACCAACUACAGAUUAGUCUCAAUGCAUUAUCAUUGUCCAAGCCCACUAUAAUACUUGACUAAGGACCUUUUAAGAAUAAUCAUAUUAUUCUAAGGACUUUAUAAUUAAUCAGUUUAUUUAUACACACAGAAAAAGAAACUGAAAUAACAAUGGCAAUGUGUUAUAUUAACAAACAAGGUAAAACGAGUAUGUGAUUACAAUCAUCUCAUGAUUGGUCUUUAGGCAUACUCUAACAAUGAUUACAUGAAAUGUUUAUAUUGAAAUAGAUGUACGAAGUAGGACAUUGGAUAUGGAUAUUUGAAAUGAAAUGUGAGUUGUUAAAUGAAUAGAUGAUGGUUGAAUUAAGUUUUAAAUGUGUUCAGUUGUAAUGUUCUAUGACAUGAUAAGAAAAUUUCAUGUUAUGUUUAUAUGAACUCACUAACCUUGUGAGACUUGUGAUAUUUAUGGGUUAAUAAUGAGCUCUUGAUCUUGUUAUGGUAUUUAGUUGAGAAAUGUUUAAGUUACAACUGUUACAGUAAGUUAAAGUUUAUAUUUAAUACGAACUUACUAAGCUUUACAUAAGCUUACCUUGUGUUGGUUUUUCUCCUUAUAGAUCGUCGAAUUUGACCUGUCGAUUGGAUUGCUUUUGGAGACCACAUUAUCUGACAACUUAAUCAGUAACUAAUUGUUCAUUUUGGUCUGGUUAUAAGUAGCAUGUAAAUAGGGUUUCGGUUAUGUAUGUUAUAAGCACUAUGGUUAUAUUUUGUGUCAUUUAAAGUAUAUAGUAUGUGUAUUGAUGUGAAUUCUAAUUGGUAUUUUAGUUGGUAGUGGUGUGUGAUGGUUAAUGCAUGAUUUGGUAUUUAAAUACAUUUUGAAUGGUUAUUUUGAUUUGUUUAUGUUAAUAGGUAUCCUAGGAUGUUUUGUGCCUUUUGAGAUGAAGUCACGUUUUUGGUGUUUUGGUGACUUGAAUUUGGUAACUUAUCACUCGAUGCCUAUCUUGACCAUUUAUUGUGGAAUGACCAUUUUGGUUUAGGCUAUAAAUGGCAUGUACUAAGAGUUUAUAAGUACAAAUGUAUAUAACCAUGUUGUAUAUGUUUAACUUUAUAAAAAGGGUUAAGGUACUACCUAAUAGGUAAUUUUGGUUUGGUAUAGUCAAGUAUACAUAAGAGGUAUGAUUCAUGCUCUUGAAAUGUUUGGUUACAUGUUUUGUGAUUUGGUAAAUGAUGUAUGUGAAUUGGAUUUUAAAUGUUUGAAUUGUGGUGCCAAUGAGGGCACAUUGGUUAGGCAUUUAGGUUGCAUGUAAUAUAGUAUAUUUUGGCAUGUUUUGAUGUAUUUUAGUUAGGUUUAAGAGAUGAAAAUUGUAUGACUUGUGGCCUAAGUGUUUUGGAUUGAAAUUGUUUGAUUUUGAAGGAAUUUUUAGGUAUACACGGCCUGUGACACGGUCUGCCACAUGGUCUUGUUUUACACAUGGCCACCCCACACAAUCGUGUGGUCUGUUUGAUUUUAGGUACAGGAUGUUUCAUACGAUCCCAAUUUGUUACAUGGCUUGGCAACAUGGCCGUGUGACCCUAUAUUUCACAACAUAGAGUUAUACAUGGUUUGAGGACAUGGGUGUGUGGCGUAGCACCACAUGGCCUUAGCCUUAUCACAUGGCCAUGUGACCCAUAUUUAUAGUUUUUUCCGCAUUUUUUUUGUUUUGUUUCAGAUUAGUCUCUACUUAUUUCCAAACUGAUUUUUAGGUUUCGUAGGCCCAAUUUCAGUUUUGUUUUCGCAUAUAUGCUAUGAAUAAUGAUUGAAUAUUGAUUAUUUAUAUUUAUAUUUAUAUUUAUUUUUGAACUGUUUUGAGAUAUUAUCGGAUUUGUUAACUGUCAUAAUCCUGUAAUCCUAAUCCGGCUAUGGAAACGGGUUAGGGGUGUUAUAGUAGAAAAGUGGCGUAUUGUAGUAAUCUAACCUAAAAGUCAGUCAUUAGAAAAUGUUUGUAUUGUAAUGAAUUGUAUUUGGUCUAAUGUAAUAUAUUAUUUCUAAAAUAUUUACCUUUGUUUCUUCGACAGUAAGUCUUUAAAUGAAAUGAUAACGUGAAAUGUUUUAAAUAAGAGUGUGUCAAUUGUUUUGAAAAUUUUGUUAAGUAUUGUGUGUGGUAACACUCGAGAUCCGGACCUAGCAAAUCGGGUUAGGUUGAGGGCAUUACAAUGCUUUUAAUGGAUUGACUCCAUAACUAAAUAAUUUAAUUAAUAGAUCAAAAGUCGAAACUUAAUUACAAAUUAUUUGAGCCCUUAUUAUAUAUGUUCCAUUGGUCUCUCUGCUAACUCAACACAACCCUUUACGGGUUGCAUUUGUACCGAUAUGAUAAAUAAAUGAAAAAAACGAAUUAGAGAAAUAUAUCGCAUGUAUCAUUAUCCGCAGUGAAUAUGUUUUCUCUCUGUGAGCAAGAGAUGGCUGGGAGAUUAAAUUAAUUUCUUUUAAUUAUUAUUUAAUUAAUUAUAAUUAAAUAAUUGAAGUUCGAAGUGAAAAAUAAAUUAGUAAGUCAUCGCAGUUUUAUUGAACAAGACAAUUAAAUGUAUUUACUCAUAAAUUCUAAUACGGUAAAGUUGUCAUGACAUAAGCCAAAUUAGAAUUAAGUUAAAUAUAAUAAUUUAAUUAAGUGCAAUGAAAUUUAUUUUAAUUAAUUAAAUAAAUAAUAUUUUGAGAAUAAAAAAUUGAUUAUCGAAUUAGAUAAAUUAUGAGUUUUUUUAAGGACUAGAUAAAACAUAUAUUGAUUAUCUCUUGUUCAACUAGAAUUCUUGUAGGUCAAAAUAUUCAUUCUUGAGCGGAGUUGCUCUCACGCAAUUUAGUGAGAUGUUUAUUUUUCGUGAAAACUCAUAUUAAGUUUUUAGUCCACAAGGGAGAACUUAAUUUUCCCCACUGAAAAUUUAAUAAAUUUUUAUUGUAUGCAGCUGGUUUGUGAAUUUAGAUCCCAUUCUCUAAGCAAAUCAAAUGUUUGAGAUUAGUGAAGAUCGUGUUGGUAAAGAACCAGAAAACGACCAAGUCAGCUUAGCCCAAAACACAAUACUAAUUUUAUAAAUGUUUAUUAUUAUAAAUAACACAGGUUCAAUUUUAAAAAAUUUUAAUUUUCGCUGUACAACAAAUUUAUUUUCUAAACCAAUUUUUUUCAACAAACAAAUAAAACUUUAAAGAAAAUGGUAUGAUUAAACACCCUAAAUCUUCUAACUAAUUUCUGGUAAGUUUAUUUUUAUCUCCAGCAUCAAUAAUUGUUUUCCUUUUUUUUUUCUAGCUUCGUUGUUUUUGGUUGUUAGUUGCCUCUAGAAAGGGGCUUCGUGCCUCCUUCCAAUUGAGGAAUGUGGGUGGUCGUGGCCCCUUAGGUUUCCCUCUGAGAUCCAAUCAUUUACCAACCCGCCUAUCGUUUUCAGUUUUUUCAAUAUAAUAACACGUCAUUGCUGGUCUUUUGGUCAUCAGAAAUGCAUUUUGCUUCCCCCUCAGUCAUGGGUGGUGUUCAAAAUUUUUCUAUUGCAGUUGUUGCUGUAGCCAAUCCUGUGCUUGUUGAAGGCGCCAUUGUUGGCGGAUUUGGUGCCUAUAGGGUCAUUUUGACCUUGACGAGUCUUGCUUGAUUUUCUUUGGGCUCCUUUUACAUUACCACAAGGGAGAGGGCUUUGGUCUAGUGCCCUAUUGCAUCAUAAUAACUUUACUUCUUCCCUGACCCCCACGUUAUCCGAUUCAAGUGAAGGUUGUUUUAGGAUUUCUGACCUCUUGAACCCUAAAUGUAGAAGAUUCUUAUUAAACCACCGAGUGAAAAACAAGGUUCUUCAACAAUGAUGUUUUGAAGGAAUCAAAGGUAAGGUAUAUUGGAUUCUCCGAAAAAUAAAAAAUAUAUAUUUACCAAUCGUUUUUGAGUGACUUGUGAGUCACGGCGGGGUGAGAGUAACACCUUUUUUUACCCCAAAAAGACAAAGGUUUCAGCCUUCACGUGACUCCAUCAAAGUUGAAAUUUCCUUUUAGACGACACAGCGCAUUCCAUUACGCCAUCUGCAAUGUCGUUUGUCCACCAAACACUCCACCUUUCUUUCUUUCGCCAAAAUACAAUAUUUAACCAGACUUUGAUUCUGUCCUCAGUUGUUGAGAAUUUUAGAUGGCUUCUUCCAUCACCUAUUUAUGAAUUUCAGGCUUAAACGUAAGGUUAGAAGUUUUGAAAAUUAAAUUAUUAUUUCUUUUUAAAUUUCAUAUUUAGUUUUAGGACCCUUUGGAUCGACAUUUACUUUCAGUGUAAUGCAUUUAGCUUUUUUUUUUCACGUUACAAUAUGUCACAUUGUUUUUACACUAACCACAGGUAAACACACUAUUCAUUCAAAGGGGCCGUUAAUCUACAUUUUUAGUCCAUGUUUAAAUGUUCGCUUUUUGCUAAGUAACUUUGAUUUUGGUUGUAAUUGAUAGAACCAUAAAAAAUUGAUAUAAAACUUAAUUUAUCAGGAAUUAUCAUAUUAGAUCAUCAAGAACAAAAUUAAAUACGGAAGCCGAGUCAUGUGAUUUUGAAAAGUUCACUCUCUUUUUUGACAAUGAGAUGUCAAUGUCAGUAACGUUAGUAUAUGUAAUUUGGGACCAUAACUUUAAUAUAUAUAUAUAUAUUAAUUUCUAAUUAACCCAUCAUUAAUUAAAAAUUAGUCACUAAAAUAUUUAUACGUAUUUGACUCCUAUUUUAUUUAAUAAUUGAAUAUUAAUAAACUAUAAUCAUAUUCGAUCACUUUUAAUAUAGGUUAAAUUUAUAUGAUUAUAAAUAAUAAUAUGUAAUUAUUCUUAUUAUAUAUAUAAUGUUGGUAUUAUCCAUAAAUAGUUAUGUUGUUAUAAUGAUGGUACUUUAAUUUUUAAUAACUUCAUAAAAUUUUGAAGUUAGCUCAAUUGAGCAAUGCUAUUAAACUUUGUCGGAUGUAGAAAUUAAUUCGAUAUUUAUAUAAAAUAAAUUAUCCAAAAUUAAUAAUUUAAGUUUAUAUGUUUAUUAACAAGUAAAUUAUAUUUAUAUAAAAAAUCAAUUUUUGAUAAAUUAAAAUGAAUGUAGAAAUUUAGUAAGUAAACCGUUGAUGGAAACUUGUAAUUGCAAGACAAUGGUGAUGUCAUGUGUUUUUGAAGCUAAAACUGUCCAACCAAUGAAAACAAAACAUCUAAUAAAGUUUGCGUAUGAACAUGACUCCCAUGUUCCCUCUUUGCUUUUACAAAUUGACCUUAUUCAAUAAAUAUCAAAAUAUUUAUUAUUAAUUUAAUUGGCAUGUGUAUUGUUGUUAAUGCAGAAGGAUGUGAGUUAAAAUACACUAAAACGUAUUAUUCUCCUAUUUAUGGAUUAAGGAAAUAUUAUGGGUAGUUCUAGGCGUUAUGUCAAAAAGAACAGAUAUGAUCAAAACUUCAAAAAAAUAUUUGCUUUAAAAAACAGGAAUGGUUAAAAUAUUAUUAGGCCAUUGUGUUUAAAUAAUUUUUUAUAUAUUUUUUGUUUUUAAUAUUUUUCAUGUUCAUUUUACAAUUCAUAUGCGGAAUUUGUAAUUGUCUCUUUUAACAAUAUCGUUUUCAACUUAAGAGUAUAAAUAUUUAAACUUUUAUUACAUCUAAACGAUUUUUUUAAAUUUAAUUUUUACCUCAAUAAACACUUGAUUUUAAUCAAUUUUACAUUUGAAUUAAGGGGUUUACUUAAGUAAAGAUAAACAAUUAAGAAUGGCUAAAAUUAAAAAGGUGAUUAAACUUUGUCAUUAUGUUGAAAUAAAUUUGUUACAUCCGUAAAUAAAUCUUAAAUUUUAGCUUUCAUUUACUAAACCUUUAACCUUCAAAUAUUUUUAAACCUUCAAUAAACAAUUAAUAUUAAUCAAAUAUUUUUAAUAAAGAAAUGGAGAUGUAGAAUAGAGGUGGCCAAUCAUCACGUAAUUUAUCUCCUCAUUAAAUAACUUCACUAUGUGGCAAUCUAUAAAUUUAAUAAACGAGUUGGUCGAAAUUCGAAUUAAAACUCAAUUGGAUAUUUAAUUUAGCGUUUAACACUUAAAUUUAAAUAUAACCAAAGGUAUGAAGGUGGUGUGAAGAAUGGGCAUAUUAAGCAACGAUAUUUGAAAUGUUGUGGCAGUAAUCAAGGACCAUCUUAACCUUUGGAUCUGUCAUUGAACUACAGAAUGAGCCCCACCAACCUUUGCUUAGUUUGGUGUCCUACCCUUAAUCAACAUCCUUUUAAUGGCUGUAUUUAAAAUAAAUAAUUAUUAUUAUUAUUUAUUUUGACCCAAUAUACGUGUGUGAGUUUGAAGUUCGGAUGACUUUGAAUGAACCAUUCGAAAUUUAAAUUUUUAAAAUUAUUUCAGUUAAACAUUUUGUAUGAUUUAAAUUUCCUCCAGUAAAAUAGGUAGAUUUGUGAGGGCGAAAGGUUGUGGCCCGCCACAAAUCCUCAUUAAGCAUAAAAUUUGACUGGGAUUGCGAUCUAUAAACCAUAUGGUACAAGCUAAAUUCAUAUAUAACUUUUUUUUUUUUAUCAUUUUACUUUGUGAUAAUUCUAUGAUCAUUAUCAACAUUUAUUAUAACAUAUUUUUAAAUGAAAUUAUUACAGAUUUAGAUUCAAAUCAUCAUGUUUAAAUAAAAAAUGUGUUGAAUUUAAUUUGAUAGAAUAUUUUUAAAAUUCUGAAUCAUCAUCUUGAUUUUAGAUUGUCUGAUACUAAUUUUUUAUACCAUAACUAAUCUCAUGCCAGGGUUGUUAUUAGCAUUACAGCCACAAACAUCAUUAAUCAAACCUGCAUAGACCAGGUUCCUUAUUAAGUGCAAGUUUAGCCAUAUGAACUGCUGCUGGAUCAAAUUAUUUUCAAUUUUAGACCAGUUUUUUUAAAAUAAUUUCGAUUUACUAGUUGAAAUCAUUUUUAUAGUCAGGAUUUUAUUAAAUUUGCAGGUGGAAUAUUUGGUUAUUUACUGAGUCUCAACUCUAAAGUAUGGUUGACAUGUAAAUUUGAAUUUACAAUCUGAUAAAAUUUCAGAGCAUAUCAAGACCAAACAGUAGAACCAGAAACAUCCAGAAUAAUAUUAACGAUGGGGAAUAUGCGGCAACGAUUGUUUGGCUGCAGAGAAAACGAAAGAAAAUACUAAACGAAAACACAAAUGCAAGAAAUUAAGAAACAAUAUUGAAACCAUAUAUAAAUAAUAAAAUGUCUCGCUAUAACAUCAAUCCAUAAUAAUACAGAAAAUAAUCCAAAUCCAAAACAUCAGCCAUCAAUAAUCUGUGCAACAAAUAAAAUAACUACCUCUCUGUCUCCCUCUCUCUCAUAAAUUAUAUAUAUAAUAUAAUCACUCCCUAGAUCCACUACCACAGCUACUAAAAUUGCAAAGCAAAUUCAAAAUCAAAUCAAAAAGAAAAAAAAUUUCAUAUAUAAAAGAAAAACAGAGCAUCAUCUGAACACCAGAGAUAGCAUCAUUCAGAUCCGAAGUCUAGAUCCGAAAAGCAGAGCCAUAGCGGCAGCGGCGACGGAAACAGAGACAAAUGGCGGCGAGAUAGAGCCGGCACCAGAGGUGGGGCUCGGAGCCGGAGCGUCGGCGGCAAUGGCGGAACCCAUGAGAGCGCAUACAGCGACGAGAACAACCAUUAGAGUAGACAUUGAGGGAGCCAUUGUGGUUAAAGGAAUCUUAAGCGUUAAACAAAGAAAGGUUUUUCUUUUUAGUUAGUAAAGCAGCAAAGAAAUAUGCGAGGGUUUUUGUGAUAGUGGCGAAGGUAGGGUCUAAUAUAUAGAGAGAGAGAAAGGGACGGGUAGGGCAGCUGCCCGAAUUCCAGCCUGGAGAAUUACAUAAUGGGUCCCCCGUUUUGAAGGUUUCCCUUAAUUUCCUUUUUUGAUAUUUUUCCUUAAUUAUACUGAUUUACAUAAUAGCCCCGGUUUCUUUUUUUUUUUUUUUUUCUGAUAAUGACAAGGUGCGAAUAUUUUUGUCCAUAUCAGGGAUCGAGCUGGUUUUAAGUUGGGAUAUUUGAUUUAAAAGUUUCAAGUUUUUUUUUUUUUGAAUUAUUUUGGUUUUAAGUAUUUUCAAUUCUUUUAACCACACUUAUAAAUACUUUUAUUUCAUCCAUCUUGAUUUUUCACUCAACUCCUUAACACAUUUAAUUUCUUUUUUACCUUGAAAUCAUUAUCUGAAACGUUUAAAUAUAAUCUUCUUUUAUAUUUUAAUUUUGAUAUAUUAAAUUUUUAUAUUUUUAUAUUUAAAAAUCUUGCUCCCUCCACCAAUUUUGCCUUAGAAUUGAUGAUGAGGUUGUUAUAAAAAAGGGUAAAAGAACUACUGUUGCCCUCAACAUCUAUAUUUUUUAUCAAUUUAGGAUUUACUCUUUAAAAAUACAUAAACAAUUUUAAAAAAACUCUUUAAAGUUAAAAAAAUUAAAAAUCAUUUUUAAAAUAUGAAAAUAUAAAAAUUUUCAAAAAUCCAAAAGAUGUGUUUUUUAUCCCGUGAAUACUAGUUUUUUUUAUUAUUUUAAAUCUAAUUAUAUAUAAAAAAUAUUUUUUAUGUAAAUUUAAUUAUAAAAUAUUAGUAUAAAAAAACUUCUUUUAUGUAUAAAAAAUUACGUGAGGGAUAACUCCCUCAGUGGACCUUGGUGAACUCAUGUUCAGCUUUCUUUUCCACCAAAAUUUCCAUUUUUGGGAACUUAUGUUCUCCAAAACCGCGCUUUUGUCAUCAAAAUUAAAUGUACCUAUAACAUCCAGGAAUCCAUUAUCAAGCAGAAAAAACCCAUUCAUGAUCAAUCUCCAUUUCAGGGUGAAUCAUUUUUUUGGAAAUAGAAUCUGAUCCAAAUGAAGAGUUAAUAUAGGAAAUGAGGUGAAGGGUGGGGGUGAAAUUCUUGGAUCAUAAAACAUGACUUUACAUGAAGUUUUACGUGGUGUUAAAGAUAAUAAAACGGUUAAAGAAGUAGUUAGUGAAUGUUGGAAGGUUAGCUAGUUUGUUAAAGAAAGCAAGUUUUCUGUGAGUAUAAAAACGAUGGUCUGGCUUUGUAUUGAAGUAAGUAAAUAGUCUAAGUUCAUUUUUGUAACAAAGUUCAUUUUGAAGCUAAUGAUUGUUUGAAGAGAAAUUCUCAAAGUUACCUAGUUUUCUUCAUGGUAUCAGUCGCUAGGUGUUCUUGAUCAUGGCAACAACAAACUCGGAUGCGUCUAACUCUGCUGAAGUAUAUGGAUCUGUGUUUACUGCUGAACGUGUGGUGAAUUCGCUUCCUCGACAUGACGUUGUGAAACUUGAUGAAGAAACGUUUCUUCAAUGGAAGCAACAGGUGAGAUUCAUUGUUAAUGGCUAUGAUCUAUUUGGUUUUCUUGAUGGCUCUAUUGCUGUGCCGUCGAGGUUUGUGCAAGCACCGGAUGGUGCACUUGUGGUAAAUCCCGUGGUUUCCGUGUAUCAGCAACAGGACGAUCUUCUCACGUCCUGGCUUCUUUCCACCAUAAGUUCCUCCAUUCUCUCAUCCUUUAUGGAUGUUCAGUCGGCGAAGGACGUGUGGACCAUGGCGUUGGAAAUGUUUGCGGCCGAUUCCGAUCAACGGCAGUCGCGAUUGCGUCAUGAGCUUCACUCUCUCAAUAAAGGAAGCAUGUCGAUCCGUGAUUAUGUUGCGAAGUUAAAACGUGUGUGUGCUCUGUUGGAAUCCUCUAGAUCUUCCAUUUCAAUGGCAGAAAGGACGGCGGUGCUUCUUGUGGGGCUUCCGUCUGAGUUUGAAGGCGUCGUCUCGUCGGCUUCGUUGUCUCCGACUCCGUUGUCGUUUCCACGACUGGUUAAGGCGUUACUAGAGUGUGAAACUCGGCAUGCUUAGACCAGUCAAUAGGUGGUGUAUGCUGCAAAUCUGGUGGAGGAUGUGUCUACAGAUGGUUCGUCGCGAGGAGGGCGAUCGGGGGCGCGUGGUCAUGGAAAGAUGUUUCGGCCGCGACUUCUGUGCCAGAUCUGCUCUCGGUUUGGACACGUGGCUCAAAAAUGCUAUUAUAGGUACCAUCGUGAUGAGUCGUCUCCGGUGCCACCUCCGCAGCAAAACCAGAUGCUGAAUCUUUACUCUGGCGAUGGUGGCUGGCCGUCUUACCCAAACACUAGACCUAAGGUUUCUAAUUUUGGUCAACAGCAUUAUGGGACUAAUCAAGUUAAUUGUGCUACAGGUCAAAAUUGUUUUGGGCCUGGUCAAAAUUCAUAUGAUUUUGGUCAAAAUUGGUGUGUUGAAAGGGGCUUCAAUGCGCAGCGUGGAGGCCAGCAGGUUGGGCCAAAUGGGUGGCCUAAGCCGAGUGAUGAACGGCGAGAUUUUAGGCCUCCAACUCCUGGGCCGCAAGCUGGUGGGCCAAAUGAUGGUGUACAUGGAGGGUUUGGCAUUCUGUCUUAUGUUGGGCCGAAUAUUGGGCAGAAUGUUGUGCCAAAUGUUCCUCCUUCGAUGCCCACAAAUCCGUUUGUGAAUAAUGUUCAGCUCAAUCCAGCUAAUCCGAUCGGUACCACGACAGUUCCAUGGCGAACCAAGCCGCGUGCGCGAGUAUUUUCCGCCUCAAACCCUUGUUUUAGACUUUCUAGGUUGGGAGAUAUACAUGCGUCGGACUAUUCUGAUCCGUCGAUCUCUAGUUCUCAUGCUAACUCCGAUCGACAUAGAGUGAGUGGGGAUGUGUCUGACUCGCCGAUUCCUGGACCAGUUGGGACGUCGUCUUAGUAUCCUGAUUCAGGAGCCAGCAAUCAUGUUUGUCGGGACCCGUCUGAUUUGCAUUAUGCCAAUCCUUAUUCAGGUACGUCUUCUAUUUUAAUGGGUGAUGGUACACCCGCAAUGAUAUCGUCCGUUGGUCAAAGUGUUUUGCCGACACAGACUAGGUUGCUUCAGCUAUCUAAUGUUUUAUGUGUCCCAGCUAUUCAGAAAAAUUUGUUAUCAGUGUCACAAUUUGCAACUGAUAAUGGGGUGUUUUUUGAGUUUCACUCUACUUAUUGUGUGAUUAAGGACAAAGUGACACGGGAGGUUUUACUGACGGGGCAUAUUUAUAAUGGGCUAUACCGGUUCUCAUUACCAGAUGGUGUUCCUAGUAUGUCUGCUGCUCAGGUAGAAUGUUCGACUUCGACUGCAGACAGUGAGUUGUUUUCGUUAUGGCAUAAGCGUCUUGGACAUCCGUCAUCUAUUGUUGUUAAAAAUGUUUUACAUAAGUGUCAUGUUCCUUUGAAUAAAGUCUCUAUUAGUGAUGUUUGUACUGCUUGUAAAAAGGGUAAACUUCAUAAGUUGCCAUUUUCAGCCUCUAAUACUGAGUAUACUGAUCCCUUUUCGUUGGUUGUAUCUGAUGUAUGGGGACCUGCUUCGGUUGCUUCUAAUAACAAUUGGUACUAUGUGUCGUUCAUUGACAUGAGUUCUCGAUUUACUUGGGUAUAUCUAAUUCGGCAGAAGUCACAAGUUAUGACCUGUUUUAUUCAGUUUCAGAAACUUGUUUACAAUCAGUUUGGCAAGACCAUCAAGCAGUUCCAGAGUGACUGGGGUGGUGAGUAUCGCGCAUUGGCAUCGGUUUUAGCGUCCCAAGGCAUUGUUCAUUGUGUGUCGUGCCCGCGCACUUCUGAACAGAAUGGUGUUGCCGAGCGUAAACAUCGACACAUUGUGGACAUGGGGCUUACACUUUUAGCUCAAGCGGGGCUUUCGAUGGAGUUCUGGGCAUAUGCAUUUACGUGUGCAGUUCAUCUAAUAAAUCGUCUUCCCACACCGGUGCUGGAUGGUAAAACACCGUAUCGUGUGCUCUAUGGGCAAGACCCUACUUAUGAUCAUUUGCGUAUUUUUGGGUGUUGUUGCUAUACGUUUUUGCGCCCGUUUCAGCGUCAUAAAUUAGAGUUUCAGUCUCAACCGUGUACGUUCUUGGGCUAUAGCCCUUGUCACAAAGGAUAUCACUGUCUGUUGUCGGAUGGUCGCAUUAUUGUCUCGCGACAUGUAGAGUUUGAUGAUCUCGGUUCCUCUCUCCAACGAGUGUAUCUCGUUCACGGGAGGUGAGUACUAUACCUACCUACUUUCCUAUUCUUGAGACUAGUCCGUUAUUGGGAAGGAAUUAUGUUUCUGGAAAUGUUUGUCCACCUAGUGUAUCUAGGUCUCUGAGUCCUCAGAAUAGAGUGGAUGUUAGUCCAACAAAUACUAAUUGUCGUGAUACUCCCUCGUUGAAUGAGAUGUUGACUGAAGGUGAUAAUGAUCAUCAUGAUUUCUUGAAUUCUGAAACUCAAUCUUCCACACCUGUUGUUCGAGUUCCGUCUGACCCUACAGGACCAGAUGUGUCAGUGCCUAAUGUGAAUGUUCAUCCUAUGACCACUCGUUCGAAGGCUGGUAUUUUUAAACCUAAGGCUCUUGCGGUUGAGGUUGUCGAACCAUCAACGAUUGAAGAAGCUGUCACUAGCCCUAAGUGGCAAGCUGCUGCUCAAGCUGAGUAUGAUGCUUUAAUUCGGAAUGGUACCUGGGUACUUGUUCCUAUGCCAUCGGGUCGCAAAGUUAUUGGUUGCAAAUGGUUGUUUAAAGUAAAGAAAAACCCAGAUGGCACGGUUGAACGAUACAAGGCACGUCUAGUGGCAAAAGGAUGUUCUCAAGUUCCGAGGUGUGAUUUUCAGGAAACAUUUAGUCCAGUUGUAAAACCUGCUACUAUAAGGGUUAUCUUGUCCAUUGCGGUUACUAAAGGAUGGUUACUUCGACAAGUUGAUGUUAACAAUGUCUUCUUAAAUGGUGAUGUUGAUAGUGAGGUGUAUAUGCAGCAACCCCCGGGAUAUGUUAAACUUGGUUCUGAUUGGCGACCUUUGGUUUGUCGUCUAAAGAAGGCGUUAUAUGGUUUGCGUCAGGCUCCACGAGCUUGGUUUGAGAAGUUGAGGAAUUUUCUUCUGACAGUUGGGUUUGUUGGCUCUAAGUCGGAUGCUUCUCUGUUUGUUCAAGUUCGAUCGGAUUCCACUCUAUAUGUUCUUGUUUAUGUUGAUGACAUUAUCAUUACUGGCAAUUUGGCGUCGUCUAUUGACUGGUUUGUACAGAUGUUGAAUGAUGAAUUUUCGUUAAAGGACAUGGAUGAUUUACACUAUUUUUUAGGAAUUGAGGUCACCAGAUCGUUGUGUGGAAGUCUUCAUCUUUGUCAAAGGAAGUAUAUCCGGGAUAUGUUGAAGCGUAGUGGUUUGGCGAGUGCUAAAGGUGUUCAUACGCCCAUGAUUAGCUCGUCGCACAUUUCUAAGAAUGAUGGUGAUCUUUUGUCUGAUCCAACUGAGUACAGAAGUCUGGCAGGUGCGUUACAAUAUGUGGUUAUUACUAGGCCUGAUAUUGCGUAUGCGGUUAAUCGGGUAUGUCAGUUUAUGCAUCAUCCUACCACAGUUCAUUUGGCAGCUCUUAAAAGAAUAUUACGAUAUCUGUCUGCUACUAUUGAUUUUGGAAUUGUUUUUCGACGGUCUGAUUCUCUCUGUUUAGUUGGGUUUUCUGAUGCAAACUGGGGGUUGGAUUUCGAUGAUCGGCGGUCUACUUCGGGGUACUGUGUUUUCUUUGGGUCUAACCCUGUUUCAUGGUCAUCGAAGAAGCAACAGGUGGUAUCGCGUUCUACGGCUGAGGCUGAAUACAGAAGUCUUGCUGCUGUUACAAGUGAUGUUAUGUGGUUACUUUCGUUGUUACAAGAGUUGCAUAUUAGGUCUGCUUCUCCACCAAAUAUAUGGUGUGAUAGUUCUAGUGCUGUUGCUGUUGCUGUUAACCCUGUGUUACACUCCAAGUUCAAGCAUGUGGAGUUAGAUUUAUUUUUUGUUCGGGAGAAGGUUGCCGAUGGUUCAGUUUUUGUAGGGGAAGUUCCUGCGUCCGAUCAAGUUGCUGAUGUAUUAACCAAACCAUUGUCGCUUUCUUAUUUUGCUCGAUUUAGAAAUUUUCUUUGGGUUUUGUCAAUUGAGACGAUGGAUGCAUGUUAAAGAUAAAAAAACAGUUAAAGAAGUAGUUAAUGAAGGUUGGAAGGUUAGCUAGUUUGUUAAAGAAAGCAAGUUUUCUGUGAGUAUAAAAACGAUGGUCUGGCUUUGUAUUGAAGUAAGUGAAUAGUCUAAGUUUAUUUUUGUAACAAAGUUCAUUUUGAAGCUAAUGAUUGUUUGAAGAGAAAUUCUCAAAGUUACCUAGUUUUCUUCACGUGGAAUUUUCAGUGAUGAGAGCAAAGACCGCCAAAACAAAUGGUGUCCUCUAGCUCUUUAGAGUGAGAGAUUAAACCUUUCAACAAAAAAGAGAUAUGAUUGCUUCCAAUUUUAGGAUAUUUCUCUUUAAUUCCCUAAAGGGUUUUUAUUUUUAUUUUUGUCAACGAUUGAAAAUUUUGAAUACAAUACCAACAGUUUGAUUAAAUAUGAAGUAUGUACAUGCAUUUACAACUUGUUGGCACAAUUGCUUAUAAUAUGUAUGCUGGAAAAAAUUCUGGACGAUAUGUCGAAUGUAAAAAACAUCAUACGCAUGUGGGUUGGCCCAACCAUUCUUCAAUGACUGACGCUACAUACAUCUACAACCAUUGAAGGAUAAGUUUCCGCGCCUCAUGCUUCACCAGAGCAGAUGCAAGCGGAAUGGUUUUCCUUGCCCCACCUUGGGAAACAACAACGAUAAGUUCUCAUUGUACCAACCAUACAAGAAAGUGCAAUCUACUUUGACAAGGUUUGCAUUGUUUAAACCCUUCAUCAAGUGGCCUGAAUAUCCAAAAAGACGAUGCAAGAAUCGUGCCCCCUGGACUAUAUUAUUAGCAUCAUAAGUGGGAAUUAUUUCUAUAUCGAAUUUCAUAACUCCCCAAUUAUGUAGGUGGUUGUAAGAUUCCUCCCAGUCCCCGUAAAAUCAUUCUAUGGCCUUUUGUUUGUACUUCCAUGCUUUUUUGUUGACUGUAUAAUGGAAUUGGUUUAAGAUCUCAACAAGCAAUACUGAAACGAUUAUCAAAGGAUCUACUUUGACUAGUGAAAUAAUGGUAUUGCAUAUAACAUUGGCAUCCAACAUUGGAUGAUGCUGCAAUAUCGUGUGUACAAGCCCAAAUUUGCCUGGGGCCCAAAAAACCCAAUACACCCAAACCUCAGUCCAAUUAUAAACUUAGCCCAGCAAAACCCAAUACCCAAAAUAAAGCCCAAAACCCAUUUACAAAAAUAGGCCCAAACAUGGCCCAAACCCAAUGAAAACUAGGGUUUCAGAACCCUAGUCUCUGCCACCAGCCUAGCGCCGCACCCCCACUUGCUAUUACUACCGUCGUUCAUCACGUUCCAUCCGCACCUACUCCCUGCCCUCUGUCACCUACCCACCGCCACUUGCCACCAUCAAGUACCUGCAAAGCAACCAAAGCAGUGACAGAAAGAAUAGAAAGAAAUAAAAGAAUAGUUUUUGUAUUUUUUGGAGGGGAGAAUCGGCUAUAAAAGCCAAACUUUUCUAAAAUUUCGGGGUUAUUCUUCUCCAUUUUGUACGAACACUUUCAAAAAAUAAUAAUAAUAAAAGCAAGAAAAACAUUCAAGGUGAUUUUUUUCUUUUCGGUUUUAUAGAUCUAUUUUUCUUUUUCUCUUUCUUUUGAUUUUUUUCUUUUACGCAUAUAUAUAAACAAAAGUAGUAAAUAAAAGGGGGAGAUGCACCGUGACCGCACUGUCGGAGUGGUUCUCCGUCGCCUAGCCCGAACCGAGAGAGGGCACAGGGAUCUUUCCCUUUGGCCUUCGGUCUAUGAAGGCUCGGCCUUCAUUCAGCUUUCGAAACGGGGUUCAAAAACCAUUUUUGUCGCUCUGACCACCGCCCGCGGUGGAGCCAUGGUGCUGGUGGCCGGCAGCGUCACCGGAUGGGGAAGGAGUGGAGAGAACUGAGAGAGAGUUCUCCGUUUUUCUGGAAAAUGAAGUGGGGAAUUUAUUUAUUUUUUCUUUUUUUGCCAUUUAUACAGGCCGUAAUACGGCGCCGUUUUGGUAUUUAGGCUCAGAGACCAAACCGAUCCAUCCGACCUCAGGAUCCGCGUGUUUCUGCAGUGAAGGGGAUUUUUGCGCGCGAGGUCCUUCCUCUUUUGCGCCUUAGUGCAAUCUGGUCCCAUUUUGAUUUUUUUAAUUUGGCCGCCUUUUUUUCGCGUGUUUCAUUUUAGUCCGCGCUUAAACGCUGCGCAUUGGGGUUGAGAAUAUUGCCCAAUCGGUCCCUCGUGCCUUCAACACGUUCUAUUUCAAUCCCGGAUCACUCCUUUUUAAUUUAUUUGCGAUUUAGACCCCAAAGUUUUGUUUUCAGUUUAAAUUAGUCCCUUUUUGUUAUAUUUUUGCUAUUAAACUAAUUAAUUUCAUAAUGUUAUCAUUAUUUUUACUAUUAUUGUUUUUAAUAUUGUUAUUACUAUUAUCAUGCUUAUUAUUAUUUAUACCUUUGUAAUUUUAGAUUUAAUUAUAUACAUACAUAUCUUGGAUCUAUAUACAUAUACAUACUUCCAUACUUUGUAUACUUUAUAAUUUAUAUAUACGCUAUACAUACACUUUUAUAAUAUGUAUACAUGUACGUGUACAUAUUUUUAUAACUUAUCUAUAUUUAUGUGUAUAUAUACAUACUUAUAUUUUUAUAUUUUAUAAUUUAUAUACAUAUCUAUAUAAUAUACAUAUUUUGUUUUCAUAAAUAUAUAUAUAUAUGCACACUUAUAUAUAUUCUUUAGAUUUUAAAAUAUAACCUCUUUUACACAUAUCUUUUAUAUUUUAUAAUUCACAUAUACAUAUAUAUUUUCCUAUAUUUUACAACUUACAUAUACAUCUAUAUAUAUAUAUAUCUACAUAUAUAUAUAUAUAUUAUACUUUAUAAUUUUAAUAUACAUACAUAUAUACAUAUAUAUAUUUUUUUAUAAUUUUAUUCAUUUUCUUUAUCGUUAAUUGCUUCACUUGGUGUCUAUUUAUUUAUUUAUUUACAUGUCCAUUAUUUUUUUUAAAUGCUUUAGUUUUUAUUUGUUUAUUACUUGUUAUUGUGUAUACAUUGAUUUUUUAUAUAUAUAUUUUUCUUCUUAUUUAUUUAUCUUUUUGUUUUUGCUCAUAUUAUUUUUACUUACAUUAUCAUAAUUGUUAUUCCAUUACAUCAAUUUUUACCCAGAUUUGUAAAAAAGAAAAUUUUGAAAAUAAAGGCAAUACUCAGUAUUUGGGAUCUUCGAGAGGAUUGAGCCCUAACGCAUUAGGUUUCAAUUUUCUUCGUUGAAUCUAAAUAAUCGAGAAUGCUCUUUAAUCAAAAACAUAAAUAAAAAUCAAAAACAUAAAUAAAAAGCUCAUUAUCGGGAAUUCAAUACGUUGUGUCCUAACGCAUUGGAUAUGACACAUUUCUUUGAGAUGAGGAUUUUUUCUAAAAAAUAAUAAAGGCAAUAUUCAAUGUUUAGAAUUUUGAGAAAUUAUGCCUUAACGUAUUGGGCUGCGAUUUCUUCAUCUGACUUAAACAAUUGAAUAUCCUUUUAAAUUUUAUUGCAUGAGUUUUUUGGACAAACUCAUUUUUAAGGAGGUGAAAUGUCAUGCCCUAACUCAUUGGGUGUGACAUUUUCUCUCUUCGAAAUGAGAGGGUCUUAACGGGUAAUUUGAUUUAUACAAGUUUUUUAAUAAAGGAUCGUAUUUUAAAUCUCUUUAAAGUUUUUAAUUUUCGAUAAUAAGACAUUAAGUAAUCAACUAGGUACCAAUUUUGGGCGUAUCAAGGGUGCCAAUCUUUCCUCGUGCGUAACCGACUCCCGAACCGGUUUUUCUGAAUUUCAUGGACUAAAAUUGUUAUUUUAAUAAAAUUAAUUUGUUUAUUAAAAACAACCGUUUUACAAGGUGACCUGAUCACACCUCAUCAAAAGGAUUGGUGGUGACUCCCGUUUUCGUUUUCGUUUUCAAAAUCCUAGUCGACCCUCUUUUCAUCCAAAAAUGAUGUCAACAUCGUGCUUGCAACGCAUGUAUGUAAGCCAUUAUACUUAUGGAUAAUCAACAUAUGUUUGCUCUUGAUAAAGGCUACCUGAAUCAACCAUAUGCAGUCAUUCUAAAAUUUUAUGCAUUUACAUGCAUGAACAUAUCGUUUAAACUCCUUUACCUUGUAGUCCACUGAGUUCAUUAUGUUAUACUCCUUAAUUUUGUUAUGCACAACUACCCUUUGUUUGGGAACAUCUGCCCAAGUACGAGUUCACCGUUGUUAUCAACCGGUGGGUAAUUCAAUUCCAACAGUUCAUGGGCAUAUUUACGCAAUUCAUGUCUACGGUUGUAUACACCCAACUUAUGAUAGUUGAUUCGGGGCUCGUACUCUCUAUUAUUGCGACUGCGUUGGGCCAGAACAAUUGGUUGAUCUUCAUGCUCUUGAUUAGAUAGUCUUACACCUUUUUCAUCUACUUCUUCUUGUGCUUGGACUUCUACUUUGACUUCGGCUUCAAUGUAGUCACUAAUGUCAACUCCAACUAUUAGUUCUGGUUGUGGUCAAAUGAGUUCGCAUGGGUUCUUUCUCCUAGAAAAUCAUUACAUCGUCUCAUAACAUAAGUUUCAGGCAUUUAUGGAUGAUGUUCGUGUUGGAAAAAUAUGUUUAGAAAACAAUAUUUUUAAGCUUAGAUUUAUUUCUCAAAAUCCAACCUUAUGAUAUUUAUAAUAAUAAAUUCUUUAAUUGAAAUUAUACUUAUGCUUUGUACGAAGUGGUCUACGUUGAUCUCGACUUUCUACAGAAUGACCUUCUCCGCUAUACUUGAACCUCAAAUCACUUUAAGUGUGAACUCAAACAAAACGAACCAACCACACGGAAUGAAAGCUUUUAUUAACUUUUAAUAGGAAAGUUAAUUCUCUUUAAAAUUGGAAACUAUUGUUUCUCCCAAAAAUAAAAUUUAUUUUGUAAAAUAAAUUGUCACUAAUUUUUUACAGAAUAAUGGUGCUCUCAAAGUUGUAUAAAUAGCUUAACUCAUAAUUCAUAUUUAUAAAGAAACUAUAUAAGAGUUUUGUUUGAAUAAGAUCUAAUUAAAUAAUAAUGUUUUAAUAGAAAAUACAAAUUCUACUCUAACUAGAAGCCAUGAGGGGUGGGCAGCAUCCCUAGGGAACACUAAGUUUUGUCGCCCCUCUCCUUAACCAGGCAUAAUUUGGGUCUUUCAUGUAUUGUGUAUCCAGACUUCUUAUCCAACAUUUAUAAUUUAUCUAACCUAACAACUAUUUUCUAUUUCCCAAAAUGUUAUUUAUUUAAUCAAUUAAUUUAAUUUCUCAAUUAAAUUAUUUUUUUAAUUCAAUUCUAAAUCUGUUAAAGUCAUGGCAACAUUACCGUAUUAGAAUCUUUGAGGAAAUAUAUUUAAUUGUCUCAUUCAACAAAUUCAAUGAUGACUAAUUAAAUUAUUUUCUAGUUCAAACUUCAAUUAUUUAAUUACAAUCAAUUAAAUAAUAAUUCGAAGAAAUCAAAUUAAUUUUUAAGUCAUCUUUUAUGCUUAGCGAGAAACGCUUUCACUGCGGAUAGUGAUACAUGCGAUCUUUCUCUUACUUCAUCGUUUUCAUUCAUUCUAUAUUAUUGUAUCUAUAUACAGUUUGUUCUAGGUUCUCAAGCUAGUGGAGUGACCAAUUGGCCAUAUAUAAUUAGGGCUCAAAUAAUUUGUAAUUAAGUUUCGACUCUUCGCCUACUAAUUACAACAUGACUUAAUCAUGGAGUCCUUCCACUAAAGUACUAUAAUUGACAACAUGCGCGCGCGCGCAGAAAACAAACAAUUUUAUAAAAUAAUUUAGAAGUGCGGUUUUAGCUGCAAGUGGAUAAUGUCAGUUGUAAUAUUUAUAGUGUCAAUGGAACACCCGAGUAUUCCAAGGAUUGAACGCAAGGAAUUGCCAAAUUGGUAAAUGUAUUUAUCAAGUUAAUUACAAAUUAAACAAUUACUAAUCUAAUCAAGUUAGAAAUUACUAGUCUAAAUUCAAAUAUAAAUCUAAAAUUAAACUAUCAAUUAAACAAACUAAUAUAAUUUUCUUCCAUAUUGCUUUGUACAAUGAAAAUAAUAAAACAAUGGUUGAUUGAUUCAUUACUCGCUAACUAGGCUAAUAAACCUAUACCGAUUAUGUUGUUUGUCACUUUUAGUUAGGAAUCUUCUCUCGGCCUCAUCUUAGACUAAAAGAUAUCACCUAACCUCUCCUAUCAAUCUCACCUAAGCAUGUAGAUUUCCUCUCAGUCUCACUAUUCGGCACAAUUACAUCGAACUAUCAAAGGAUAAACUAUCCUCUCGAUCUCGUUUAUCUAGAUUUUUCACUAGAUUUGUUAAUUCUAGUGUAUUAAGCAUUUCGGUAUAAUCGAACAAUCAAUUAAUCAAGCAUAAACAUUAACUUAAACUAGCAAAUAACCAAUCAACCAACUAUCAACAACUUUAGCACAUAAGCAAACUUAAAUUCUAAACAAGCAUUAUAUCAAACACAUGGUAGGCAUAAAAUAAAAGUAAAGAGUUUGAGAAAUGCUCAUUUAAUUGAUGGAAAUCUGAUGAAGCCCAAGAGUUUGAUCAUCUCUCUUUUACAUAGUCUUCAACAAUAAAGAAGAAAUGAAACAACAAAAAUAAAAUCUAUCCUAAGAAGAAAAGAAAAAACCUAAUCUAAAAAAUGAAAAGAAAAGAAAAGAAAAACCUAACCUAAAACUAUGAAAACUAAAGAGAGAAAAAUUGUUUAGCCCCUAAAAUCUCAAAAUACAAAGCUUAUAAAGUAGUAUUUAUUGUCUACUAAUAUUUAACCUAACAUUAACCAUUAUGCCCUUAAAUAAAAACAAAUAUUUAAGCUUGUUUGGACACAAAACUGCCCCUACAAUGUUUCACUCGUUAGGCAGCGAUAUCGCAUCUUGAACUUGGUAGGCUUGGGAGUCUCGGUACACAAUAUCGCUGUAGUUGGCCUCAAUUUUCCUCACUUUAGCACUGUCAGGGGUACCACGACUUCCAUGCUUCAAUAUCGCGAUACCCCAUUCUAAGUGAUGUUUUCUUCAAGUUUGGGCCAUUAUUGACUCCCUACACCACUCAAGCACAUUGUUAGGUUCCCCAUGACGCAUUUGGUCAAUUUGGAUCUUAAAUAUAUGCCCUAGGUUAGUAGUUGAGAAAUCAUGUAAUCUAUUAUCAUAUAAGAUUGUUACUACACGGGUUUAUGGUUUUCGUUGUUUUGAAAUUAUACACAGUUGGGAAUAUUACGUUUUUAAAAUGUUUCAUUUAUUUAUAGCAUCAAUUCACUUUCACUAAGGGUUAGGGGAAAAAAUGAUUUCCAGUUGCUGAGCAUUUUUACAAAAGUUCCGCUCUCAUUUGAAUUAUAAUACCUAGUAGUUUUGCUAGAUGGGUCACAUGAUACAUGUAGUAGUGGUUCCAUAAGGAUGUUACUACAUCCAUACAACAUAAAAAAGUUGUACGUUCUCUGCAUUUGAUGAGACUAUUUUCUACUUGGAAUCAACUAUCCAAUAAACAAACAUUACAAGUUAGUAAAUUUUUGUCAUCGUAAAAAAGUGGGUCAUUCAAAAAUUGUGUUACUUGUCAUUCCAACAUUAGUCGUGUUGAAUUAUAUGAUGUAAGCAAAGAUCUCAUUUAUUUUAUCCAUUUUCGGAAUGCAUAGUUAUAUCUAUUGCACAUAAUUACAAUGCUUUUAAAUGUUGUAAAUUGUUAUUAUCCUAAAAUAUACAAUAUCACUUGACGUCAAGAUUUUUAAUAUGUUUCAUAUAAAUUAAUGAUGGAGUUAAAUAGAUUUGAUGUUCAUAAUACAAUAGAUGGACAAGGGUUAUCCAUCCUAAUACAAAUUCUUAAUUAUGAUAACAAUAUCCUUCUCUCAUCGCAUCUUCUUCCAUUGCCUAGCAAUUCCCAAGACCUUCAUAAUUAUCCAAUAGUAGCACAUACCUAGUGUACAAGCCCAAAUUGCCCGGCCUACUCAAAACAGGCCAAUUAACAGCCCCAAACCCAAACAGUAACCCAAACUAAAAAAAUCAACAACACAGCAGCUUGCUUCCCUUCCUCAGCGCCGCAACAAUCGCCUCAACAUCGCAGCACGUUGCCCUCGCAUAGCCCACGUUCUCCUCCAGUUCUUCAGCAAACAAAUAGCAUACAACGUAAAUAUAGCAGAAAAUACAAUAAAAUGUAAAAUGGGGGAGUUAGUUUUUUAUUUUCGAUUAUAUAAAGCCAAAUAAAAUCUGCAAUAAGGGGGGUUACGUUUUUUGUAUCAGAAAAUUAUUGAGAAAAUAUAUAAAAACAGGAAAUUGGAGCAAAAAUAAGAAAUCUUUUGAAAUGUGAUUUUCUUUGUGUUUUAUUUUCCUUUUUUUUCAUUGAUUCUCUGUUUUGUGCGCAAAAAGCAAGGAAGAAAGGAAGAGGUUCUUACCAGUGGUGGUGCGCCGUCGGUGCCCUUGCUGCGCUUCAGUCGAAGUUGAAAAGGGGGAGAGUGCCGACGUGAGGAGUAAAAGAGAGAAUAGAGCAGUUUUAUUUCUCUCUUUUCCCUUCUUUUUGCGGCUGUUGUGGCUGAUAUUGGAUUAGAAUAGGAUUAGGGUUAGAAGUAGGCCUUGCUUAAUGGGCUAUUUACAUCUUUAAUCCUUUUCAUUUUUCAUUUACUUCAAAACCAUGUUUUUUUUUGUUUUUAAAUUUUUCAACGAAAUAUUGAAAUUGUUUUAUUUUAAUCCUUAUUGAAACGCUGCGUUUUGGAGGGCGGGGUUAUCUUCCCUUUUGGUCCUCCACUGUUAAGGGCGUGCUUUAUUUGGCCCAUUUGCAUUUUUAUUAUUUCAGAUUUCCCCUGAAUUUUCUUUAAUGUUUCAAUUUAAUCCUAAUUGGUGUUUUUACAAUUAAUUAAUUUAUUCUUUUUCGUUGCUAUUAUUACUUAUUAUUAUUAUUAAUUAUUAUUAUAUUACUUACUAUUAUUAUUAUACUUACAUAUAUAUAUGCAUAAUAUCAUAUAAUAUAUGUCGAAACCGUUUUUUUGAAAACAAAAAUUUUAGUUGUCGACUUAAAAAAACAAAAACUGGAGUCGCCACCGAUCCUUUAUUAAGGUGUGAUCGGCUCACCUUAAAAAUUAUUUUGGUCCACGAAUUUUUAGAAAACGAGUUCGGGAGUCAGUUACGCACGAAAAAGGAUUAGCACCCUCGUAACGCCCAAAACCGGUACCAAAUUGAUUAUUUAAUGUCUCAGUGUCGAAAAUUCGAAAAGAUUUUAAAAGGAAACUUUUUAUUUCAUGAAUGAAUCAAAAUAAUAAGACAUUCUUAUUUCAAAGAAAUAAAACACCACACCCAGUGAGUUAGGGCACAAUGUUUUUAAAUCUUGAAAAUACCCGAAUAUUGCCUUUUGCUUUUGAAAAUUCUUAUUUCGAGAAGAAAAUGUCAUGACCAGUAAGUUAGGACCCAACAUUUUUGAAUUCCCGAGAAUAAGCUUUUAUUUAAAAUUUGUGAAUUUAUUGCAAAACAAAUACUUGGCUUUCUAAAUUCAUCGAAAAAUAACCGUAAUCCAGUAAGUUAGGACGAUCUUUCUCGAGAAUCAUGAAUGCCAAAUAUUUUGGAAAUUUAUAAAAUAUGAUGAUUUUAAUGCUUCGACGAAACCAAAAUAUAUUUUCUUUAAAAAGUAUCGUAAAAUGCUAAUGUACCACAUGAAACCAAUACUUUAAUUUAAAUUAUACCUAUAUAUGUAUCGCAAAGUGUUAAUAUAUAUAUACAUGCAUACAAAAAUUAUGAAAAGAAAAUAAUAAUAAAAUAUGUACAUGUACUUAUAAAAUAUAAAUAAAAAUAAGUAUAAAAUAUUUAAAAAAAAUAUGAAAAUAAAAUAAUAAUGUAUAUAUAUAUAUGUAAAAUGCGCAUGUAUUUAUAGAAAGUAUAUGUAUAUAUAUUACAUAUAAAAAAAUGCGUGUAAGUGUAUAAAAAUAAUAAUGAUGAUAAAAACAAUGAAUAAUAUAAUAAUAAGGAUACAAUGCUAAUAUUAACAAGAUUAAAAAACUAAAAUGACAAAUGAAGGAUUAAAACGAAAAUAAAAGGAGUUUAAGGGCCGAAUUUAAAAUUAGAAAACACGCAAAGAGACCAAAUCAAAAAACGCACAAUAAGAGGAUGACCCAAAUGGAAAUUAACCCAUUCUCAAAACGUUGCGCAGCAGCACGGGCUAAAUUGAAAUAAAAAUAAAAUAUGUUGCCCAAUUUGAAAAGAAGCAAAACAGGUUUAACUGAAGCACGUUGCAAAAAGGAGGGAUCAAUUGCGCAAAUUUCCCUUUAAAAGUAAAACACACAGAUCCCGAGAAAACGGGUCGAGUCGCGCGGGUCGCACUUAAAACGGCACUGUUUUUGGGCCACUGAAACAGGCCCUAAACGACGUCGUUUUAUGCCUGUAUAAAACCAACAUCUUUUCCUAAAACAUUCAUUUUUUGCCAUUUUCUUCAAAACAAAAACUGAUGAACCCUAGCUUUCUCUGCUAGGGUUCCAACUUUUAGCCGCCGCCGCCGCUCCAAAUUUUGAUCUCGGCUUGGCCUCUGAUUGCGACGGAGACGGCGACGAUCCGGUAACUCCGUCGAAAAAAGGUAAGUUUUCUCCUCUUUUCUUUAUAUCUUAAGCAAAAAUAAAAUUAAAAAAGGAAAAAAAAACAAAUCACUAAGAAUGAUGAACCGAAAAAAAUUAAAAAAAAGACCUUUUUUAUUCCAAAAAUUUCCGAAUCUGUUCUUUCAAUCUUUUCUUUCGAUCCCCCCCUUUACAAUGAAAAUAUUGGCCUUUUAUAGCCGAAAAUGGAAAAGAAAAACAAAUCCAAAUAAAUCUAUUCGGUUGUUUUUUGCCCAAUUUUUGCUUUUCUCUUUCGCUUGUUGCAGGUACGUGCUUGAGGAGCGGCAUUUGCGGAGGUAUGGCGUGCGUAGAGGGCAGUAGUUGCGGCGCAAGCUGCUCUAGGGUUUCUGAUUUGGCUGAAAAUUGGUUAAGCUUUGGGCUUGUUGGGCUGUCAUUAUUUUGGGCCUGUAAUUAGGGUUAAUUUUUUUGGGCCUAAGCGUUAUAAUGUAAAAUGGGUGUUAGAUUGGGCCUAGGCACAUUUGGGUUUAUACAGUUGCCCCUCUUUGCUCGUUGUCGUGUAACGGGAAUAGAGCAAAGACUAAAAACCCAAUUGUGCCCGGUCUUACUGAGCCUCAACUUCUUCGGUGCUUUUCUUUUUCAAGUACCCUCAUUCCUUUCUACUGCAUCUUCAGAGGUAUAGGAACUAGUGUUUCAAUCUACUCCACUGCAAUGUCAGGGAGAUAGAAUUCGUAUGCUGUAGCUUUUCAAUUUGCUAUCUUUAAUCUGCUCCACUGCAACUUCAAGGAGAUAAGACUUAUAGCUUCAACUUGUUCCACUAUGACUUAAAGAUAAAUCGGAUGCGAUCUGCUUUACUGCAACUUUAGAGAAAUAAGAUCUGUGGUUUUAAUCCACUACAUUGCAACUUCAAUAAGAUAGGAAUACUAGUUUCAAUGUACUCCACUGUAACCUCAGGGAGGUAAAAUCUGGCAUCUUCGAUCUACUCCACUACUGCCUAGGGAGAUAAGAUCUGUAAUCUUUAAUCUAUUCCACUCUUGCCCAGGGAGAUAGAAUUACUGGCUUCAAUGUACUUCACUGUAACCUCAGGGAGGUAAAAUCCGCCAUCUUUGAUCUACUCCACUGCUGUCUAGGGAGAUAAGAUCUGUAAUCUUUAAUCUAUUCCACUGCUGCCCAGGGAGAUAGAAUUACUGGCUUCAAUGUACUCCACUGUAACCUCAAGGAGGUAAAAUCUGCCAUCUUUGAUCUACUCCACUACUGUCUAGGGAGAUAAGAUCUGUAAUCUUCAAUCUAUUCCACUGCUGCCCAGGGAGAUAGAAUUAUUGGCUUCAAUGUACUCCACUGUAACCUCAGGGAGGUAAAAUCUGCCAUCUUUGAUCUACUCCACUACUGUCUAGGGAGAUAAGAUCUGUAAUCCUCAUUCUAUUCCACUGCAACUUCAAGGAUAUAAGACUUAUAGCUUCAACUUGUUCCGCUAUGACUUAAAGAUAAAUCGGAUGCGAUCUGCUUUACUGCAACUUUAGAGAAAUAAGAUCUGUGGUUUUAAUCCACUCCAUUGCAACUUCAAUAAGAUAGGAAUACUGGCUUCAAUGUACUCCACUGUAACCUCAGGGAGGUAAAAUCUGGCAUCUUUGAUCUACUCCACUACUGCCUAGGGAGAUAAGAUCUGUAAUCUUCAAUCUAUUCCACUGUUGCCCAGGCAGAUAGAAUUACUGGCUUCAAUGUACUCCACUGUAACCUCAGGGAGGUAAAAUCCGCCAUCUUUGAUCUGCUCCACUACUGUCUAGGGAGAUAAGAUCUGUAAUCUUUAAUCUAUUCCACUGCUGCUCAGGGAGAUAGAAUUACUGGCUUCAAAGUACUCCACUGUAACUUCAGGGAGGUAAAAUCCGCCAUCUUUGAUCUACUCCACUACUGUCUAGGGAGAUAAGAUCUGUAAUCUUCAAUCUAUUCCACUGCUGCCCAGGGAGAUAGAAUUACUGGCUUCAAUGUACUCUACUGUAACCUCAGGGAGGUAAAAUCUGCCAUCUUUGAUCUACUCCACUACUGUCUAGGAAGAUAAGAUCUGUAAUCUUCAAUCUAUUCCACUGCUGCCUAGGGAGAUAGAAUUACUGGCUUCAAUGUACUCCACUGUAACCUUAGGGAGGUAAAAUCCGCCAUCUUCGAUCUGCUCCACUACUGCUUAGGGAGAUAAGAUCUGUAAUCUUUGAUCUACUUUAAGCCAAUACAUGAAGACAAGAUCUGCUUUCUUCGAUCUACUUCACCACCAGUAUGGGAAGACAAGAUCUGCUAUCUUCGAUCUACUUCACGCCAAUACAUGAAGACAAGGUCUGUUUUUUUCGAUCUACUCCACCACUAGUAUGGGGAGACAAGAUCUGUCGUCUUUGAUCUAUUACACGCCAAAUGAAGACAAGAUCUAUUUUUUUGAUCUGUUUCGCCACCAGUACGGGAAACCAAGAUCUGUUAUCUUUGAUCUACUCCACGCCAGUACACGAAGACAAGAUCUGCUUUCUUCGAUCUGCUUCACCACCAGUAUGGGAAGGCAAGAUCUGUUAUCUUUGCUCUACUUCAUGCCAGUACAUGAAGACAAGAUCUGUUUUCUUCGAUCUACUUUGCCACCAGUAUAGGAAGACAAGACCUGGUAUCUUUGAUCUACUUCACGCCAGUACAUGAAGACAAGAUCUAUUUUCUUCGAUCUGCUUCGCCGCUAGUAUGAGAAGGUAAGAUCUGUUAUCUUUGAUCUAUUUCACGCCAGUACAUGAAGACAAGAUCUGUUUUCUUCGAUUUACUUUGCCACCAGUAUGGGAAGACAAGAUCUGGUAUCUUUGAUCCACUUCACGCCAGUACAUGAAGACAAGAUCUAUUUUCUUCGAUCUGCUUCGCCGCCAGUAUGGGAAGGUAAGAUCUGUUAUCUUUGAUCUACUUCACGCCAGUACAUGAAGACAAGAUCUGUUUUCUUCGAUCUACUUCGCCACCAGUAUGGGAAGACAAGAUCUGGUAUUUUUGAUAUACUUCACGCCAGUACAUGAAGACAAGAUCUGUUCUCUUCGAUCUACUCCACCACCAGUAUGGAGAGACAAGAUCUGCUAUCUUCGAUCUACUUCACACCAAUACAUGAAGACAAGAUUUGCUUUCUUCGAUCUACUUCACGCCAAUACAUGAAGACAAUGUCUGUUGUUUUCGAUCUACUCUACCACCAGUAUGGGGAGACAAGAUCUGUCGUCUUUGAUCUAUUACACGCCAAAUGAAGACAAGAUCUAUUUUUUUGAUCUGUUUCGCCACCAGUACGGGAAACCAAGAUCUGUUAUCUUUGAUCUACUCCACGCCAGUACACGAAGACAAGAUCUGCUUUCUUCGAUCUGCUUCACCACCAGUAUGGAAAGGCAAGAUCUGUUAUCUUUAAUCUACUUCACGCCAGUACAUGAAGACAAGAUCUGUUUUCUUCGAUCUGCUUUGCCACUAGUAUGGGAAGACAAGAUCUGGUAUCUUUGAUCUACUUCACGCCAGUCCAUGAAGACAAGAUCUAUUUUUUUCGAUCUGCUUCGCCGCCAGUAUGGGAAGGUAAGAUCUGUUAUCUUUGAUCUACUUCACGCCAGUACAUGAAGACAAGAUCUGUUUUCUUCGAUCUACUUUGCCACCAGUAUGGGAAGACAAGAUCUGGUAUCUUUGAUCUACUUCACGCCAGUACAUGAAGACAAGAUCUGUUUUCUUCGAUCUGCUUCGCCGCCAGUAUAGGAAGGUAAGAUAUGUUAUCUUUAAUCUACUUAACGCCAGUACAUGAAGACAAGAUCUGUUUUCUUCGAUCUACUUCGCCACCAGUAUGGGAAGACAAGAUCUGGUAUCUUUGAUCUACUUCACGCCAGUACAUGAAGACAAGAUCUGUUCUCUUCGAUCUACUCCACCACCAGUAUGGGAAGACAAGAUCUACUGCUACUCCACUAUUGCUCAGGGAGAUAAGGCUUAUGAUUUCACCGAUCUGCUCCCUGUGGAACAUGACCUGUAUGAUUCAUUUUAUGAACCUAAUUAUGCCGAAUAGGAUGUCAUGAACAGAAUGAAUCAAAUGCUCCUAACUAGGCAUGUAUGAAUGACAUUUGAAUGAAUGCAGAAUGUCAUUUUUUGAGAAUGAUCCCUUCUAAUCUCUUAGGUUUUCAUUACUCAAAGUUUAUUAAAGUUUUAUUUCCAAUGUUCUAUGCCUCCGUUUUGCUCAGCUAGCGAACCCAAUAAGCACUUGACCAGAUUGCCCCCACUGUAAACCUCCAAGUUUGAUCCACUGGGAUGCAAAAUUUAUACCAUCUUUUCCGUUGUAACCCAAGAGUAAAAGAUUUGGCCAUUUCUCAAUCCUCUGUUAUCACAAUUCAAGGAUACAGGAUGUGAAACUUUUUGGUCUCUUACACCAUUCCCAGGGUGUUGUACCAAAUGCUCAUGCACAAAUGAAGAAAUCUUCUCCAAGAACAACUUCUUCUUAUUAUUCGAUGAUCAUUGCUUGCUUGUUCAUUACACGACAUCUUGCCAUUUUGUUCAAUUAAUACUUUAGACAAGAAAAUUCAAAGGGAUAGUCUUAAUUUAGACUCUUCUUUACCAGAUUUCCAACCUGGUGCGUUCUAAACAAUAGUCCUGUUUGAGGUUCGUAUAUUAUUCAGAAACUUCUAGAGUAAUAUGCAAAACUUCCCUUGUGAAAGUUUUAUUCGUCUAUUAAUCAUUAUUCUAAUGCAACAUGCUUGCAAAAAAGAUCAUGGAUAAGAAUUGAGUCGAUUCUGAGCAUAGCUCGAAAUGAAUAAGUUGUCAAAGAUAAUAAAGAUGGAUAACAAAGAAAUUGAUUUAGGAAUGCCUAUCUUGGUAAUGAAUGAAGUGUUCCAAGAAUAACAAAAAUGGUAUACAGAUUAGGUGCCCCAGAUAUCGCAGCUUGAACUUUGCUGUACAGACUUUCUGAAGACCAUUCUGAGUUUAACAUGUGUUUAGGAGUACUUUGUCGAUGCCCCAAGAUGUCGCCUACCCUUUCCUGUUGAUUCAGGUAUAGCAAGACCACUGCAUGCCCCCAUUCUAAUCAGUAUUUGAGCUACUCUGAAAAUUUCAAGCGCCAUUUUGAUCAACAUUUGAGCCACCAUUUUUGGGUUUUCAACUCAAAUCCCCUUUGGUCUAAGGUGCCCUUUGCGGGUUUUCACCCUAGCCUCUCCAUUUUACUUUUUCCAUUUUCAUUUCUCAUUUUCACUUUUUCAUUUUUUCAUUUCAUCAUUUUUAUGACUCAAAGUGCCCUUUGCGGGUUUUCUACCUCGGUCAUCUCCUUCUUUAAGCGGAGUAUUUCCUGACUGAAUCUGAGUUUACAAGACUUAUCAUCCAUCUCGCUCAAAAUCAAAGCUCCUUUGGAAAAAACCUUCUCUAUAACAUAAGGUUCUUCCCAAUUUGCAUCCGCUUCCCUCCAAAACAUUUUUUUUUGUAGAGGGAAGAUCUUCAACAUUUGGUCACCCUCGUGGAAUUCUCUGGGAUGAACCUUUUGUUAUAGGCUCGCAUAAUUCAUUUCUAGUACAUCUGACCGUGAUGAAUAGCUUUUAGCCUUUUUCAUUCUAUCAAGUUUAAUUGAUCACAUCGCAAUUGGAUAUGUUCUGCUUUACCCAACUUUCUCAGCCAAUACCCGGAGAGAAAGAAUUCUAACUUCAAUAGAAAAAAGAAACUGAUAAACUAAAAAGAAAGGCAUUACUCUGGUAGAGUUUUCACUGCGCCAUUCAUGAUAUUAAUCUUGAACAUACUGCAGAUUUCUGAUAUCGUGCUGUUGUUCAGAUUGCAAUAGCGGUGCCUGGUAUAACCAUGUGAAGACAUCUUUGAAUGCUUGAAGUAACUCAACAACGUCUUGCUUCGUCUUUGUGGUCAUGUCAAUUCUAAUCUUUACCAAGCUCACAAUUUCUAAUGAUUUCUUAUGAGGUAAGAUCUGUCUAUUCUCUUAUUCUAUCACCCUCCUCAAGUCUGGAGAUAAGCUACAAUUCAUGUCAUCUUCAAAGUUGUGAGAUCCCUCUAAACACAUGUCUCACUCAAAAAGGAGAUUCUGAGUCUGUAGCAGCGUCACUCAUGUCAUUGAUAUCCAGGGACCUAUUGUAGGUGUUUAAAGAAUACACAAAAGAUAUAUGAAUUUAUAGAUAAUAUGAUUAUGAAUGAAUGAAAGAAUAGUUUGGCAGAAAAAAACCCAAAAGAAUGAAAGAAAAAAUCGUAAAGAAUGAAAGAACAUUUGCUCAAAGAUGAUUGCAAUAAUGUAUUUCAUUAAAAUAAUAAUGUUUAGACGUGAGCCUAUCUCACAAAGAAAUUCUUAUUGCUUCUAGGCUGAAAGCAACAAGUGUGUUCUGAACAUUACUCUAACAGACUCUAAACACUUCAGGAGUUUCCUCUGCAGUCCCAUUAUUUAAAACACCUCCCAGGCGAAUAUCUAACAAGGACCUUUUUAUUUGUGUCUGCAUAUAUGGCAUCGAUAUGAAAACCUCACCACUUCUUCAUACAUUGUAUUCCCUCCAUCAUCCAUCAUGAUUGGCUAGCGGAUUUCCUGUACUUGAUAGGUCACCAAACUUGACAAUACCCAUGUUGAUAAGUCUUUCAACUUGCUUCUUGAAGGUAGUACAAUUCUCAAUCAAGUGUCCCGUAAUUCCCGCAUGGUAUUCACAUUGUGAGUUCACAUCAUACCAUUCGGGAUACGAAGGUUGUAGAGGCUUCACAUGAAAAGGGGAAACAACAUGUGCUUCAAACAAAUUUUGAUACAGUUCCUUAUACGGUACUGGGAUUGGUGUAAACUGGAACUUUUCAGUCUUUAUACUGGAAUCUUGCCCCGAUGAAUUCUGUUGAUUACCAACCACCUUUCUUGGCUGACUCACAGUAACUGAUUUAGAGUAACCUGUGUUGUUCACCUCAUUUUCUCUUCUCCUUGGGACUGACCUCUUGUUACUCUCCUCUGCAUCAAUUUUCUCGCUCCUUAUGGCGCUUUCAAUCAUCUCGCCAUUUAUGACUAUGUCAGGAAAGCUUUUUGUGGCACUUCCUAACAUAUGUGUGAUGAACGGGGCUUUUAAUGUAUUUAUUAAAAGCAUCGUCAUUUCUUUCUCUAAGAGUGGUGGUUGAACUUGGACUGCGACUUCCCUCCAUCUUUGUGCGUACUGCCUAAAGCUUUCGCUCGGCUUCUUCUCCAUGUUUUGAAGGGUGAUUCUAUCAGGAGCCAUGUCUGCUACAUGACUAUACUGUUUCAUGAACGCUUGUGCCAAGUCCCUCCAUGAACCAAUCAUGGCACGACUCAACUGAUUGUACCAUUUGGAUACUACCCCUGCAAGACUAUCUUGGAAAUAAUGUAUCAAGAGCUGGUCAUUGUUAACAUAUCCUGCCAUUCGUCUGUAGAACAUGGUGAUAUGAGCUUCUGGGCAGCUUGUCCCAUUGUACUUUUCGAACUCAGGCAUAUUGAACUUAUGAGGGAGCACUAAAUCUGGCACUAAACUCAGCUCUUUUGCGUCAAUGCCUCGAUAACUUUCAGUGACCUCCAUUUCCUUGAACUUCUCCUCGAGCCACCUACACAUUUCCUUUAACUGUUUCGGUAAUUCUUCCUUUAUUCUUUCCUUCUCAGCCACUUCAUCAAAGUCAGGAAUGACAGAGUUCACAGGGUUAUUUUCAGGAUUAGAACCCGAUCCAGCUUGGAAUUUUGAAACACCAGCCCGAAACUGCUGAGACAUGAUAGUGACAGUAGAUUUGCGCGGGUAUUCCACUUGUGUUCGCACAUGUGGAGGGGUGAAACCUGGAGGAUAGAGAGGUUCAUCCUCAUUACCCUCUUCAACAUCAGUCAUGAGACCCUUUCCUUUAUCAUUUCCCUUAGUUAUCAGUUGGGUUAACUUCACCUCUAUAUCAUCUUUGGAUUUUGACAUCUUCUCAGACAUCUCUUGUUUCAUCUUGUCUAACCGCUCCUGCACCUGUAGCUGAAGUCGGUCUUGCAUCUCCUUCUGACACUGUUCGAGUUUUUCCAAUCUCUGAUCCAUGUCCUUAAUCUUUGCUCGAGUGCUGUAACGGUGUUUGGUUGAUUGGUUGGUUUUCAGGUUAACUGAGCAAUGAUUUUAGUUAAUUAGGAUCCUUUAACUGUGUUUAAUGCAUAUGAUGUAAUGAAAUGAAAAUGCAUGAAAUGAAUGCCAAAAGAGACGUUGAUUCAUGUUCAAUUUUUACUAGAAAACUUUACUAGAAAAUAAAUCUCUUUACAUAAAGCGGACAUAUAUAUACGGCUUCACCCUCGUACUCAAAACGAAGACAUCGACCAUUCGAAUAUUAAGAUACAUCUCACGAAUUUGAUCUCCUUUUUGUUUGAUCUAGGUCGUAAAUCCUUACUCAUUCACGUUCAUCAGCUUCUUUAUGAGAUUGGGACCUUUGAUGACUUUUGAAUAAACUUUGACAAUUUAGAUCCUCAGGUCAUGCAGCAAAGUCGUAUACUCCUCUUGUUAGGCUUUUCGUGCCAUGUUUUCUUCGGACCACUGUAUUAUCUUCCACCUUAUCAAGAAACCCGUAUUCCAUAACAAGCUUUCUAAUCUAGUAAUCGAACUCAAAUCAACAUCUCUUUUCUAAGAUGCAAAUAUAAUGCAAUCAUGAUGUCAUGUAAUCAAAACAAAAUAAACCCAAGUCAGUAUCACACCAAAAAUAUAUAAUCCAACACAAACAUGAAAUAGCAAGAACAUUUAUUCAGGAAUCCACUAGGGUUUGGUAUAGCUCUACCUAGGGCAAGUUCCUAAAGCUCACUAUAUGAGGUUUAGUUUCUAGAGUAAGGGUACCCGAACCAGCAGAUUUCUCGAUCCUCACCCAUUAUAGGCUCAUGUGGAUCGAGUUCAGUUCAGGGGGACACAUUUCCCUAUGGCUGCACGGAGAUGAAAAUCUCACGAAGACAUAAGUACAGAUGUAUCCCGGAAGCGGUCCACUACACUGCACGGAGGUGAAAACCUCACGAAGGACUAGUUUAUCGCUCCCACUUAAAGGGUAAAAUUGACCAUGUAAUGCAAAAUGUAAAUGCAAAUACAAAGUUGCUAACACCAUGAUGAAAAAAAACAAUGAGUAUGAAAGGAACUCAUGAAUUUUUUAAAACUUUUGAUUUUCGACACAAAGACAAAUAUAAUCAGUUUAUGGCUCGACUCUAAAAUUCCCCAGCGGAGUCGCCAAGCUAUCGAAACCGUUUUUUUGAAAAUAAAAAUUUUAGUUGUCGACUUAAAAAAACAAAAACUGGAGUCGCCACCGAUCCUUUAUUAAGGUGUGAUCGGCUCACCUUAAAAAUUAUUUUGGUCCACGAAUUUUUAGAAAACGAGUUUGGGAGUCAGUUACGCACGAGAAAGGAUUAGCACCCUCUUAACGCCCAAAACCGGUACCAAAUUGAUUAUUUAAUGUCUUAGUGUCGAAAAUUCAAAAAGAUUUUAAAAGGAAACUUUUUAUUUCAUGAAUGAAUCAAAAUAAUAAGACAUUCUUAUUUCAAAGAAAUAAAACACCACACCCAGUGAGUUAGGGCACAAUGUUUUUAAAUCUUCAAAAUACCCGAAUAUUGCCUUUUGCUUUUGAAAAUUCUUAUUUCGAGAAGAAAAUGUCAUGACCAGUAAGUUAGGACCCAACAUUUUUGAAUUCCCGAGAAUAAGCUUUUAUUUAAAAUUUGCGAAUUUAUUGCAAAACAAAUACUUGGCUUUCUAAAUUCAUCAAAAAAUAACCGCAAUCCAGUAAGUUAGGACACGAUCUUUCUCGAGAAUCAUGAAUGCCAAAUAUUUUGGAAAUUUAUAAAAUAUGAUGAUUUUAAUGCUUCGACNNNNNNNNNNNNNNNNNNNNNNNNNNNNNNNNNNNNNNNNNNNNNNNNNNNNNNNNNNNNNNNNNNNNNNNNNNNNNNNNNNNNNNNNNNNNNNNNNNNNNNNNNNNNNNNNNNNNNNNNNNNNNNNNNNNNNNNNNNNNNNNNNNNNNNNNNNNNNNNNNNNNNNNNNNNNNNNNNNNNNNNNNNNNNNNNNNNNNNNNNNNNNNNNNNNNNNNNNNNNNNNNNNNNNNNNNNNNNNNNNNNNNNNNNNNNNNNNNNNNNNNNNNNNNNNNNNNNNNNNNNNNNNNNNNNNNNNNNNNNNNNNNNNNNNNNNNNNNNNNNNNNNNNNNNNNNNNNNNNNNNNNNNNNNNNNNNNNNNNNNNNNNNNNNNNNNNNNNNNNNNNNNNNNNNNNNNNNNNNNNNNNNNNNNNNNNNNNNNNNNNNNNNNNNNNNNNNNNNNNNNNNNNNNNNNNNNNNNNNNNNNNNNNNNNNNNNNNNNNNNNNNNNNNNNNNNNNNNNNNNNNNNNNNNNNNNNNNNNNNNNNNNNNNNNNNNNNNNNNNNNNNNNNNNNNNNNNNNNNNNNNNNNNNNNNNNNNNNNNNNNNNNNNNNNNNNNNNNNNNNNNNNNNNNNNNNNNNNNNNNNNNNNNNNNNNNNNNNNNNNNNNNNNNNNNNNNNNNNNNNNNNNNNNNNNNNNNNNNNNNNNNNNNNNNNNNNNNNNNNNNNNNNNNNNNNNNNNNNNNNNNNNNNNNNNNNNNNNNNNNNNNNNNNNNNNNNNNNNNNNNNNNNNNNNNNNNNNNNNNNNNNNNNNNNNNNNNNNNNNNNNNNNNNNNNNNNNNNNNNNNNNNNNNNNNNNNNNNNNNNNNNNNNNNNNNNNNNNNNNNNNNNNNNNNNNNNNNNNNNNNNNNNNNNNNNNNNNNNNNNNNNNNNNNNNNNNNNNNNNNNNNNNNNNNNNNNNNNNNNNNNNNNNNNNNNNNNNNNNNNNNNNNNNNNNNNNNNNNNNNNNNNNNNNNNNNNNNNNNNNNNNNNNNNNNNNNNNNNNNNNNNNNNNNNNNNNNNNNNNNNNNNNNNNNNNNNNNNNNNNNNNNNNNNNNNNNNNNNNNNNNNNNNNNNNNNNNNNNNNNNNNNNNNNNNNNNNNNNNNNNNNNNNNNNNNNNNNNNNNNNNNNNNNNNNNNNNNNNNNNNNNNNNNNNNNNNNNNNNNNNNNNNNNNNNNNNNNNNNNNNNNNNNNNNNNNNNNNNNNNNNNNNNNNNNNNNNNNNNNNNNNNNNNNNNNNNNNNNNNNNNNNNNNNNNNNNNNNNNNNNNNNNNNNNNNNNNNNNNNNNNNNNNNNNNNNNNNNNNNNNNNNNNNNNNNNNNNNNNNNNNNNNNNNNNNNNNNNNNNNNNNNNNNNNNNNNNNNNNNNNNNNNNNNNNNNNNNNNNNNNNNNNNNNNNNNNNNNNNNNNNNNNNNNNNNNNNNNNNNNNNNNNNNNNNNNNNNNNNNNNNNNNNNNNNNNNNNNNNNNNNNNNNNNNNNNNNNNNNNNNNNNNNNNNNNNNNNNNNNNNNNNNNNNNNNNNNNNNNNNNNNNNNNNNNNNNNNNNNNNNNNNNNNNNNNNNNNNNNNNNNNNNNNNNNNNNNNNNNNNNNNNNNNNNNNNNNNNNNNNNNNNNNNNNNNNNNNNNNNNNNNNNNNNNNNNNNNNNNNNNNNNNNNNNNNNNNNNNNNNNNNNNNNNNNNNNNNNNNNNNNNNNNNNNNNNNNNNNNNNNNNNNNNNNNNNNNNNNNNNNNNNNNNNNNNNNNNNNNNNNNNNNNNNNNNNNNNNNNNNNNNNNNNNNNNNNNNNNNNNNNNNNNNNNNNNNNNNNNNNNNNNNNNNNNNNNNNNNNNNNNNNNNNNNNNNNNNNNNNNNNNNNNNNNNNNNNNNNNNNNNNNNNNNNNNNNNNNNNNNNNNNNNNNNNNNNNNNNNNNNNNNNNNNNNNNNNNNNNNNNNNNNNNNNNNNNNNNNNNNNNNNNNNNNNNNNNNNNNNNNNNNNNNNNNNNNNNNNNNNNNNNNNNNNNNNNNNNNNNNNNNNNNNNNNNNNNNNNNNNNNNNNNNNNNNNNNNNNNNNNNNNNNNNNNNNNNNNNNNNNNNNNNNNNNNNNNNNNNNNNNNNNNNNNNNNNNNNNNNNNNNNNNNNNNNNNNNNNNNNNNNNNNNNNNNNNNNNNNNNNNNNNNNNNNNNNNNNNNNNNNNNNNNNNNNNNNNNNNNNNNNNNNNNNNNNNNNNNNNNNNNNNNNNNNNNNNNNNNNNNNNNNNNNNNNNNNNNNNNNNNNNNNNNNNNNNNNNNNNNNNNNNNNNNNNNNNNNNNNNNNNNNNNNNNNNNNNNNNNNNNNNNNNNNNNNNNNNNNNNNNNNNNNNNNNNNNNNNNNNNNNNNNNNNNNNNNNNNNNNAAAAGUAAAACACACAGAUCCCGAGAAAACGGGUCGAGUCGCGCGGGUCGCACUUAAAACGGCACUGUUUUUGGGCCACUGAAACAGGCCCUAAACGACGUCGUUUUAUGCCUGUAUAAAACCAACAUCUUUUCCUAAAACAUUCAUUUUUUGCCAUUUUCUUCAAAACAAAAACUGAUGAACCCUAGCUUUCUCUGCUAGGGUUCCAACUUUUAGCCGCCGCCGCCGCUCCAAAUUUCGAUCUCGACUUGGCCUCCGAUUGCGACGGAGACGGCGACGAUCCGGCAACUCCGACGAAAAAAGGUAAGUUUUCUCCUCUUUUCUUUAUAUCUUAAGCAAAAAUAAAAUUAAAAAAGGAAAAAAUGAAUCACUAAAAAUGAUGAACCGAAAAAAAUUAAAAAAAAGACCUUUUUUAUUCCAAAAAUUUCUGAAUCUGUUCUUUCAAUCUUUUCUUUCGAGUUUCGAUCCCCCCCUGUACACUGAAAAUAUUGGCCUUUUAUAGCCGAAAAUGGAAAAGAAAAACAAAUCCAAAUAAAUCUAUUCGGUUGUUUGUUGGCCCGAUUUUUGCUCUUCUCUUUCACUUGUUGCAGGUACGUGCUUGAGGAGCGACGUUUGCGGAGGUGUGGCGUGCGUAGAGGGCAGUAGUUGCGGCGCAAGCUGCUCUAGGGUUUCUGAUUUGGCUGAAAAUUGGUUAAGCUUUGGACUUGUUGGGCUGUCAUUAUUUUGGGCCUGUAAUUAGGGUUAAUUUUUUUGGGCCUGAGUGUUAUAAUGUAAAAUGGGUGUUAGAUUGGGCCUAGGCACAUUUGGGUUUAUACAAUAUAUAUAUGUAUAUAUUUUUAAAUGUUUUUUAAAUUCAUAUACAUACACAUAUUUUAUUAUUAUAUUAUUAUUUCAUUUUCAUAGUUUUUAUAUAUAUAUACAUAUGUAUAUACAUUUAUAUUUUAUAGUAUUUAUACAUUUUUCUUAUUUUAUAAUCCAUGCACAUAUAUAUAUAUAUAUAUAUAUAUAUAUAUACUUCUAAUUUUUACAUAAAGUUCUAUUUUUAUAAAUACAUACAUUUUUUACAAAACAUAUAUAUCUUUUAUAUUUUAAUUCCAAAAACAUUUGUUUUACUUUACUUUUGUAAAUAUGUACAUAUACCUACUUUUAUAUAUACGUUUUUAUUAUUUAUUUUCAUAAUUUUUUACAUACAUAUAUAUACCUAUAUACAUACAUAUUUUAAUUUUUAUAUAUACAUAUUUCUAUUUUUUUCAUAUAUUUAAUAAUUUAUAUACAUCUGUAUAAAUCUAAAUACAUUUUUUUUAUUUCCAUAAAUAUAUAUAUACAUAUUUUGUAAAUACAUGUACAUAUUAUAUAUAUAUUAUUCUUUUAUUUCCAUAACUUUUGUAUAAAUGUAUAUAUAUGCAUUGACAUUUUAUAAUACAUAUACAUAUAUAAUUUAAAUUAAUGUAUGUGUUCCAUGUUGUAUAUUAACAUUUUAUCAUGCUUUUAAAGAAAAUAUAUGUUUUCAUUAAAGCAUUAAAAUCAUUUUUAUUCAAAGGCUUUCAAGAUAAUGCGAUAUUCGAUAUUUGAGAUUUUCGAGAAGAUUGAGCCCUAACGUAUUGGGUUCCAAUUUUCCUUGUUAAACCUAAAUAAUCGAGCAUAUUUUUUUCAAAGCGCAUAAAUGUAAAAAUCAUUUUCGGGAAUUUAACUCGUUGUGCCCUAAUGUAUUGGGCAUUGUAUAUUGAUUUCUAGAAAUGAAGAUUUUCUUAUAAAAUAAAAGCGAUAUUCAAAGUUCGAGGAUUUUGAGAAAUCGUACCCUAACGUAUUGGGACUCGAUUUCUUUACAUGACUUGAACAAUUGAUUAUCCUUUUCAGAUUUCAUCAUUUGAGUUGUUUUAAAAAUCUUUUUUUAGCCCUCGACACUAAGACAUUAAAUAAUCGAUUUGGUACCGAUUUUGGGCGUUACGAGGGUGCUAACCCUUCCUCGUGCGUCACUGACUCCCGAACUCGUUUUCUCAAAAUUCGUAGACCAAAAUAAUUUUUAAGAUGAGCCGAUCACACCUUAAUAAAGGAUCGGUGGCGACUCCAAUUUUAUUUUUAAAGUCGACAACUAAAUUUUUGUUUUUCAAAAACGGUUUCGACACCUAGGGUUCUCUAAAAGUUUCCACCAACAGAUUCCUAUAAAUUUAUUCAUAUAACUCGUCAAUCGUGUUCCUCAAAUCAAUUGUAAUCUCAACACUAGAAGGAGUAGAGUUUAGUGUAUUUCCCCAAAUUAGGGUUAAAGUUAAUUGUUUCAACAAAAAACACCUUAAGCUAACCAAGAACUUGACACCUAUAGUUGUCAAUGAAUUUUAAUUAUUACAUAAUUAUUAAACGAAAUCCAUCAGAGCAAUAGAAAAUUGGCGGGGAAAAAUUUUCUACUAAACUGGACAACUUUUGUUGUCGAGGUAGGCCUAAAAAAACAUAUUCUAGUAAAUAAAUUUUCUCUGGACAUAAUAUGAGAAAUAAUAAAAAGUUUCCUAAUAUCCUAAUAAAAAACCAUUCAAUUAAUUUAUAGUCUCUUUAGAAUUUGUAAGAUUAUAUGUUAGUACAAUGGUAAAACUAUAUUUGUCCCUUUGAACAUAUAUAAUUUACUUUCGACCUAUCAAGAAAAUUUGUUGGCUUCACCCUUGGUUCAAGUUAUAGUUGAAUUAUAUGUAUUAGUUUUUUUAAGACCAAAUUAGAUUGAGUCGAUUUGUAUUAUGAUUUAUUAGAAUUUGUGACAUCUAGGUGUAAAAACGAGAUUGUUUUGUAUGUUACACGCAAAUCUCUAUUGUGGAAUUGUUCAACUAUAGAGCAUAUUGUCCACACAUGAAUCCAAUUGUGUUUGGAAUUACAGCGCAAUCAUCAAGGGUAGGUAUCCACUUGUGUUCACAAGUGUGGAAGAUCAAGUGUAAGAAAAUAGAAGGAGGUGAGCGAUGGGGAAGGCAAUUUAGAAAUGAUAGUGAAUAUACCAUAAUUAAAUAUUUACAUAUAAUCAACUUACUUUUCUUGCGAAUAUUGAUAUUACAUAUUUAAAUAGUAUUUUUAUUUUGAUAAUUAAAUUUUCAUUUCACAAAAUUUGAAGCGGAUGAUAUAUUAACUCUUAAAUAUUCAUUAUUGAAAUUCUUUUUUUUUUUUGCAUAAUAUUUAAAUUUAUUCUAGCUUUACUUUUUAAAAUUUUGUUUUAUGAUUUUUUUUAAAAUUUACUCACUACAAAUUUUUAAUGAAUUUGAAUAUUCAAAGUAUAAUUUAACUAAUUUGAAUUUGAACUUUGAUGUGAUUGCCAAGAGUUUUUCUCUCAUUUCUCUACAAAAUGAGAUAUUUUGGCUCUUUGCCUUUACGCCAUCGUUUGAGCAAUACCAACCUAGCCGGCCACCAUUCCACCCCCAUGUCCAAUAAAAACCUUCCUCUUUCGUGUGUUAUUCUUCCAUCUAAUUGUCUUCUGGUUUUUUUUUUUUCUGGUUCUGCUCCAAUUGUUAGUGGGGUGAUUGUUUCUCUUAGGGUUUUGGGGUUGAAGGCGAUUCUUCUUUGAGGUUCUCUUUAGUGGAGAUGGGUGGUUUUCAUGUUAUGGUUUACUCCACGGAUGUGAGGAUGCGCUCGAUGGUGAACGAACAACGAUUUGGAUCUCUUUUGAGCAAACCUCUGCCAAUAACUAUGAAUAUGUUUUUGUGCUGGGCUACACUAAGGCUACUGUGUGUUUUGAUGUUGUUGUGCAGGGCUGGCUAAUCCUUAACAAUGGUAAUGCUAAGGGUAGCAGACGACGGUGUUCCUUUUUGUUGAUGAUUAGGGUUUGGUUUACUGAUGUGCUUUACACGAUCAUCAAAGCCAAACUAACUAAUAGGCUUGAACAUGUGAUGUUGAUUCUGAGAGAUUGUUGAAUUUGCUUGUCAACUGCACGUUAAGUUGCAACUGACUUUAACAAUUGGAAAAGUAAAAUUAGAGAUUGACAUAGAAGUUGGUUACGCAGUUCAAAAGAACUUAUAUAUACGGGGUUUUAUCGAGGGAAUAAUCCACUAUCUUUAGUACAAUAUAUAUUCUAAGUUUAAUUCACUCACCAACUUGCAACCUCACUUUUCUACAUUAACUAAAUCAUUUUCUAUGUUCUCCUAAAAGCUUAGGGCUAGUUUAGUAAUGCUUUUGAAGAGUGCUUUUAAAAAAUGUUUUUGAAAUUUUAAUUUAAGAUUUGAGUAUUUAGUAUUGUUAUCAAAAAGUGCGCUUUUGAGAAAUAAAAUGUUCAUUUUAGACGUAGUGUUAUCAAAUAACAAAUAUGCAUUAAAAUAAUGUUCAAAUUAGUUAAUGUUAUUAUAUUUUAGUAAGAAUAUAAAAACUAAUUUAUUAUAACUUGUUAAUAUUUUAAUAUAUGAAAUAUAAAUUUUAAAUAUUUUUAAGUAAUAAAAAUAUUAAUUAUUUAUAAAUUUUAAUUAGAAUAUAUAAAUUAUUUUUUAAAUAUUUAAAUAUAACAAUUAAAUAUUUGUAAUUAGAUAUUAACACAUUUGUAUUAUUUUUAAAAAAAUUAUAUUUUUAAUUAAUGAUUUUAACACAUUAAAUAUUAAGCACCAAGAAAAAGUACUAUGUUCUUAGAGGGGCGAAAAAGUAAUUAAGCACUAAAACUGCUUUUGGGAGAGGAAAAGCUAAAAAUUUUAACUUUUUCUUUUCAAAAAUAUUUUUCAAAAAAGUAUUUUUAAAAAGUCAAAAAAUUCAGCCAAAAGUAACUUGUUUAGUACAAUUUUUUUUUCUUUCAAGCCAAAAGUGUUUUUAUUAAGCACCACUAAACAAAUCAUUAGUUAAAAACUAAACAUGAAUAGUUAUUUGCAAUGAAAUUUCGCUAAAAGAGGUUUAUCACGAUGAUCAAGAUAAGUACUCUCAAUCUUGCACAAAUACAAUAACAAGACUUCAUUUAAAUGGGCAUACAUUGGCUUUCUAAAACUUCAAUUAGUGUGAAAUUCAACUCCUUAAAUUAUGAUCUAGUAGAUAUUUAUCAUGGAAUCAAAUAAUAGAGAUCUUAAAGGAAUAAAGGAAUAAAUUUAUUUUAAAAAUAGGAUCUCCUCAAUUAAGAAAACUCAAUCAUGUUAAAAGUCUUCAAAGCAAUCCUUACUUGAUUUAAGUUCAACAAGAGCCAAUCCAAUAAAUUAUUGCUAAACAUCCUCCAAAAUAUAUAUGAACAGAUUUAAAGAUUUUUCAAUUAAAGAUUGCUAACUAAUAUGAUAAGUUGCACAUCGACUGAAUUGCAAAACAAGUUGCAAUCAAUGUUACAUCUGGACAUCUAACUUGCAUUAAGAGGGCACUGAGCCCUCAUAUUCCAUGGCAUCUAUGAUUUUCAUGGUGAGGUAUGAUGCAAUACAUUUAGUUUAUUUUUUGUUUCACGUUACAUUAUUUAAUUUUAUUAUCAUAUUUAUUUUUACACUAACCGUAAAUAAACACAUUGUUCAUUCAAACUCAUCCUAACAUAUGCGAAACUACUUUGUAGUUUGUGACAUCCAAAUUUUAAUUGCGUAUAGGUUAUUUGGUUGUUGAGAUCAAAAAGAAGUUUUGAAUUUAUAUUGAUAUUAUCGUGUUGGAAUUUAAUAUUAAUAAUAAAAUAAAUUCAAAUUUUAAAAUCUUUGUACCAACACAGCUGAGAGGAGGCCGCAAUUGUGGAAAUAAUAGAAGCAGAGCGAAACAACUUAAAAGAUGCGGAAUCAUUGAGGACCCCGCGAAACAUCACUUGGUAUAGUUGAAGGUGGGCCAAUCACGGGAGAACACGUGGAGGGGCCAACGUUGACAGUAUAUGUUAAAAAGCAAAAGACAAGUGUGUGGAAUGUAUUUAUUGAUUCCAGAACCUUCCAUGGUAAUAGUGAAAUGGAUGUGUUACACGCUCUUUAAUUACUCGCACACGUAAGUUCUAAGUUCUAACUUCCCUAUUUAAUGUCGGGUAGAUUACAUAUUAGGAUUACAUAUUAGGAUCAAAAGUCCUUAAAUCUCUAAUUAGACCACAAUUGGAUUAAUCGAUUGAGAUUACAUAUUAAAAUCAUAUUUGAUGGGCUAAAUGUUAGAAAACGUCCAACUAUUCCAAUCUUUAAAGUAUUUUUUGUUAUAAAAUAAAUAGACAGAUAGUAAAGAAUAAAGAAAAUGGGAGAGCAAAGAGAGAGCGUAUUUUUAUUAAUCAAUUGAGAUAUUUACAAAAUUUCUCCAAAGUAUAAUUUGUAGGCAUAAGAAGUAUAAAUGAAGUAGAGAUUUACUUCUAAUGACUAUUAGAAUUUAAAGUAUAUCAAAAUUUAUCUUGAUCUUAAUGGACAUCCACUUAAUAAGAUAUUCAUAACACUCCCCUUGGAUUCCCAUUAGUAGAUAAUGUGCCUCGUUAAAAUCUUACUAAGAUAAAAACCCUAUGGAAAAAAAUUACUAGUAAAGGAAAAAGAGUACACAUAUCUAUAAUACGCAUAAUAUGUUGUCUCAUUAAAACUCUUACCAAGAAAACCCAAUGAAAGAAAACCUCGGUUAAAGGAAAAAGAGUACAAUGCGUAUUUACUUUCCCUCAUGAAAACAUCACAUGCUUUCACAUAUUUUAUGUAUUCAAUCUUGAAUACUAGUCUUCCAAAUAACUAUUUGAAUGUAUUUGCUAAGCAUUUAUAUCACCAUUCUUUUGAAAGUCAUGAGCAAGGGGAAAUUUUGAGAAAAUAUAAUUUGUCUCUUUAGGAGUUUCGACAAUAAUCAUAACAAACUUUAAUUUUGAUCCCUCUAUAAAAAUACAAAUAGGUAUUUUGGAUCAUUUUAUAAUCCUCUUUCAACUACUAUUGACUAAGUAAAAUUUACCACAUAUGUUCAAUUAUUUCAAUUCAUAUAAAUGAACAAUAUAUCAAUAAUUUCAAUAUGCUUCUGGCAUUCUAAAUCCUUCAAGGAUUUUAAUAUAAACUUUACUAUAUGUUCAUAAAAGGUUGUAACAACAACCAUUAGAUGCAUGUUAAAUCUUUUAUGAACUGUCAGUUUAAUAACAUAUCUAAAGAUUAUUGUAUCUACCACAAAAGAAUAUUAUAUCUUUCCAUAAUCAAUGUAAAGACUUAGCGAAAAACUUCAUAUUUUUAUUCUGUUUUUGCAAAACUACUUCAUUUGUAUCCUUACUGGCUUUAUACCUUUAGAUAUUUGGACUACUGGUCCAAAAACUUCACAAAUUUAUUUGUACUUGAGUUGCGUCUUUUUAUUUUGAACAAUCUAUUCCAUAUCUAUAUUUCUCAAUAGAUUUAUUCAAAAUCCUCAUUUUAUUUUAUUAUUUCGACAAUAAUAUUGCAUGCAAAACCAUUGUCGACCAUUUUUAUUAUCGAUUCCACAUUUUCUCGACUUGACAUAACUUAUCGAGAUCUCUUAUUUUCACUAUUUUAAUCUUCAGUUUCAGAUACCUAAAUCUCUUCUGGAGUUUUACUUAUUAGUUAUGUAUUGGGUCUCUUCCAGAGCAUCCGCCUCCACUAUAUAACCAUCUAGAAGAAUUAUUUUCUUUUAUGAGAAUUUUCAUAUUUGGAACUUGUAAUGGGUUAUCCUUAUUGAACUUUUGGUUCAAAUUACUCUCCCCCCUAACUCAUUACAAGUUAUUAUUUCUCUCACCCUAAUGUCGAGAAAACUAUCAAAUCAAAAUAUUAAUCACAAAUCAUGUCAUAAUUGAAUCUCCAAUACAUUUAAAACAUAUAAUAAUACAAGGAGACUCGUAAUUAAUAUAUAUUCCCAACUUUCUUUGAGCAUUCACUCAUCUUUGUUGUGGUGGAGUAAUUGGAAGAUAUACACACAUAAAAAAAUUCAAAGAUGAGAAAUAUUUAGCUCUUGACCAGAAAUCAAUUGUAAUAGGAAGUAUUUAUAACUUAUUGGCUUGAUGCGUACAACACGUAAAUCUAACAUAAUCUCAUGUUAAAAUAGGAAGUUUAGUUCUUAUAAGUAAAUGUUUAAACAUUAACCAGAGACGUUCAAUCAAUAAUUUCUCUAAAUCAAUAUCCGCAUAAAUAAUAAGCUUUUACAAAAGUUUUUCAAACUCAAUCAAUAAAAGACUGAGAUAUAAACUCAUCAAUAUGAGCAAGAUGAAAUGUCUUAAUUGAAUGAUUUGAAAUUAAUUAUUUGAACAAGUAAUCUUGCAAACGACAGGUUGCAAGUUGGUAACACAUAUCUGAUUAUUUUGUAGAUGCAUCUACCAAAAUCAUAUAAUAUCAAAACUAUCCACAUGGUGGAUUAAUGAGUCCAUAUUCAUUUCAGAAAUGCAAUACAUUAAAUCUCAACUUUAGCUAGUGAGUUUCUAACAAUCAAUUUUCAUUAAGAACAAGUAACAAAUGAGAAUUCUUUAAAUUAAAGAAUCUUCUGGUUCUUUAAUGAAUGUUUAUAUUAAUUCUCAAUUAAUUUUAGCAUCAUGUAUGAUUCGGGAUGAUCUAAUUGGUCAAGUCAAGUAGUAAAUGCAUUUGUAUCAGUAAACUUCUGGUUUACUUUAACAUGCAUUUCAAUUGUACUAAUAAUGUCAAUAUAAAUUAUGACAAAUUGAUAAUUUUGUUGUCACUCAGUUUACUUUGUAUCCACAUAUAAGUACUAUUGUGACAUUUACUACUGAAAAUGUCUAAAUCAAUGUGAAGUUUAUAAUGUCACUAAGUCAACAAAAUAAAUAUAAUUUCCAAACAAUUAUAUGCAAUAUUCACUUCAAGAAAUAUGCCAAAAUCUUCAAAUAUCUAUAAAUAAAUAAAAAACCUUGCAACUUCAGGUGCAUCCAACCAUAACGGGCUUUAGAUAGAAUUACCAUAUUCUAUUGCUCAUAAGUAUAUCUUUCACAGUCAAAUAUUUUGCUUUCAAUCCCUUAAUGGGGAUGAUGACAAAAGAAGAUCAUAAACAUAGUCACAGUCAAUUUAAUUUAAUAACAAGUGUAAUCAAUAACUUAAUCCUCCAUUUUUUCAUCCUUUCAAAAUAGAUAUUUAUAGCAAUAGUGAUUCAUAUUGUAACACCCUAACCCGUAUUCGUCGCCGAAUUAGGGUUACGAAGCAUUACCUAACAAACACAACCAUUUUUAUAAUCAAACUGAUUACAAACAUAGAAAUUAAACCAUUUUCGCAUGACUAUUUAUAUAUUUUACAAUCCAAAUCUAACCAAAAUAUACUCAAACCUAUACAUGCCAUAAGAUCGAGUUCAAAUUUUUAACAAAAUACCAAAAGAAGUCGAAAGUGUGACAGACUAUACUGAUGAUCCCCGAACUCGUAACGCGUCUCCAAAAUCUAUAAAACAAAUGAACAAGAACAAUCAAAGUAAGCUUUGAUAGCUUAGUAAGUUUAUAGCAUAUCUAAAAUACAUAUAAACGAACAUAUGAAAAAUCAUUAUAUGCUUAUAAUCAAGUUACGUACACAAUCAUUAAUUGCAUAUACAAAUUCCAAAUAUACUUAUCAUUUUCAUUUCNNNNNNNNNNNNNNNNNNNNNNNNNNNNNNNNNNNNNNNNNNNNNNNNNNNNNNNNNNNNNNNNNNNNNNNNNNNNNNNNNNNNNNNNNNNNNNNNNNNNUAUAUAUAUAUAUAUAUAUAUAUAUAUAUAUUCGGCUAAAUAUAUAUAUAUAUAUAAAUAGAAUCUAUGCAAUUUAUUUUAACUUAUAAAACUCAAAUAUACAUUAACUAAUACAUAUAUAUAUACAAUUCAUACAUUAUAUUUUAACUCAUAUACUUACACUUAUACGAAAUAACUAUAUAUAUAUUAUUACCUAUUCGAUAUUUCCAUAUAUAUAAAUAUACUUAACAUUUAAACCUUGAAAUAUGUUCAGAACUUAUUCGAAAAUAUACAUGUAUAUUCUUCAAUUCCCACAGUGACAUUCAUUCAAAAUUAUUAAAGUAUAUACAAUAUAUACCCUUAAUCAAACUCAAAGAUUAUACUUAUUUAUACAUAUACAUUUUCGAAAAUUAACACAUAUAUAUAUACAUAUAAUUUCUUACUUAUACUCAAUAUAUAUAAGUAUUUAUUCAUAUAUAUACAUGCUUAUUCAAUCCAACUUAUACCAAUAUUUGAUACACAUACAUAUAUAUAUCUUUAUAUAUCUAUUCGAACAUCAUGUAAACAUAUAUAACAAACAACAUUAACUAAAUUCAAACUUUAUUCACAUAUAUACAUACCUAUGUUCGAAUACAUCACAUACCUAUAUACAUAGUUCCAUAUCUAAAUUAUUUACAAGGGCAUUGAUGUAUGUAUAUUUGUGUAUUCAUACUCAUUCGAACCUAACACACACACACACAUAUAUAUAUAUAUAUACAUAAUUUUCAUACUUUCCAUUCGAUUUAUAUACUUUUAAAUUUUAACUCAACAUAAAUACAUUUGAUAUUCAUACAUAUAAACUAAUUUAAUAAAAAUUAAAUAGCUAAUAGACUUACCUCGGACGAUGGAAAAUCGAAGUCGGACGAUUAUUCGACUAAUUUGGCUUUUCCCCGAUCUAACUCCAACUUCUUUGGUUCUCGAUCUAAAUAUAUUCAAAAUAAGAUAAUUUAUUUAUUAACACAUUCAAUUUAAUCCAAAAACACAUAAUUUGGCAAAUUACUAUUUUGCCCCUAAUAUUUUCAUUUUUUGCAAUUUACUCCCUAUUGCAUAAAACACAAUUUAUACAAAAUUUGCCCAUACCACACAAGGGCCGAAUAUUCAUGGUUCUCAUACAAGUCCACACAUUGCAUUUAUUUCACAUUUUAGUCCCCCAAAAAUUUAAUUUCACAAUUUAGCCCUAUUUACUCAAUUUCACUAAAAAUUCCAAUACAAAACAUAUUAAUCUAUCACAUAUCUUUCAUUUUUCAUCAUCAACUAUCACAAAGUCUAAGCAUUCAUCAAUGGCACAUUUCAAAAUCAUCAACAAUUCACAAAAUUAAAACAUGGGUUUUGAAGAACACAAAGCAACGAUCUCUAAAACAUAAAAAUCAUCAAAAACCGAACAAAAUCCAUACCUUAAUCAAAGCUUGAAAGUGCCGAAUGAAAUAAGCUUUAAACCCAUUUAUUUUCUCUCCAAUUCGGCCAAAAGAUGAAGAACAUGGCAUUUUAAUUUGUUAUAUUAUACAUAUAUUAACCUUAUUGUUAAUUUACUAUAUUAACCUUUACUAAUAUAUAUAUAAAACAUAUAUAAUAAGGUUACAUUAGUCCUUUGCCAUCCACUAACUUACAUAGUGGGCUAAUUGCAUAAUAAAACCUCUAAAUUAUAAAGACAACAACAAUUAGGCACUUUCAUAUUUAACAACUACAUUUUUAUUUUACGCGAUUUAAUCCUUUUAUUUAAUCAGACACUCAAAUGGCGAAAUUAAAGCACGAAAUUUUCACACUAGUAAAUUCACACAUAAUAAACACAGAAAAAAUAUAUAAAAAUAUUUUUCUAAUUCAGAUUUGUGGUCCCGAAACCACUAUUCCGAUUAGGGUCAAAACCGGGUUGUUACAACUCUCCCCCCUUUAGGGAUUUUCGUCCCCGAAAAUUCUUACCGGUGAAUAGGUUUGGAUAACGCUCUUUCAUCGUAUCUUCUGACUCCCAAGUUGCUUCUUCAACUCCAUGUUUAUACCACAAUACUUUAACUAACGGAAUUUUCUUAUUUCGUAAUUCUUUGAUCUCACGAGCCAGAAUGCUAAUCGGUCCUUCUUCAUAUGACAUAUCAGAGUUAAUUUCAAUCUCUGUCGGACUAAUCACAUGUGAAGGAUCAGAUCGGUAUCUACGGAGCAUCGAAACAUGGAAUACGUUAUGAAUCUUUUCUAACUCAGGCGGUAACAUCAAUCUAUAAUCAACCGGUCCAACACGUUCUAUAAUCUCAUACGGUCCAAUGAAUCUCGGACUCAAUUUGCCUUUACGACCGAAUCUGAGUAUUUUCUUCCAUGGUGAGACUUUCAAAAACACUUUAUCCCCGAUCUAAAAUUCUAUAUCCUUUCUUUUCAAAUCUGCAUAAGACUUCUGACGAUCCGAUGCUGAUUUCAGACUAUCCCGAAUCACUUUCACUUUCUGUUCAAUCUCUUUAAUCAAAUCAACCCCGUAUAUCUUAUUUUCACUGAGCUCGGUCCAAUACAAUGGUGUACGACAUUUACGACCGUACAAAGCCUCGUAAGGUGCCAUUUUGAUACUAGAUUGAAAGCUAUUAUUAUAAGUAAAUUCAAUCAAAGGUAAGUAUCGUUCCCACAUACCUUCAAACUUGAGAAUGCAACAUCUCAACAUAUCCUCAAGUAUCUGAAUGAUUCGUUCGGAUUGACCAUCUGUCUGCGGAUGGAAAGCUGUGCUAAAAUGUAGUUUCGUACCUAAAGCAUCUUGUAGUUUCUUCCAAAAUCGCGAUGUGAAUCUCAGAUCUCUGUCUGAAACAAUAGAAAUAGGUACACCAUGCAACCUCACAAUUUGUGAAAUAUACAAUUCUGCAAGUUUAUCGAGCGAAAAAUCUGUACGAAUCAGAAUAAAGUGUGUCGAUUUUGUCAACCUAUCAACAAUAACCCAGAUUGCAUCUUUCUUGCUAGGUGUCAACGGUAAACCGGAUACAAAAUCCAUCGUGACUCGAUCCCAUUUCCAUUCAGGUAUCAUGAUCAACUGAAGCAACCCAGAUGGUACCUGAUGCUCGGCUUUAACUUGCUGACAAAUUAAAUAUUUCGAAACAAAGUCAAAAAUGUCUCGUUUCAUACCAUGCCACCAAUAGUGCUGUUUCAGAUCGUUAUACAUUUUCGUACUACCCGGAUGAACAGAAAAUCGGCUAUUAUGAGCUUCAUUCAAAAUCACCUGUAUUAACUUUGAAUUUCUCGGAACACAUAAUCGAUUUUUGAAUCUCAAACAAUCCUCAGCAUCAACUAGAAAUUUUGAAUCAACAUUUAAGUCACACUGAGCUCGUUUUGCAAUUAAAUCAUCAUCAGCUUCUGAGCUUCACAAAUCUGUUGAACAAGUAACGGUUUUGCUUUCAAUUCAGCUACUAUCGCACCAUCAUCAGAUAUAGCCAUAUGUGCGUUCAUUGCACGCAAAGCAAACAGUGAUUUUCGACUUAAGGCAUCAGCAACAACAUUAGCCUUUCCCGGAUGAUAGUCAAUCACAAGCUCGUAAUCUUUUAGCAAUUCUAACCAUCGGCGCUGUCUCAAAUUCAGAUCUUUCUGAGUCAUCAAGUACUUCAGGCUUUUGUGAUCGGAAUAAACAUGACAUUUUUCGCCAAACAAAUAGUGGCGCCAUAUUUUUAAUGCAAAUACAAUAGCUGCCAAUUCCAAAUCGUGCGUCGGAUAAUUCUUUUCGUGUGUCUUUAACUGUCUCGAGGCAUAGGCUAAACUUUGCCUUCCUGCAUCAAAACACAGCCCAAACCAUUUAAAGAUGCAUCACUAUAGAUAACAAACUCUUUACCCGAUUCUGGCUGAACUAAUACUGGAGCUUCGGUCAAAAGAGCUUUCAAGUGAUCGAAACUUUUCUGGCAAUUUUCUGACCAUUCAAACUUAACGUCUUUUUGUAGUAACUUUGUCAUCGGGGUCGCAAUCAUAGAGAACCCUUUCAUGAACCGUCUAUAAUAACCAGCGAGCCCCAGAAAGCUUCGAACUUCUGAGACAUUCCUCGGAGGUUUCCAAUCAAGUAUAGCUGAAAUUUUACUCGGAUCAACCCGAAUACCCGAUGCUGAUACAACAUGGCCCAGAAAACUGACUUCACGUAACCAGAACUCACAUUUACUAAACUUUGCAUACAACUGCUUAUCUCGCAAAGUUUGCAACACAAGUCUCAGAUGUUCGGCAUGCUCAGUUUCAUCACGAGAGUAGAUCAAAAUGUCAUCUAUAAAUACUACCACAAACCGAUCCAGAUACUGUCUAAAGAUCCUAUUCAUCAAAUCCAUGAAAACAGCAGGUGCAUUAGUAAGUCCGAAAGGCAUAACCAGAAACUCGUAAUGUCCGUACCUCGUUCGGAAAGCUGUUUUUGGUACAUCAGAGUCUUUAACUCGCAACUGAUAGUAACCCGAUCUCAAAUCUAUCUUCGAAAACACUGAAGCCCCUUUUAACUGAUCGAACAAAUCAUCAUUACGUGGCAACAGAUAUUUAUUCUUUAUAGUCACCUUAUUGAGCUGCCGGUAAUCAAUACACAUUCUCAUCGUUCCGUCUUUCUUUUUCACAAAUAGAACUGGUGCCCGCAAGGAGAGAAACUCGGUCAUGCAAAACCUUUAUCAGUUAACUCUUACAACUGUGCUUUCAAUUCUUUUAAUUCAGUCGGUGCCAUGCGGUACGGAGCUAUCGAAAUUGGAGUCGUCCCCGGUACUAACUCAAUACCAAACUCUACUUCUUGAAUAGGUGGUAAACCCGGUAAUUCUUCAGGGAACACAUCUGGAUACUCACAUACAACAGGUACUGAUUCAAUCUUCUUUUCUAUCACUUUACUAUCAAGAACAUAUGCAAGAUAAGCUUCACAACCUUUUCUCACAUACUUCUGAGCCAACAUAGAGGAUAUCACUGCCGAUAAACCAUUCAGAUCAUUAGAUUCAAUCCGAAUAAUCUCAUCAUUCAGGCAUCUUAAAUCAAUAGUCUUCCUUUUGCAGUUAACCACAGCAUCGUGUAAAGUCAACCAGUCCAUACCCAAAAUUAUAUCGAACUCGUCAAAUGGCAAUAACAUCAAAUCAACCAUAAAACACAAAUCUCGAAUCAUCAACGGACAAUUCUUGCACACUUUGUCAACCAACACACACCGGCCCAAGGGGUUUGAUACUUUAAUUACAAACUCAGUAGACUCAACAGGUAGAGUCUUACUAGAUACUAAGGUCUCACACACAUAAGAAUGAGUCGAACCAGGAUCAAUCAACGCAAUAACAUUAGUAUCAUAAAGAGUGAAAGUACCAGUAAUAACAUCUGGAGAAGAAGCCUCCUCUCGAGCUCGGAUGGCAUAUGCUCUGGCAGGUGCACUAGCCUCAGAUCGAACUGCUGUGUCCUUUGUCCCUCUCUGACUACCACUUACAUUACCCAAGUGCCUUGGCGGUCUACCCCGUCCUGACAUAUUACUCGGUCUGGUAUUCUGCACAGUGUUUUGAUCAGCUACCAUCGGACACUCUUGAAUGAAAUGAUCCUUUGAACCACACUUAAAGCAAGACCGAUCAUGAAAUCUAUAAUAUCCAGGAUGCCAUUUCCCAUAAUGCUUGCAUUCUGAUCUAUUUUGUCGAAUACUACCAACGCUAGCAACUGAAGUAGCUCGUGAACUCACAGGGGGUCGAUCUCGAUCAUGCUUAGGAGACCCUGCAGUAGCUUUAGAUCGGCUAUGAUCCUCUCUGGAUUUCAUUGAGGCCGACUGGAAUGAUUUACUAAAUGAUCUUUUACAGGAAUCUCGAGCUUCAUAGUCAGCUUUUCUCUUCUCUUUCCCGAGCUCCUCGGCUUUACAAGCUCGUUCAACAAGUACUACGAACUCCUUUAUCUCAAGUAUGCCCACUAACAGUUUAAUAUCUUCAUUCAGCCCAUCUUCAAAUCUUUUACACAUAAUAGCUUCAGUCGAAACACACUCUCGAGCAUAUCUACUCAGUCUCACAAAUUUUCGCUCAUACUCUGUCACUGUCAUCCGACCCUAUUUCAAUUCAAGAAAUUCCUUAUGCUUCUGAUCAAUGAAUCUCUGGCUAAUAUAUUUCUUACAGAACUCAGUCUGAAAGAAUUCCUAGGUCACUCGCUCUUUCGGAACCACCGAUACUAGUGUAUUCCACCAGUGAUAUGCAGUGUCCCGUAGCAAGGAUAUGGCACAUUUCAAGCACUCGUCAGAGGUGCAAGAUAACUCAUCAAAUACUCGAAUAGUAUUAUCAAGCCAAAAUUAAGCUCGCUCAGCAUCAUCAUCAUCAGUAGCUCUGAACUCUUCGACCCCAUGUUUUCAAAUUUUAUCAACAGGAUGUUUAAGUAAUCUCAUCGGAUCACUUACUUGAGGUAUAACAGGAACCGAAGAUGGAUUAGUCGGGGGUGGAGGUUGUUGUGCAACCGGAUUAGUUCGGACAUAGUGAGUAAACCAGUCAUUCAUCAUUUGGUAGAAGGCUUGUUUAGCCUCUCCCUCCUGGUUACUUGAGGUCGGUCGAGAAUCUACUGGCUUUGUCCCUUGUGCGGGAGCAGGCGCUAUACUCUCAACAUCAUCGGCUACGGCUCGUUCGGGAUCCAUUACUAUACGAAAACAUAUAUUAGAUGUCAGCAGUCAUCACACUAUCUCGGCAUAAAAAUAUGGCAUGUAUAGCUAGACUCAUACACACUACGUUAGUCCAAGAAUCGACUAAACCGUAGCUCUGAUACCAAUAAAAUGUAACACCUAACUCGUAUUCGUCGCCGAAUUAGGGUUGCGAAGCAUUACCUAACAAACACAACCAUUUUUAUAAUCAAACUGAUUACAAACAUAGAAAUUAAACCAUUUUCGCAUGACUAUUUAUAUAUUUUACAAUCCAAAUCUAACCAAAAUAUACUCAAACCUAUACAUGCCAUAAGAUCGAGUUCAAAUUUUUAACAAAAUACCAAAAGAAGUCGAUAGUGUGACAGACUAUGCUGAUGAUCCCCGAACUCGUAACGCGUCUCCAAAAUCUAUAAAACAAAUGAACAAGAACAAUCAAAGUAAGCUUUUAUAGCUUAGUAAGUUUAUAGCAUAUCUAAAAUACAUAUAAACGAACAUAUGAAAAAUCAUUAUAUGCUUAUAAUCAAGUUAUGUACACAAUCAUUAAUUGCAUAUACAAAUUCCAAAUAUACUUAUCAUUUUCAUUUCAUGAAUACAUAUCUAUGAUCUUCCAAAUACAUAUGUCAAAAGCUUAUAUUUUUACUUAUCAACUACAUGAAUCAAAUGCACAUUUAUACUUCUAAUCCACAUGUGCCGAUUUCAUACAUGUAUAUUCAACAAUUUCAUAGCAACCAAUAUAUGUACUUACUCACUAAACACAUAGAUCCAAACAUUUAUAAGCUCAUCGAAUACAUAUAAAUAAGUAUUCAUAUAUUUAUUCAUUAUAUAUAUAACCCAAAAUCAUUUAUAUAUAUAUCACAUGCAUAUAAUCACUUAAUUUAACAUAUUCACCGGCAUUUAGCCUGCUAGGCUUAUAGCCUGAUUCAGAUCACCGGCACGUAUCCUGCUAGGUUUAUAACCUGAUUCAGAUCACCGGCACGUAGCCUGCUAGGUUUAUAACUUGAUUCAGAUCACUGGCACGUAGCCUGCUAGGUUUAUAACCUGAUUCAGAUCACCGGCACGUAGCCUGCUAGACUUAAAGUCUGAAUUAAUUCACUGGCACUACAUCCGCUAAGCAUCGAGCCUGAAUACUACGGGUAUGAAAUUGGUCUUUCACAAAAUUCUUUAUAAGAUAAUCUAGAUAUUCUUUAUAUCUCAUAUAAAUCUUUUCAAUAAUUGUAUCUCAGCAAGAAUCAAAUUAUUAUUCCAAUCUUCGUAGCAAACAUACAUUUGAAUAACAUCUCUAUAGUUCAUAUCAUUAAAUUCGGUUCAUAAAACUCAAUACCCGCAUUCGAAUAUUAUACAUGUUUUCUUCUAUAUUAUAAGCUUCAACUUAUAAAACUCAAAGCAAACAUUAACUACAUACAUAUAAUUCAUGUGAUUAAUUUCAACUUAUCGAGUUCAAUACAUACAUUCGGCUAACAUACAUGUAAUCUAUUAAAUUUCAUCCAACUUAUAAAAUUCAACAUAUAUAUAUAUAUAUAUAUAUAUAUUCGGCUAAAUAUAUAUAUAUAUAUAUAAAUAGAAUCUAUGCAAUUUAUUUUAACUUAUAAAACUCAAAUAUACAUUAACUAAUACAUAUAUAUAUACAAUUCAUACAUUAUAUUUUAACUCAUAUACUUACGACUCGAAAGAACAUGUGUUAAUAGCGUGUUGGGGAGNNNNNNNNNNNNNNNNNNNNNNNNNNNNNNNNNNNNNNNNNNNNNNNNNNNNNNNNNNNNNNNNNNNNNNNNNNNNNNNNNNNNNNNNNNNNNNNNNNNNAACAACCAAUAUAUGUACUUACUCACUAAACACAUAGAUCCAAACAUUUAUAAGCUCAUCGAAUACAUAUAAAUAAGUAUUCAUAUAUUUAUUCAUUAUAUAUAUAACCCAAAAUCAUUUAUAUAUAUAUCACAUGCAUAUAAUCCCUUAAUUUAACAUAUUCACCAGCACUUAGCCUGCUAGGCUUAUAGCCUGAUUCAGAUCACCGGCACGUAGCCUGCUAGGUUUAUAACCUGAUUCAGAUCACCGGCACGUAGCCUGCUAGGUUUAUAACCUGAUUCAGAUCACUGGCACGUAGUCUGCUAGGUUUAUAACCUGAUUCAGAUCACCGGCACGUAGCCUGCUAGACUUAAAGUCUGAAUUAAUUCACUGGCACUACAUCCGCUAAGCAUCGAGCNNNNNNNNNNNNNNNNNNNNNNNNNNNNNNNNNNNNNNNNNNNNNNNNNNNNNNNNNNNNNNNNNNNNNNNNNNNNNNNNNNNNNNNNNNNNNNNNNNNNNNNNNNNNNNNNNNNNNNNNNNNNNNNNNNNNNNNNNNNNNNNNNNNNNNNNNNNNNNNNNNNNNNNNNNNNNNNNNNNNNNNNNNNNNNNNNNNNNNNNNNNNNNNNNNNNNNNNNNNNNNNNNNNNNNNNNNNNNNNNNNNNNNNNNNNNNNNNNNNNNNNNNNNNNNNNNNNNNNNNNNNNNNNNNNNNNNNNNNNNNNNNNNNNNNNNNNNNNNNNNNNNNNNNNNNNNNNNNNNNNNNNNNNNNNNNNNNNNNNNNNNNNNNNNNNNNNNNNNNNNNNNNNNNNNNNNNNNNNNNNNNNNNNNNNNNNNNNNNNNNNNNNNNNNNNNNNNNNNNNNNNNNNNNNNNNNNNNNNNNNNNNNNNNNNNNNNNNNNNNNNNNNNNNNNNNNNNNNNNNNNNNNNNNNNNNNNNNNNNNNNNNNNNNNNNNNNNNNNNNNNNNNNNNNNNNNNNNNNNNNNNNNNNNNNNNNNNNNNNNNNNNNNNNNNNNNNNNNNNNNNNNNNNNNNNNNNNNNNNNNNNNNNNNNNNNNNNNNNNNNNNNNNNNNNNNNNNNNNNNNNNNNNNNNNNNNNNNNNNNNNNNNNNNNNNNNNNNNNNNNNNNNNNNNNNNNNNNNNNNNNNNNNNNNNNNNNNNNNNNNNNNNNNNNNNNNNNNNNNNNNNNNNNNNNNNNNNNNNNNNNNNNNNNNNNNNNNNNNNNNNNNNNNNNNNNNNNNNNNNNNNNNNNNNNNNNNNNNNNNNNNNNNNNNNNNNNNNNNNNNNNNNNNNNNNNNNNNNNNNNNNNNNNNNNNNNNNNNNNNNNNNNNNNNNNNNNNNNNNNNNNNNNNNNNNNNNNNNNNNNNNNNNNNNNNNNNNNNNNNNNNNNNNNNNNNNNNNNNNNNNNNNNNNNNNNNNNNNNNNNNNNNNNNNNNNNNNNNNNNNNNNNNNNNNNNNNNNNNNNNNNNNNNNNNNNNNNNNNNNNNNNNNNNNNNNNNNNNNNNNNNNNNNNNNNNNNNNNNNNNNNNNNNNNNNNNNNNNNNNNNNNNNNNNNNNNNNNNNNNNNNNNNNNNNNNNNNNNNNNNNNNNNNNNNNNNNNNNNNNNNNNNNNNNNNNNNNNNNNNNNNNNNNNNNNNNNNNNNNNNNNNNNNNNNNNNNNNNNNNNNNNNNNNNNNNNNNNNNNNNNNNNNNNNNNNNNNNNNNNNNNNNNNNNNNNNNNNNNNNNNNNNNNNNNNNNNNNNNNNNNNNNNNNNNNNNNNNNNNNNNNNNNNNNNNNNNNNNNNNNNNNNNNNNNNNNNNNNNNNNNNNNNNNNNNNNNNNNNNNNNNNNNNNNNNNNNNNNNNNNNNNNNNNNNNNNNNNNNNNNNNNNNNNNNNNNNNNNNNNNNNNNNNNNNNNNNNNNNNNNNNNNNNNNNNNNNNNNNNNNNNNNNNNNNNNNNNNNNNNNNNNNNNNNNNNNNNNNNNNNNNNNNNNNNNNNNNNNNNNNNNNNNNNNNNNNNNNNNNNNNNNNNNNNNNNNNNNNNNNNNNNNNNNNNNNNNNNNNNNNNNNNNNNNNNNNNNNNNNNNNNNNNNNNNNNNNNNNNNNNNNNNNNNNNNNNNNNNNNNNNNNNNNNNNNNNNNNNNNNNNNNNNNNNNNNNNNNNNNNNNNNNNNNNNNNNNNNNNNNNNNNNNNNNNNNNNNNNNNNNNNNNNNNNNNNNNNNNNNNNNNNNNNNNNNNNNNNNNNNNNNNNNNNNNNNNNNNNNNNNNNNNNNNNNNNNNNNNNNNNNNNNNNNNNNNNNNNNNNNNNNNNNNNNNNNNNNNNNNNNNNNNNNNNNNNNNNNNNNNNNNNNNNNNNNNNNNNNNNNNNNNNNNNNNNNNNNNNNNNNNNNNNNNNNNNNNNNNNNNNNNNNNNNNNNNNNNNNNNNNNNNNNNNNNNNNNNNNNNNNNNNNNNNNNNNNNNNNNNNNNNNNNNNNNNNNNNNNNNNNNNNNNNNNNNNNNNNNNNNNNNNNNNNNNNNNNNNNNNNNNNNNNNNNNNNNNNNNNNNNNNNNNNNNNNNNNNNNNNNNNNNNNNNNNNNNNNNNNNNNNNNNNNNNNNNNNNNNNNNNNNNNNNNNNNNNNNNNNNNNNNNNNNNNNNNNNNNNNNNNNNNNNNNNNNNNNNNNNNNNNNNNNNNNNNNNNNNNNNNNNNNNNNNNNNNNNNNNNNNNNNNNNNNNNNNNNNNNNNNNNNNNNNNNNNNNNNNNNNNNNNNNNNNNNNNNNNNNNNNNNNNNNNNNNNNNNNNNNNNNNNNNNNNNNNNNNNNNNNNNNNNNNNNNNNNNNNNNNNNNNNNNNNNNNNNNNNNNNNNNNNNNNNNNNNNNNNNNNNNNNNNNNNNNNNNNNNNNNNNNNNNNNNNNNNNNNNNNNNNNNNNNNNNNNNNNNNNNNNNNNNNNNNNNNNNNNNNNNNNNNNNNNNNNNNNNNNNNNNNNNNNNNNNNNNNNNNNNNNNNNNNNNNNNNNNNNNNNNNNNNNNNNNNNNNNNNNNNNNNNNNNNNNNNNNNNNNNNNNNNNNNNNNNNNNNNNNNNNNNNNNNNNNNNNNNNNNNNNNNNNNNNNNNNNNNNNNNNNNNNNNNNNNNNNNNNNNNNNNNNNNNNNNNNNNNNNNNNNNNNNNNNNNNNNNNNNNNNNNNNNNNNNNNNNNNNNNNNNNNNNNNNNNNNNNNNNNNNNNNNNNNNNNNNNNNNNNNNNNNNNNNNNNNNNNNNNNNNNNNNNNNNNNNNNNNNNNNNNNNNNNNNNNNNNNNNNNNNNNNNNNNNNNNNNNNNNNNNNNNNNNNNNNNNNNNNNNNNNNNNNNNNNNNNNNNNNNNNNNNNNNNNNNNNNNNNNNNNNNNNNNNNNNNNNNNNNNNNNNNNNNNNNNNNNNNNNNNNNNNNNNNNNNNNNNNNNNNNNNNNNNNNNNNNNNNNNNNNNNNNNNNNNNNNNNNNNNNNNNNNNNNNNNNNNNNNNNNNNNNNNNNNNNNNNNNNNNNNNNNNNNNNNNNNNNNNNNNNNNNNNNNNNNNNNNNNNNNNNNNNNNNNNNNNNNNNNNNNNNNNNNNNNNNNNNNNNNNNNNNNNNNNNNNNNNNNNNNNNNNNNNNNNNNNNNNNNNNNNNNNNNNNNNNNNNNNNNNNNNNNNNNNNNNNNNNNNNNNNNNNNNNNNNNNNNNNNNNNNNNNNNNNNNNNNNNNNNNNNNNNNNNNNNNNNNNNNNNNNNNNNNNNNNNNNNNNNNNNNNNNNNNNNNNNNNNNNNNNNNNNNNNNNNNNNNNNNNNNNNNNNNNNNNNNNNNNNNNNNNNNNNNNNNNNNNNNNNNNNNNNNNNNNNNNNNNNNNNNNNNNNNNNNNNNNNNNNNNNNNNNNNNNNNNNNNNNNNNNNNNNNNNNNNNNNNNNNNNNNNNNNNNNNNNNNNNNNNNNNNNNNNNNNNNNNNNNNNNNNNNNNNNNNNNNNNNNNNNNNNNNNNNNNNNNNNNNNNNNNNNNNNNNNNNNNNNNNNNNNNNNNNNNNNNNNNNNNNNNNNNNNNNNNNNNNNNNNNNNNNNNNNNNNNNNNNNNNNNNNNNNNNNNNNNNNNNNNNNNNNNNNNNNNNNNNNNNNNNNNNNNNNNNNNNNNNNNNNNNNNNNNNNNNNNNNNNNNNNNNNNNNNNNNNNNNNNNNNNNNNNNNNNNNNNNNNNNNNNNNNNNNNNNNNNNNNNNNNNNNNNNNNNNNNNNNNNNNNNNNNNNNNNNNNNNNNNNNNNNNNNNNNNNNNNNNNNNNNNNNNNNNNNNNNNNNNNNNNNNNNNNNNNNNNNNNNNNNNNNNNNNNNNNNNNNNNNNNNNNNNNNNNNNNNNNNNNNNNNNNNNNNNNNNNNNNNNNNNNNNNNNNNNNNNNNNNNNNNNNNNNNNNNNNNNNNNNNNNNNNNNNNNNNNNNNNNNNNNNNNNNNNNNNNNNNNNNNNNNNNNNNNNNNNNNNNNNNNNNNNNNNNNNNNNNNNNNNNNNNNNNNNNNNNNNNNNNNNNNNNNNNNNNNNNNNNNNNNNNNNNNNNNNNNNNNNNNNNNNNNNNNNNNNNNNNNNNNNNNNNNNNNNNNNNNNNNNNNNNNNNNNNNNNNNNNNNNNNNNNNNNNNNNNNNNNNNNNNNNNNNNNNNNNNNNNNNNNNNNNNNNNNNNNNNNNNNNNNNNNNNNNNNNNNNNNNNNNNNNNNNNNNNNNNNNNNNNNNNNNNNNNNNNNNNNNNNNNNNNNNNNNNNNNNNNNNNNNNNNNNNNNNNNNNNNNNNNNNNNNNNNNNNNNNNNNNNNNNNNNNNNNNNNNNNNNNNNNNNNNNNNNNNNNNNNNNNNNNNNNNNNNNNNNNNNNNNNNNNNNNNNNNNNNNNNNNNNNNNNNNNNNNNNNNNNNNNNNNNNNNNNNNNNNNNNNNNNNNNNNNNNNNNNNNNNNNNNNNNNNNNNNNNNNNNNNNNNNNNNNNNNNNNNNNNNNNNNNNNNNNNNNNNNNNNNNNNNNNNNNNNNNNNNNNNNNNNNNNNNNNNNNNNNNNNNNNNNNNNNNNNNNNNNNNNNNNNNNNNNNNNNNNNNNNNNNNNNNNNNNNNNNNNNNNNNNNNNNNNNNNNNNNNNNNNNNNNNNNNNNNNNNNNNNNNNNNNNNNNNNNNNNNNNNNNNNNNNNNNNNNNNNNNNNNNNNNNNNNNNNNNNNNNNNNNNNNNNNNNNNNNNNNNNNNNNNNNNNNNNNNNNNNNNNNNNNNNNNNNNNNNNNNNNNNNNNNNNNNNNNNNNNNNNNNNNNNNNNNNNNNNNNNNNNNNNNNNNNNNNNNNNNNNNNNNNNNNNNNNNNNNNNNNNNNNNNNNNNNNNNNNAUUAUUAAGUAUAUACAAUAUAUACCCUUAAUCAAACUCAAAGAUUAUACUUAUUUAUACAUAUACAUUUUCGAAAAUUAACACAUAUAUAUAUACAUAUAAUUUCUUACUUAUACUCAAUAUAUAUAAGUAUUUAUUCAUAUAUAUACAUGCUUAUUCAAUCCAACUUAUACCAAUAUUUGAUACACAUACAUAUAUAUAUCUUUAUAUAUCUAUUCGAACAUCAUGUAAACAUAUAUAACAAACAACAUUAACUAAAUUCAAACUUUAUUCACAUAUAUACAUACCUAUGUUCGAAUACAUCACAUACCUAUAUACAUAGUUUCAUAUCUAAAUUAUUUACAAGGGCAUUGAUGUAUGUAUAUUUGUGUAUUCAUACUCAUUCGAACCUAACACACACACAUAUAUAUAUAUAUAUAUAUAUAUACAUAAUUUUCAUACUUUCCAUUCGAUUUAUAUACUUUUAAAUUUUAACUCAACAUAAAUACAUUUGAUAUUCAUACAUAUAAACCAAUUUAAUAAAAAUUAAAUAGCUAAUAGACUUACCUCGGACGAUGGAAAAUCGAAGUCGGACGAUUAUUCGACUAAUUUGGCUUUUCCCCGAUCUAACUCCAAUUUCUUUGGUUCUCGAUCUAAAUAUAUUCAAAAUAAGAUAAUUUAUUUAUUAACACAUUCAAUUUAAUCCAAAAACACAUAAUUUGGCAAAUUACUAUUUUGCCCCUAAUAUUUUCAUUUUUGCAAUUUACUCCCUAUUGCAUAAAACACAAUUUAUACAAAAUUUGCCCAUACCACACAAGGGCCGAAUAUUCAUGGUUCUCAUACAAGUCCACACAUUGCAUUUAUUUCACAUUUUAGUCCCCCAAAAAUUUAAUUUCACAAUUUAGCCCUAUUUACUCAAUUUCACUAAAAUUCCAAUACAAAACAUAUUAAUCUAUCAUAUAUCUUUCAUUUUUCAUCAUCAACUAUCACAAAGUCUAAGCAUUCAUCAAUGGCACAUUUCAAAAUCAUCAACAAUUUACAAAAUUAAAACAUGGGUUUUGAAGAACACAAAGCAACGAUCUCUAAAACAUAAAAAUCAUCAAAAACCGAACAAAAUCCAUACCUUAAUCAAAGCUUGAAAGUGCCGAAUGAAAUAAGCUUUAAACCCAUUUAUUUUCUCUCCAAUUCGGCCAAAAGAUGAAGAACAUGGCAUUUUAAUUUGUUAUAUUAUACAUAUAUUAACCUUAUUGUUAAUUUACUAUAUUAACCUUUACUAAUAUAUAUAUAAAACAUAUAUAAUAAGGUUACAUUAGUCCUUUGCCAUCCACUAACUUACAUAGUGGGCUAAUUGCAUAAUAAAACCUCUAAAUUAUAAAGACAACAACAAUUAGGCACUUUCAUAUUUAACCACUACAUUUUUAUUUUACGCGAUUUAAUCCUUUUAUUUAAUCAGACACUCAAACGGCGAAAUUAAAGCACGAAAUUUUCACACUAGUAAAUUCACACAUAAUAAACACAGAAAAAAAUAUAUAAAAAUAUUUUUCUAAUUCGGAUUUGUGGUCCCGAAACCACUAUUUCGAUUAGGGUCAAAACCGGGUUGUUACACAUAUGAAAUAUAAUAUUUUCUUCAUUCACAAUCUCAAUAUGAUAUCCAUUAUAAUGAAUACCUUUUAAAACUAAUGUAUUAACCAUCACAAAUUUUGUACUUUUAAGAUAUUGAUAUAUUAGCUCUUUUGAAUCUUUCAACUAAUUUUAUACUAUCAAAUAUUGGAAUAAUAUUUGUUUUUUUCAGUACCAAAUAAGAUAAACAUUUUCUAUCUGUAAUGAUAGAAUUCAUUAGUACAUUCUCAUAUCAUUCCUCAAAGAAUAUUAACAGAAACAAAAUAUUUGGUCAUACACCACAUAAGUUAUCUUUACCCUUUGAAGAGUUAUCUUAAAAACUCUCAUUGUUCUCUUAUUUAUUACUAUAUUCCCACUUUUAGUAGUUCAUGAUUAUAUCUUCUAUUUUCUUUAUGUUUACAUUCACUUCGGGAAAUGUAACAAAUCUAGUAGGACAGACUUCUAAACACCUCCAUUGAUUAUUUAUUUCAUAAUCACCAUCGCAAAUAUACGUGGAUUUCAAAUCAGAAUUUAUCUAUUCAUGUUUGUCAUAAUUAGUCUCCAAUUAUAAUAAAUCUGAGAUAAUAAAUAAAUUAUAAUAAAAUAUACCUAAAGAUCUUUAACACCAUCGUCGUCACCUUGGCUAUUAUCACGAGUACUAUUACAAGUACUAAAAUAAAUAUGCUUUCAUAAGAACAUACUACAUAUAACUUAUAAAAUCUUAUGAUGCUCUAAUAAAUUAUUUGUACUUUAUAGUUCAAUCUAAAUGGUAUAAUCCAAUCAUUCAUCAAUAACAAAAAAAAAAUUCUCUUUAAAGUGGACAAAUACCACAAACUUAUAUUUUGUGUUGACAAUAAAUAUAUAUUUAAACAAUCAUUUAAAAAUAAUAUAUUAUAAAGUUUUAUUAGUAAAACUUAUUAACCCAUUGAUAUUCAAUAAUAUAACUUAAUCAUUUGAUUAGACUUAAAACAAAUAAAUAAUAAUCAUACAUAAAAAAAAUUGAAGCUCCUUACCAAUUUAAAUUGUGCUCUAUAAAUCCAAAAUCCAUACUGAAGUCAAAAAAAAUUUUCACCAUCCAAAGCAAUGGACUGCAGUGUCCAUCUUGGUAUUGAUCCUCUUAAUAUAUACUCAAACCAAUCUCAAAUUAAUUUAAAUUAAUUGAAAAUUAAUCUAGAUAUAAAACACUAAAUAGACAAAAAUUUCCUACAAAGAGUUGCAAACAGCAACAGCCGAAAGACAACAAGUAAUGGAGAAUCAGGGAAGUAAACACUCAAUUUGAAUAGCAACCAGCAAAAAUAAAUAAUCAUUUGAAGAAACAAUGAGCCAACAAAACAAAAAAAAUAAGAAUAAUUUUAGUGGUCAAAGGCUGAAUUUUGGUAUUAUGGAUGAAGCUUAAUGGUUCGCAAAGUUGCCGUUAAUUUAAUCCACAACUAAGAUAAUUAAAAGAGAAUCGUGCUGAUAACGUGUUACAAAAUAAAUAGACAGAGAGUAAUGAACAAAGAGAUUGGGAAAGCAAAGAGAGAGCGUAUUGUUAUUUAUCAAUCAGGAUAUUUACAAAGCUUCUCCAAAGUCUCUAUUUAUAGGCAUAAGAAGUAUAAAUGAAGUAGAGAUAUACUUCUAAUCAUUAUUAGAAUUUAAAGUACAUCCAAAUUUAUCUUAAUUUUGAUGGACAUCCACUUAAUAAGAUAUUUAUAAUAUUUUUUUAAAUAAAACAUUUGUUUAAAGAUUUAUCUUUAGGUAUAAGUUAAAUAUUACAAUUUUAUUUUGAUUUUAAUAAAAAGUAUAAAAAAUUUGGUUAAAUAAAAUUUAUAAAGAUUAAGAUUUUAUGUUAUUUUAAGUUAAUGUUCUUUUCUUCCCUUUUAAUCCUUAUAUUUGAAGAUGUUUAUUGAAAAUUAUAAUAUAUUUUAAUAUAAUGAUAAGAGAAUUUAGAUGCUAAAAGUUCUACUUCUCCAAUUUUUACCAACAUCUAAUUAAAUUUUUUUUAAUAAUCUCAUUUUAGGUUCUGCUCAAAAUACUCACUCACUCGAACUUGCAAUCUCCUACUCUGACAACAAUAUCUAUACCAAUUGAGCUAAGGCUCAAUUGACACAUCUCAUUAAUUUUUUUUAUAUUUUAAUUGCACAUUUAAUAUGAUUUAAUGAUUUUCUUUUUCUUUUU